This 105520-nucleotide long non-coding RNA is filed under the name Mytilus galloprovincialis (Mediterranean mussel). The record is from RNAcentral. Lineage: Eukaryota; Metazoa; Mollusca; Bivalvia; Mytilida; Mytilidae.
GAUUUUAUACUGAUGGUUUUGUACAAAUUCGGUUGAUUUAGUGAUGGCCAACAUUUGUGUAUUGAGGACUUUCGUUAUCGUUAUCAAAUUAAUGUACAUUCAUGGAGGUUAGUGGUUAAAAUUAAUUAGAUUAUUUUAAUUGUAGUUAUCGACUUAAAACGAACAUUCAAAACUAUAUGUGAUUAUAUAUGUAAUACUUUCCAAAACUUUAUCAAAUCCUUACAUGAACAACGUAAGGAAAAUUUACUAUCCUUCUGUUCUUCUCGGACUUGGACGUUGUCGCUGUUAAAAUUUCCACGUAAUUAUACUUUUGAGUUGUUUCUAUUUGUUCCGAUGAUUGACAAGGUUUAAUUCAGUAUUUAUGAACCUUCUUUUCUUGAAUUUGCCAUUCAGUUCGGUAUUUUUUAUAGACACUUGUGUACAUUAAUAGUACCACUGUAUGCACUUCCGAAAGAGAAAAUUUAAAUAUUGUUGAUUGUUUUUAUCGGCUUUUAUAUAUAAUAAUUAUUUGCAUUCCAAGUUUUAUAUGAUAAAGUUUAAUCCAGCAACAUUUAACAUACAAACAAAAUAUGAAUAUUUCAAAAUACGUAAAGCUAACAAGAAACAUGGAUCAGUAAUUAAGUUUAUCUGGAAUAGCCUGAAUUUUGGAUUAAUAUCUGAUUGUUUAAUUUCCUUCACGAUUUCCCUUAAUUUAAUAUUUGCAAUCGUACAAAACGUUUGAUGAUUAUCCUAUAAAGUUGACGUUUAAAAAUAUAUGAUCUGUAAAUAUUACAAUAAAUUCGCAAUUACAUGUAAUUGAUUUUCUUUUUUUUCUUCUAAAGGAUCAUUGUCAGAUAUUGCCGUCACUUGUCGUUCGUUGUCGUACAUGGACUUUUUACUGCUUCCGUUGAUUGAUAAUUUUUUAUUUUGUCCUUUUUUAUAGAUAUUAUCUUUUGAAAUUUACCUUGGAGUUCGGUAUUUAGCUUUAUUUUUUACAAAAUAUCUUUUCCUUUGAAACUACAAAAACCAGCUUGACCACAAUGCUCUAUCUUAGAUUAUCUACUUUGAACAUUACCACUUAUAAAUGACUAUGAUAGAAAUUUGUUUAAAUUGUUUUACAUUUGUCAUUUCGGGGCCUGUUAUAGCCAACUAUGCGGUAUGGUGUUUGCUCAUUGAAUGCUGCACGGUGACCUAUAGUUGUUAAUUUCUAUUUUCUCGUGUGAAGAGUUGUCUCAUUCGCAAUCUUACCACAGCUUCUUAUUUUAUGUUUAAGAAGAAUGUUCUUACAUAAAAAUAAAAAUAAAAAGUUGCAACACUGUAGUAAUUUCUUUAAAUGUUGUUGUAAUCGAUACUAAAAUUAAUAUUGUUUUUGAUGAAUUACAACAUAACUUAAUAUGAAUUGCUGCACAAUCAUGAUUUCACAUCAAUUUGAUACAGUCAGGGUCGUGCUUUUGAAUUGAUACUCAUCUGUCUGUAAAAUUCCAUCCUCAACGUCCUCGCUCUUUGUUUAAUUGAGAAUUUCUUAAACCAAGAAACUAACAUUCCUUAGCAUUUUUAUGAAAGUGUUUCUAACAAUUAAUAUUUUUAGGUUUCAAAAUAUAAAUCAAAGGGGCCAAUAAAAAAGUACAAGGUAACGUCACAAAUAUAAGACGUAAAAUACGGGAAACAUAACGUUUUUAAUUUGCACUUUAAUCUCAAUAAGAACAGAAUUCAAUCUUAAUUGAGAAAAGGGAUGGACCCUAGAAUUGAGUACAGGAGACUUGCUUUCUAAUGAGUAUUUAUUGUGCAUAAUCGAUUACAUUUGUACACUCGAACAUCAUUUUUAAAACAAAUAAUCGGAUCCUCACUGAGAAUAUAAAAACAAUAUAAUAUAUGAGUAUUCAUUUCUAGAUGCUUGAGGAUAAAGGCAUAGCAAAAAUUAAUAGGAAAACAUUCGAUGCAUAUACUUUAUUUAAACUUGCAAACACGUAAACCACCCUUUCCGAUCCCAUUCACCACGGUUGAAUGAAACAUUUUUUUUAAAUCCAAGGCUAUGUCAUUGCAAUUAUAAUGUCCGUUCUUGAAUUAACUACAUAAACAUCAUUAUGUUUAAUUUGUUUCCUCCAUGACUUACAAUCCAGCUAUUUACAAAUAGUAUAUGAUUUUUUAAUUUUUUAAUGUAUUAACACACCUACAACAAAGAAGAUUAAAAACAUAAUAUUCUUAAUUAUAAAUAAUGAUAAGUUUUCAUCCGCAACUCCCUCGUACUUUAUUAAAAUUUUUAAUUGUGAAUUUUUUCAUUCAAGGAACUAAUAAUCUCUAGCUUUUCGGUUUUUUCUUCAAUCUUCAAAUCCUACUCCUCGUUUGAUUUUCUCAAUAGUCUUGUUACAUACAUCACGUGUAUGUCCUUCUAUUACCUCUUCCAGUUUACUUUCCAUGGUGUCACAGUACAAAAAUGUAUUGAAAUAAACGAAUAAGUCUCUAUACUGUCCCUCUGGUAUCUUUCGUUCCUCUCUUGCAUUGAGUUACUUUUAUGUUCAAAAUCUAAAUCUAAGGUGCCUAUAAAAAGGUACCAAGUUACGUCAUAAACUUAGACAACAAAAAUUUGGACCCUCACUGAGAAUUUCCAAAAUUAUUAUAUGAGUAUUCAUUCCUUGAUGCUCAAGGAUAAAGGUAAAUCACAAAUUAAUAGGAAAACAUUUGAUGUACCUACUUUAUUUAGAGUUGUAAAUACUUAAACCACCAUUCACCACGGUUGAAUAAAAAACAAUGUUUUAUUUAAAAUCAAAGGCUCGGUCAUUGCAAUUAUAAUGUCCGUUAUUGAAUUAACUACAGAAACAUCAUUAUGUUUAAUUUGUUUCCUCCAUGACUUAUUAUCUAGUUAUUUACAAUAGUAUAUGAUUUUUAAUAUAUAUUAACCCACCUACAACAAAGAAGAUUAAGAACAUAAUAUUCUUAAUUAUAAAUAAUGAUAAAUUAUUUAUAGAAUAAUAAUAUGCUUAUUGGUAUAAAGAUUCAUUGUUUUAUUAAAUUAUCGCCACGUGUUUAACAUAACACAUUCUCAGUCAUAUUAAAAGAAUAGCGUAUAUUUAAACUAACAUUUAAGGUAGCACAAUAUAAAAGCAACUAAAUUUUAUCAAAAUUUCAUUUUCAGCUGUUUUCGUUACUUCUUAAUAUUCCAAAACCACAGAAGAAAAAUUUGUUUACAUAUCUUGCACUGUUAAUGAGUUUUGAUGAUAAUUAGUUUUAUAAACAAAUGCACGUGUCUGACUGAUACAAGAUAAAAACAUGUGGGCAGUACUUUGUGGUUAAUCAAUAGAAUCAUUUGAUAGCUUUAUGAUCACUGGCCAGCAAUAAAAAUAACAGUUGCAUUAGAGAUUUAUUGAAAAAUGAAGUUAUUGAAUUCCAGAUAAAAAUACAUUUCUUUAUUGGAGCUGCUAGGAGAAAAAAAAAACCCAACUAUUUGGAGAUAUAGAGGGAAUCAACAUAUAAAUGUACAGAUAUUAAACAAAUAUAAUCCUACAACAAUUAAUGUUUCUGAUGUUUAUACUAGAAUAUCUUAAGGAGAAUGUUGGAAUAUGAAUUCUUUUUAAAAGAAAAUACAAAUUGAAUAUUGCAUUAAUAAACUGCAAAAAUGAAAAAAAUGUACUUGUGUGAAACACCAUAUUGUCAUAGUAUACAAUUGCAAUUUUAGAAAUCCCCCAUAUAGAUUCUCUAGACAGGCCAACUGAUGAUUUUGUGUACAAAUGCAUAACUUACUUUUUGUAACAAUGCAAAAAUCAAAACAUAUUAUUUUAUGUACUAAAUGAAUAGAAUCCAUAUUGAAGAAAGUAAAUGCAAUGUGUAAUUAAACUUCUGAGAUCAUUAAUAGUAAAGGUUUAUCAUGGGGGGCGGUGUUUUGGCCAUAUCUGUAGCAACUGACUUCCAGCAAGGUCACUAAUGAUAUAACAUCUCCCGCCAGAUCUGAUUUUUGUUGCAUAAGGUGUGCAUUUUCUUUAUAUAUUUAGAAUUGCUGAAAUGGAAUGCUUUCUUACUGGUCAAAACCUAAUUGAUUUAUGAUUAAAGGCCAAUCCUGAAGUAUCCCCAUGGUACAUGUGUGAAUUAUAUUGAAGUUAAUGGGGUACAAGUAGGAAAAUUCUUAUUUAUUUAAUUGUGACACAUUCAUUUUUGUCAUGAAAAUGUUGUUUUAAAUAAAAUUAGCUCCUAGAUGGGUGCCCCUAUAUGCCUGAUUUUCACACAUGUUGUUCCUUGACCAGAUAUCUUCCAAACCGUGUCUCAGAUUUCCAAAACAUCAAUAGAACAAAUUUUAUACCCAAAUUGAAUUUAGUGAUCUCUUAUGAAUUGAGGUCUCAAACUUCAUUGGAGGUUUAUGAGAGAAUGAAAUACAGUAGGAAAAAUUUGAGACACGGUUUUAGAGGAAAAACUGUGUUGUACAAGAAUCUAUAAAAUAUUUUGGGAUGCUAUACAUAACAAAGAAGUUAAUUUCAUUCAAGUGUGGACAUCACAAUAUAGCAACUAAUUACAUAAUAAUUAAUUAUGUAAUAAUUAUCUCAUAAUGAAAUUAUCACCAUUUGAAAGAUUAAUCUUUCGUCUUUCUUUUGGUACCUCAUUUAUAAAAUUCAAAGUUGAAAUGAAGAAAUUACAUUAGUUUAUAGUUGUCUGAUUGGGGGUGAAAAAAUCUUUGUAUUGUGCUACCUUAAAUAUCGUUACAUGUAGUUAAUACGAUAUACACGUGUUAUUCCACGAAGAAUUGAGAAUUAUAAGUGGCUACUAAUAUUAGUUAUUAUUCUUCCUUUCUAAAAAAAAGUGUUUUAUCCGAACAUGUCAAAAUACUAGAAAUUCUAAGGAUUCGAAAUACUAAGAAUUGUUUAUCCUGUGCAUAGAUGACCUUAGCCGUAUUUUGCUCAACUUUUUUUACUUUUGGGUCCUCGAUGCUCCUCAAUUCUAUAUUUGUUUAGCUUUCUUUCUCUUUUGAUCUGAACGUCACUGGUGGGUCUUAUGUAGACGAAACGCACGUCUGGCGUAUCAAAUUAUAAACCUGAUAACUAUUUAUACUAUUUUUUCUCCAGCCGAUGUCACUGUAAUUACAUCGUUUAGUGAUUACUUUUUAACACCCAUAAAAAAGAACUUUUAACAUAUCCUAUACUUGAAAUUUCACAAAAUAGAUUCGACACAAGAAUGUCCAACUUAGAUCGUCUCCUCCUUUACAAUAGCUAUGUUGUGACCAGCAUUAACAUAAUAAUUACGGAAAGGCAAAAAUUGAUGGACUUUCACUUAUCAUACCAGAGAAUACCAUUUUUGGUGCUAUCAAAAAUUGUAAGCUGAACACAACACUACAGGUAUAUCGAAUUUAAUUUGAGCCAUAUAAUUAUGCACCCUUGAGAUAAAUAAUAAAUCGUCGGUGUUGCUCGAAACCAAUUAUUGGAAUUCCAAAUAUAGUAAAUCAUAGUCAAGCAAUUAAUUAAAUUAAUACUGCACCAAACACACGACUAAAGUAUAUCUGCGCAUCGGUCUGUUAUAGCCUUGAGAUAUGUUUUACUGACCAACUUUACUAAAUAAUAUUUUAUGUUUUUUUUAGAAAUAUGUGGUGGUAUUCUUAAAAAGUCUUCAGGGUAUAUAUCGCCACCAUUGAUAAACAACACCUAUCAGUCUAACAGUUUCUGUCGAUGGGAAAUACAUAGCAAUAGAAAUAACAGCAUUAUUUUAACAUCAACAGAUUUUUCCGUAGAAGAAUCACCCGGAUGUAUGUAAGUAGAGAGGGUUGGAAAGUAUAACCCGAUGUGUAUCCCAAUUUUUGACAUUAUGCAUGUUUGUUUUGUUCACACUGUGUCAAUAUGUUUGAAUUUCAUGCAACUGUCAUACAAGUGAGAAGUUUAGCUUGCUAUAAUAUUAGGUUUAAACCACCCUUUUCUACAUAAGUAAAUGUAUGUGUCAAGUCUGGAAUAUGACAAUUGUUUUCCAUUCGUUUGAAAUGUUUUGCUUUUGAUUUUCCCCCAUUUGAUAGGGUACUUUCCGAUUUAAACUUUCAUUGGAUAUAAGCAUUUUUUUUUUAAUUUUAAUCAUUGCAGCAAUUAUUUAAUUGAAUACAAAAUGUUAAUAUACAUUUAGUAUCAUCAUUAUCCUACAGUUUUACUUUUUUCAUAUACGUGUGUUUGCUCAAAAGUUGUGACACAUUCAAUCAAUAUUUGAAAAGCUUAUAGACGAAUUUCUAUUUUGCGAUAAAGAUCGUCAUAUUUUGUAUCGAAAUCGUUCUCAUAAAACCAAACAUUUUAUGAUAAAGUUUGACGUUUUUGUGCUUUCCCACGGAUUACAUACGUACCCAUUUUUAUUUUGCUGAUAAUAUCAAGAGAUACUUAUUCGUUUUCGAAGAAACAUACUAUUGCUAGUAUUAAAACAAAACGGAAUUCUAUUGUUAUAAAUCAUCACAUCAAGGGAAUAGGGUUCAACGUUACAUUAUAUUCAAAGGAAAAGUAAAUUUACUUUUAGAAAUCGAUUCCUAUUUCGAUAGUCAAUCAAUAGAAAUCGGGAGAAAAUCAUCAACAUUAUCAUCAAAAUCAGUCGAAACACACCGAUAUAUCGCAAGAAUUACGAGUUAUCUUUAGACUGAUAACCUAUCAUUUUUCAGUUCGUCACAAGAAAUUAACUUUGAAUUUACAUGCAAGGAGGUAUUCAUAAUAUCUGAAAAGUGUAUUGUUUUCAAUCAUUGAAAUUUGUAAAGUACACUGUGUUGAUAAACAUUACGUUUGUCGUGUCUCUGUGACGUCAUUAUCUUCCAUUACAUAUUAGCCUUAGAUGGUUAUGUGAAUUGCAAAAUGUGAUUAUAAGCAAUAGACUUUUUACAGUAAUUAUAUAUUGUACACACAUAAAUUCUAAAAGACAUAUCGUUGUGAAAUGUGUUGUGGGUGUGCAAGAAGCUGUUGUUAAUGUUAAUUUAACACUUGUAAGAUAUAAUCAAAUCUGUUUGAUAGACUAAUGUCUUGUGGGUAGUUGAAAGACGUUAAUGUACCAAUUAUCUCCGAUUGCUUUAAACAUUGGUGUUUUGAUCCUUCAUGUAAGUUGUAUUAAGCAAUAACGAUCCCCAAAGAAUACACUUGAUAAAAUAGGGAUGAGUACAUUAAAUUCGUUUUUUGAAAGCAUCAUAGUACAUACGGUUUCCAUUUAUAUCAUUAGUUAUUGUGUACAUCUUCAAGAGAAAAGAAACAAAAUUGGAUUGACACUUGCAACAGUGACACAAAAGUCGCGAAAUACAUUAUGUUAAAAAUAAUUAAUACACCAAAUCGAUAUUUCGGUUAAUGGACAUCGUCUUUUUCUAUAAACAACAAAUAUGAAUAUACAUUUAUAAAAUUACCGAUUUUUAUAUCCAAUUUCGCAGGAAAAGUUUUGUUGUUAUUGCUGUGUGUUUGUUUAUUGUAUAUUGGCUAGAGGUAUAGAGAGAGGAUUAAUAUCUUUUAAAAAAAACAUGCUCAACCAGGCCGCAGUUUUUAACCUGUUCAAAGUCAGGUGCCUCUGGCAUUAUCUUGUCAUGUAAUUUUUAAAUUUAGUUCACUUAUAUGUUUCGAUGUUUAUAUUAGUGCGACGUCAAUUUUCACUCGGGUGCGAAAUUUUCUCGCUCUGUUUAAAUACCCAUUGGUGACCUUCGGCUGUGUUUUACUCAUUAGUUCUUUCCACUUUUCCGUGGAAAGACCUAUUGGUUUUCUUCUGAUUAUUAUUUUUUUUUCUUCCGCCUAAUUUUCUUUCCUUCGCUAACUUUUUGUUUCACAAGAUGUCACUUAGAUAUUUUGUAUAUGAUAUCGAAGAGUUCAUACGCUUUUGAAACUGACACCGCGUAACAAAAAUCUUUUCCAUGUAAGAGUUAUCAACCCGAACACUGUUUUUCUUGUUAUCACUUAUAUGUCGCAACCGUAUAAGAAACCGACAAAUUUAUUUUACCAAAUUGCUCGUUAUAUCCUCAGGAUGAAAUGAAUAAUUUUAGGCGAAGCUAUCUGGAGACUCCAUAUGAGAGUUAUCCCCCCUUUUGUAUAUGAUAUAACUGAUUUGCAUUUCUAACUGGUAAACGAUAAGUGACAUAGGCCUAGGGUCUUUUGAUUUGAGGUCCUUGGUUCAAAAAAAUGAAAAUGAGGUCAAGGUCAAAGGUCAAGGUCAUGUUCAAAAUUUUGACUUUGGCUUGUUAUCGCUCAUUUUCAGAAAUCUUAUAAGAUAUCGACAAAAUAUUUUCACACAAUUGUUAGUCGCGACAUGUAGUUACACAUAAAUUUUAGUCAAAAGGGUACGUAAACUUUUGAUGUUAGUUUCCCCCCCCCUUUUAUAUCUAAUAUCAGUCGUAUGGUAAUAUAACUCAUUAACAAUAUAAAGUAAAGUAAAGACCUAGAGUCUUUUGAUUUGAGGUCCUUGGUUUAUGACCUUGAAAUUGAGCUCAAGGUCAUAUGUUAAUUUAACAUUCAAGAUUUUGACCUUUGCUUUUAUCUCAUAUGUAUGAUUACUUUAAAGAAAAGUUAUCUAAUGUAAUUGAUUUCAUUUGAAAUAAGGUGUAAUUGUAAUGUAAUCGAUUACAUUUUUAGCAAAGUAAUUGUAAUGUAAUCGAUUACAUUUUUUAGCAAAGUAAUUGUAAUUAAAUCGAUUACAUUUUUAAGUAAUCGACCCCAUCCCUGAUUAAAAGUCGGGAGAAAUGAAUCCAAAAUAUCAACAAAACCAGUUAUAAUACACCGAGAGAAUAACCAAUAAAUAUCAGAAUGUUCGUCACAAGAAAUUAACUUUACAGUUACUAAUGCUAGGAAGGAGGUGUCCAUGAAUAACAGAAAACUAUACUUUUUUCAAUCAUUAUAAUUUGUAAAGUACACUGUGUUUAUGAACAUCAAGUUUGUCGUGUCUCUGUGACGUCAUUAACUUUCAUUACAUGUCAGUCAGUCUUAUAUGGCUAUGUAAAUUGCAAAAUGUUAUUAAAGGCAACAGCCUCCCUUUAGCAAAAAUUACACAAUUUUAAAAGACAUAUUGUGGUGAAUAGUUUAGUGGAUGUACAAGAAUCUGUUGCUGACACAUUUACAAUGUUUAAGUCAUAGUACCAUUACUCUUUCUAAAAGUAAGUAACUGUUGAUUUUGAUGUAGAAAAAAAGAGAGGGAAGAUAGCAAUAAAACAAUCAAAAUUAAGUGUGGAAGAACACACCUGUACUGGAACCCCUGGGCUAAGGUCAUUAAUUAAAUUUAAACAUGUUAAUAGAUUUGUCAUACAUUGUGUCCAUUAGAAGCACCAAAGAAGGGUUCCUGUAUGAUGUUAUGAUAGUAGCAAUACGUUAAAACACAUUUCAAUUACCCUCCCUAAGAAAUAAGCUUAUUUUGGUACAAUGAUCACCAUGUUGGAUUUUACCGGAAGUAGGGUUUUUGAAGUUUGAAGACAUCUAAUCUAUAUAAUAUGUUCAAAAGUAGUACCUAACAAAUUUGUACCAAAUAUUAUGAUAGUAGCAUGAUAAUAACACCUUUUUCAAAUACAAACCUUUGAUAUUGGGCUGAUUAAGUAUGAAUUCCGCCAUUUUAGAUUUUACCGGAAGUAUACAUUUUUUUUCAAAUUCCCUUUCUAAAAUAAAAGAGUAAUAGUUGAGGAAGGUCUAUGCCAAAUUUCAGGCUUGUAGCAGGACGUGCACAAUUCGUCUGGAAUAUGCUUGUAGCCGCCGGACUAGUAUGUAUAUGAGCAUUUGAAAUUAGUUGUAUACUGUUAUACCAUACCAUAUGUAUGCUCAUAUAUUUCUUGCACUACUACUGUGGAUUCAUUUAUUUUUGUGGGUAUCAAUUUUCGUGGAUUGAGAAAAAUUACAUUUUCGUGGAUAUUUGAAUUCAUUGUUUGCCGAUUUCUGUGUACAAAGCCUAUAGAAAAUUUGUAAUUUGUUGAACAUAUGAAUUCAUGGUUCACUUGUACCCACGAAAACCAUGAAAAUUGGUAUCCAACGAAUAAUAAUGAAUCCACAGGAUCACUAUAUCAAUAAUAAUGUUUUAACUAUACUUAAUCCAUAGAUUUCUAAGAGAUGGUUCAUAGAAUGCGUAUUAUGCUUAUUGAUUUCAUUUGCUUGCUUAUUGUGCCACAAGGAUAAAUAUAUGUUGAUACUUGUAAAUUCAUGAUGAAAAAAAAAAUAAAAAAUAAAAAAAUAAUAAAUAAAACAAUCAAAAGAGACAAGGAGCUCUAGAGUCUGCGUUUUUUACAAAAUAUAUUACUUUUUCCCUCAUCAAAAACAUCAUGUAUCAGAUCAUAAAAAGUCAUGACCACUAUAUUGUUUUUCACACAGUAUUUGGAAUACAAAUGCUGUCCUUUAGUUUGUCGGUUUGUAGGUCAGCACUUUGCUUGUCGAACGAUUAAGAAUCUUAUUUACUUUUACAGAUCAAACGUUUUAAGACACAAUGUUAAGAGGUGAAGACAAAAAAAAACUUACGAUUCUUAAGUUUUGUAGUUUGUAUUUCGUGAUUUAUUGGUAUUUACAAGUCGAAAACUACUUUGCUCUCUAUAGAUUAAAUUUUUGCUUUAUGGAUUUUCGUAAUAUUUACAUACAAUAAAAUACAUCUAGUUCCAUUUUGAAGUUUCCCUCUAGAGCUAAAAUAAAAAUAAUUAUAAAUUUUCUACGUUACAAAAGAUCCUGUUGUGAAUUAUGAACGUUCAAAUUUGUAUAUAUGUCGUGUACAUUUUAUUAUUUAGUACAGGUUAAUACUUGUACAAAAACUUUGUAUGAGUAAUUACUUGUAUGAUGCCAUCAUACAAGUUAUUACCUGUACAAAUAUAACUGUACCUGUAAUUACUUGUACAAUUUUUGUUCAGAAAAAAGAAUAAUUGUAAACACAAUACUUUAACGGUGUAUGUCUUCUUCUUUUGCUUUAAACAAAAUGUUUCCUUAAAAAACACUUUUCUUUGAGUUAAUACAAUGUAAGUCUGGGAUUGUGUUCUCAAUUGUGGAGUAUUAUUUUUCUUUAACUGUUUUCCUCGUAUUUAUUUAUUUGUUUGUUUAUUUUUGUCGAGCCUUCGUUUUUAGUCGAAAAAACGCGACAUGUCAAUCCUACAUUACGACGGCGGCGUUGUCGUCGUUGACGGCGGCGUCCACAAAUAUUCGUUCUGUGGUUAAAAUUUUUGAAAUUUUAAUCAUUUUCUUAAACUAUGCUGGAGUUCUACCAAACAUGGACAGAAACUUGUAUAUGAUCAUAUGAUAGUACCCAGAAGUAAAUUUUAUAAAAAUAAAAUUGCUGUUUUUCCAUAUUUUACUUGUAAAUGGACUUAGUUGUUGUUCCCAGAAAACAAUACAUUCACUCUGUGGUUAAACUUUUUAAAAUUCUAAUAUCUUUCUUAAACUAUCCUGGAUUUUUACCAAACUUGGACAGAAGCUUCUUGCAAACAAAAGAUAGUAUCAAGGGGAAUAUUUUUGUUGAUGUUUUUAACUCAUUUUUGUUGAGCCUGCCAUUAACAGCAAAAGUAGGCGAGACUCUGGGUUCCGUAGAACCCUUGCGAAUUUUUCUUAUCAUAGGGCAUAUGUUUUUUCUGAUUGUAUCAAUCUGAUGAGUUAAGCCUCUUUCAACUGAUUUUUAUAAUUCGUUCUUAUGUUGUAAUGUUACACCACUGUCCAAGGUUAGGGGGAAUUGGGAUCCUGAUAACAUGUUUAACCCCGCCACAUUACGUAUAUAUGUGCCUGUCCCGGCCAAGCUUGUCAUUCACUGGUUGUCGCUUGUCCAUGUGUAACAUAUUUUUUUCCAUUCAUUUUUGUACAUGAACAAGGCCGUUAGUUUUCUCGUUUGAAUUGUUUUAGAUUUACCAUUUUAGGGCCUUUUAAAGCUGGCUAUGCGUUGUGGGCUUUGCUCAUUGUUGAAAGCCGUGUGGUGAUCUAUAGUUUUUAAUUUCUGUGUCAUUUGGGUUCUUGUGCAGAGUUAUCUAAUUGGCACUUAUAUCACAUUUUCUUUUUUACAUUAGUACCAUUUUUGAAAUGUUAGAAGAAUUUAGACACACGAGGAACACGGAGUAACAACAUCACAUACAUGUAGCAUGAAAUUGAGCAAAUUAAGCUUAACAGCUUGUUGCUGCUUAAAUACUGAUUACUGGUGUAAAGUGACAAAGUCGUUAAAAGCAAAAAUAAAAUAAACCAUUCUACAAUUUAUUUUCAAAAAUAAAUCAUGAUAAAAAAUUACAUAUAUGUUAUACCAUAUAUUGGAAUUAAAGGUUAAACCUAAUAGAUAAUUAGUACACAUACAACUCAAUAUAAUGUGUUGUAAAGUUUUAUCUUUUUUCUCAUCAAAAUUGUACAAGUAAGUACUGGUACAAUUAUAUUUUGUCAGGUAAUAACGUAUGAUGGCAUCAUACAAGUAAUUACUCAUACAAAGUUUUUGUACAAGUAAUAACCUGUACAAAAUAAUAACAUGUACACGACAUAUACACUGUAUUGGGCAUAGCAAACUUCCUUUAAGUUGGAAGCUCUUGAACAUUAAGUUGAAUAUUCAUGGGUUUCUUUAAGAGUUGUAAAAACUAUAUAUAGAAUUAUUUUCAAGACGAUGCUAUAUAGAGCAUAUGAUGACAUAUUUGUAUACGUCUUACACAACGCAACAAACCUAUGUGUGUACAUGUACAAUUAAGAAUUUCUGAUCAUUUUCGCUAUUAUUUACAGUUUUAAAGAUAAUUGCCAAAAAUGAAGUAAAAAGUUAAAACUGUAAGACGAUUCCAUAAAUGUUGCCAUACUUGUAGAUCUUUAUUUUAUUUUGUUUAUCAAUUUUGUCUGUUACGUUUUGGUUUUAUCUACAACAUUUUCAACCCAAAACGCACAAAGUCGUAAAAUCUUCAUUCAAGGACAACAUUUUGAAUAAGGAAAAGAUCGAGAACUUCGGUCCUCCUUACAUGUUCCUGUUUUAAGAGCUUGCCUUGUUGAUAUUUUGCGCUUAUUAAAGUUUCCCCUUAUUAUCGUUUUAUUCAAGAUGAUAGCACACAUAAAAAGUUUACAUAUGGCUGAAAUCUACAAUAAAAAAUUCAUAUAAACUUGAAUGAAAAUAAUAGUACAUUAGCGUUUCUUGAAUGAAAUAUAAACAUUGAUAUACAUUUCAGUGUUCAUAGAAUCAGCAAGUCUUUUAAAUAUAUGUUUAUACUUAAAUAAUCGGAUUCCUCUAAGUUUCUUUCAGAUUUUGCCAUGCACGUUUAACAAAACAAGGAAAAUGUUACAUACCGUCCCCUAUUUCUGUCUCCCUUAGUAUAUCAAUUAAUAUAUAUACUAAUUUUGCGAUAUUGUUGUCUUGCAAUGAACUUGUACUUUGUGUUUGAUUUGGCUUUGAGCCCCUUUUAUCCGAGCGCCACUAAAGGAUUUUAUGUAGCCAAAACGCAAGUUACCAAUUCAAAGACUUAUAUGUUGCUUACUUUUCAUAUCUAACAUCUUUUUAAAAGACAGAUUUAAAAUAAAACUGCGUAAACAUGAAGUAUCUUAUAUAAAGAAAAUAUUACCUUAUUCUGAUUCUGUAGUACCAGUUUUUGUUUUCACCAAAGUUUUAUAAAAAGAUAUUUAUUUGACGUAUUUCGAGUCCAAGUCUGCAUGUGUUAUCUAUUUAUCUAUUAAAAUCCUGAUUGUGACAUAGGUUCAAUCAUAUAGAACUAUUUACAUAAUAUAUCACUGUUAUCAAACUAAUUAUCAAUCAAUUUUAUGAAUAACUUGAAAAUUUAUCACAUGCUCUUGGUACAAUAAUUAACAAAAUAUGAAAAUAUGUAAAUAAGUAAAUUACAUCGCCAUUUACUUGUCAUUAUUUUAUAACAAACAAACUGUUUUAUCUGAAUUCCGUUUAUUUAUUAGAUACCUAAUGGGAUAAUUUUUAUCAAUAUUGUUUUUUUGUACUCAAUGAUGUUCAAUUGUUAUUUAAAUUGGUUUUGUUUAUUAUGCACAUUUGAUACCCGCGGGACAGAAUUGUUAAUAUAAAAAAUCUAUAGCCUGUGAAGGUCGAUCACUUAAAACUUAAAAAAUACAUCACAAACCAUUUACCAUACACCAUACCUGCACUGCUUCUCUUCUUCUUUUUUUUUGGUAGAGGUAGAUACUAGCGUUGUUGAUUAUCUCAAUUGCUUGUUAUAUUGUUAUUUUUAAUUGUCUGAGUACAUUUUAAACCUAUAUUUUUUAGUUCAUUGUGAUAUUGUGCACUAAUUACUUGUUAUAUUUUUUUCCAUGGAGUUUAGUAUUUUUUUAAAUUAACUUGUAAGCACUGAUUCCGAGGUAAAACUUAGAACUUGAUUUAUUCUACAUUAUAUAUAGUUUAAAACAUCAAAAAAUGUGUUUCAAUCUUGGUUUGAUUUAUUCUAGUUAAGACACAUCAGUGACGCUCAGAUCAAAAUUGUUAGAGAUCAAACAAGUAUAAAGUUAAAGAGCAUUCAGGACCCAAAAUUCUGAAAAGUUGUACAAUAUACGACUAAGGUGAUCUAUGCCUUGAAUAAAUUUGUAUUCGAAAUUGUAUUAAAAUCUUCAGUUAUUGUGCUUCUUUUUUCGGGGGCGCAUUGUCAAUUUAUUAAAUUUUAUCAAAACAACUUGUAAGGGUAUAAUUUCUAGUGGCUAUCAAACAUUGUUUUUUACUCAACAUUUUUAUUUUUCGAUUUCCGUUUCUGUAGAACUUUCAGAUUUGUGCUUUCAUUAUUUCAACAUAUUUCAAUAGAGAUUCUUUCAGUUGUAUAACUUAAAUUCAAUAAUAAGUCGACUUAAAAAGCAAUAAAAGGUUUAAACUACGACAACAAGAAAAAGUCGUAAUUGAAGUUUUCAGUCUUUGAACAUCCAAUCAGUAGGAUAUUACAGCAAGUUUAAUUCAUCAUCAAUUUCCUUACUUAAACUAUUUGAAAAUAUCACAAUUACUAGAAUUUGUGGAUUUUACAAUUCUUUAAUUUAGAGAUAAGGAAGUUUGGGUCCUUAGAUUUUGAAACGAACUGUUAAGAUUUGUAUUUUAUGACCCGAUAGUUGACGAGCGAAACCUUUGUUUUUUCUUAUGCUAACAAUAAAAUGUUGCAGACUACAGGAAAUUAGUUUCUUGGAAUAAUUUGAAUAAUGUUUUGCCCUUGAUACAUUUAAGCUUUUGAUUUUGUCAUUUGAUUGUGGACUCCCCGUUUCAAAUUUUCCUCGGAUUUCGGUAUUUUUUUUAUACUUUAUUCAUGUUACAAAUAUCGGUUAUCUUGUGUGCUGACUUUAGGGUUGGAAUUAUGACAGCUAGAAACUACUACAGCCGAUACCCCUGAAUAAAUUAACUUAAUUAACCUAGUUAUUAGUAUAUCAAACACGUAAACUUGUAAAUGAACAGUGAAUACCGUGUCACUGAUGUGGUCGAUUCUUUUGAUAACCACCGCUGAUUUUGGAAUUGUUGAUAAUGAAAAACAUAUCAGUAAUUCGUUUUACCAUGAUACGCGUCUAUUGCAUGUAAUGUUCUGUUUUGAAAGGUUAACAAUAGUUAAUGACGCCAUAAUAUAGAGAAAUAAGGAAGUAAAAAAAUAAAUGGCUUCAAGAGCGCAACUAAAAAUGCAAAAAUUGAACUAUUAACAAUGUUGUUAAAUAAACUACAAGAUAAAUCCAUAAAAUUGUAAUGCAAUGAUUGCGUAAUAUUAUCCAAAAACCGGAAUAUAAACAAUCAAAUUACGUCAAUAAAAAGCAAAAUAUUCUGAUUGUUCUAUUAAUUAGAUAAUAUCUUUCAAGUCUUAAUAGAUAAAACAGUUAAUUGCAUGAUAUAACGUUUUGAUAGAUUCGGAAAUUGUUUAUUUUUAUCACUUUUCAUUUCACGUGAUCACUUUGAUUCAGUAUUGGUAUGAUUGUUCUUUCAUUUAAUUGACAAACAUUUUAAGAUGAGCAUCGUAAAACGCUGGAAUAGACCCAUAUAUUUUUGUUGAGGUUGUAAGUUGUAGUCGACGUAAAUAUAUCUUUACUGUUUGCUUAUGGAUCAUAAUAUUAGUAUUUAUAGUGCAGAGUUUUUCAUAUAUAUCGUAAAAUUUUAGAAUUUCAAAGACAAAUGCUUAAUUCGUUAGUAUACUAUGAUAUUCCUAAAAAAUGUAUGAUUUCAAAACGACAAAUGUAAAAAAUAUAGAAGAUGAUUGUAGCAGAGGUAUAUUUUUAAAAGUGUUUUUGCAUGUGACAUUUUUUCCAAUAAAUAAACAUAUGUAGUAGAUGCACGAUCAUCCGCAAUAGAUUUGAAAUAAUAAUAAUAAUAAUUCGUGGAAAGAAUUAGGACUUAAUAAUAAAUAGUAUCUAGGCAUGUACAUGAAUGAUAAGACAAAAAAAAACUUUUACUGAGGUUACAGUACAUUUCACUGACAUAUGAAGUCAUGUUUUAAUUUUAAAAACAAGCAUAUGCUCUGUCUAUGAAUAUAUUCCUAUAGUAAAAGAAACGAGAAGAAAUUUGCAUGAAAACUAAUAGAAUCAAAAUAAGAGCAACAGUGAUUUACCCAUGUCCAAAUGUCAUUAAUCUAUUUAGAAAAUACCAAAUCAUGUUAAACAACAAAAAAUGAGGGAAUCGAAUUUACUCCAGAAGGUACCAGAUAGGAUGUGUGGAUAUAUUAAGCGUUUUUUGCCAUGAAGGCAUCAUAACAUCAGUGAGCUAUUGAAAUAGUUAAUUAUACGUUAAUGUUAAGUACUUUCAGCUGAAAAUUUAAACGUGAUAUAAACAAGUAUACUAUGCAGUACCUGGGAUUACUAUACUUACCUGUUCUGUCACAGGUAGUACAAGAAACGUAUAUAGUACUAUAUACAUGUAAUUUUCUGGUAAUCUUUUUGGACAUAUUCGAAGCUUUUUACGUCUUGUAUAUGGUGUGUACAAGUUGUACUGUUGUACAAAUUAUAAUUUAUACAUAUUGUUUGUACAAGUUAUCAGUGUUUUAUGAACCGCUUAACACAGUCUUUUGUUUCACAUAUUUAUGUCAUAUUUUUACAACUACAUGAUACAGUCUAAUACUGAGCAUUGAUACAAAAACAUUAUAAAAACACAAAACGUCUUUUAAUGGAUAUGAUUUUGGUAUAAGGAGAAAACACAAAUUAGAAUUUAAACCAUUCAGGUAGCCUUAAUUCAUGUUUCAGGACAAAAGCAAUAGCAUUAAAUGUUUGGUUGACAUAUAUACAAUUGAAUUUAAGACAUUUAACUGAUACAUUUAGAAGAUAAACUUGUAUCAUUAGUUGCAAGAAGCUAAGUGUCAAAAGACUUAUAACUUGUACAAAAACCCUGUACAAAUUAUAAUUUGAACAAACUUACUUUUAUACACAUCAUAAUAUAUAUAUAUAUAGAUGAUAAAGUAUCGACAUUAGCAAUCUUCAGACUGUUUUACUAUUUUCGUUUUAUACAAUAACAUCUUCAGGUCAGACGUUUUAUUUCAGAAGCAAUAAGCUUCAUUUUAUUUAUUAAUGGACUGUUCAAUCGUGAUCUUUGCUACUAGAGAUUCAUUCUUAAUGCGAAUAUUUUUCUUAACGGAAAAUCACAUCACACGAUGUCUCUACGUUAUGUGGCAAGCAGUCAGAUUGACAUCAUUUCAUAAUCUUAUUACAUUGAUUCAAAAUAUAUUUAUAGCAAAAUCUAAUAACUUGUCACUGUAUUUGGUAGCAACAGCAAGCCAAUUCUACAUUGAUGCUACGUUUUCUGGUAAAGUGUGAUUGAAUGUAUAUUUAUAUCAAUGGUAUGACGCCAAAUCGUCUAUUUAGAAUAUUGCUGCGAUUUUCAAAUGCAAAAACGAAAUGUUUUCUUUAAAGGCUUUGAAUUUUUGCAGUCACCUUAUACAUAAUCCUGACAUCUAGAUUUUUUUUCAUGUCGGGGAACGUUUUGCUUGGUUAGCACCCAACAUUAAAAAAAAAAGUAAAUAGAAUUGAUCGCAAUAUAUCAUACACAUAUUGUUGAUAAAUCUUAUUAUGAAAAUAACAAAUUUGUCGACUCCGCUGUUGUAUACAGUACAAUACAUUCUCCAAUGUUUGGCUGUGUAGAGUAUUAAAUAAGUACAUCCUCUUUCGGUAUUAAAUGGGAUGUUAUUUCUGAUUUCAUUAGUAGCUAGAUUGCUACGUUUAAACCCUCUGCACAUUUAGGAUCCUUUCAAAAACUCUAAGUGUUGUCGUAUGUAAUCCAAAUAAAGGCAAACAUUCUGCUUUCAUACAGAAACCCUAAUAUUACAUAGGCAGGUUACAGUUUCCGAUUCUUUAUCUCAUAACCAUUUCUUCAACUUUACUGCUUAUUUGUUGUCGUCUUGACACCUAUCAAUCAGUUAUAUAAGAGUGAUAAAUUUCCAAAGAUCGUGUCUUUGGUGCGAAGUAACAUUAGGAAGACACUAUAUAACUAAAAUUGUGCAUAACAGACUUUUUUCUUGCACUGUGUGAUAUUUAGAAGUACAGAUUUUUACGCUUAAUUGGAACAUAUGUUUGAAAAGUCAAAAGUUUAAGAUAGAAAAUUACAUUUGCGUUGCAAAUUUAACAGUUUGUAUUCACAUUGAUUCUGACAGGUCUCAGCGAAAACGUAAAAACGUUAACAAUACCAUAUUUCUUCUUGAUUGAUAAUGGGAAGUAAAAUUAUCAGUCAACUUAAUGAGCAUAUGUCUGCAUCGGUAACGAACUAAUCGAGAAGAUACUAGGCCUCGUUGUGAAUAAUACGACAAAAAAAGUAUUGGGAAUUUUUCAAUUUUACAGUUGGCUAUAUUUUGUCAUUAUUGUAUUAUUCAUACAUUUCAACUUGUCAAUGAUGAAGAAGAUUUAUCGACGAAUAUGUUCGCUGAUGUACAAAUUAAAUGUCCUAUAAGCCCUGGGUCAAUGUCGUGUUUACCAAAAACAACUUAAACAUUGUUUUCGGUUUUCACUGUGCUAUUUACAAUAGAAAGUUUUAUCGAGACACCAGCUUUGAUUAUAAGCUAAAUUGAGUAAAUUGGUCUAAUUGUAUAACUUAAAUCAUAAGUCAAAACACCCAAACAAUACUAAUGGAUGAUCAACAGGGGCAUGUUUAGUGGGUCAGACGAAAAUUACAGGCUCCUCUCUUAGGUCAGACACAUACAUGAUUUUGAGGGUUUUAACAGAACAACAAGGAAUAAGAAAAAACUAUAAAAAUCAGUAAACAUGGGAUUGACUCGUCAGACAAAGUUCAAACACUAAACACAAAGGAAGAAUUUAUAUAAAACGUCCAAAUAAUCGUUCACUCAAUAAUACUUACUACAGCAAUGACUUCAGAAAGUAAAGACAUCUUGUUUGAAACCAGUAUUCUCUAACAGACCUUAUUUUAAUCGACUGUAUUUUUUAUAUAAAAGCUAUGAUAGAUAAUAGAAGAUACAAAUUUGUUGUAAAAGCAAGUAUGUUUUUCUAUUUAAUACUCAAUGUAUAUGAUUAUUCGUUUUAUUAGAAAGGGUUCUUAGAUCAUAUACUAAAGUGUAGUUACAUAGUACCAAUGUUCUCAAAAUAUAAUUGAAGUCUCGCUCGUGAUCUGAAAUUAAUAUUUUGAUGUGUAUUUGUUCUCGUUAAAUUCCGAUUAAAAUAUAAAAUAUAAAUUUCAAUUGAAGCAACUUGUAUGAAAAAUAGCGACAAAAGACCUAUUAGAAAUAAAAUACUGUUCAGGAAGAUUUUAAUAUGAUAAUGAAUCAUUAAACCUAUCCAUCAUUGUUAAGCACAUUUUGUUUAUUUAUUACGUUAGGGACGUUCGUCUAUAUACCGGGUGAAAACACUAAUAUGCAUUAUGAAUUUGGUGGGCAAAUGCAAACAGGGAGAAAGUGUGAAAUGCUGAAUAAAACGGCAUGUAUGUAUAAUUGUUUUUUUUUUUUUCAAACUUUGGAGUUUAAUGUAUAACUAUAAAUGCUUUUGAUUUUGAAAGAAAAUUAUUCAAAUGAAAUAUUGUCUCGACUGAUUUUUAAUAAACCUACGUUGAAGAGGUUUUAAUAAUUCAUUUUUAUUUAUAAUUAAAUGGAGUUUUUGGAAUAUUGCACCUAUAUUUCUUCUGUAUAGUUUAUAACCCCAACAUUUAAAGUUUAUGAUAGAUGUGCAUUUUGAUCAUUAUAGGUUCAAUAACAUGUGAAAAUUGGAGUACUCUUCAAAUCAACUAGAGAUUAUUUUAAAACCAAUAGAAUAAUAAACAAGCCAUUGGCGAGUACUGAGUAUCAAGAUCCACUUUUCAAGAAUUAUGAAACUUUUUUUUAAAAUUAAAUUUUAGUGAAAUAUUUUCGAUUUCGAAAGUGUUAAAUCAGACGUCUUCAAGCUUGUAGUACGCUUCAGAAUUAAUUCAAAUUAACCAAAGUUCUAUUUUUGAGUAAAACAUGCCAGUAUUUUAUCCAUUAGUUCGAUGCGUUUGAGCUUUUGAUUUUGCCAUUUGAUUAAAAACGUUCUGUUUUGAAUAUUCCUCGAAGUUCAGUAUUUUUGUGAUUUAACCUUUUUAUAUAUAAUUGAAAGCACCACACUUCGUUGCCAUCGUUCACCGAACAAAUAGCCAAAGGAAAUGCCACAAGUUCGUAACCAAUUGUUGAACAGGGCAUAUUAAAAUAUUUUUCUUAUCACUCAUUUAAAUCACACAGGUUCAGUAAAAAUAUCUCUUCGUUAGGGAAAUUGAUGACCGACAAGUCAUAAAAGAAAAAUGAUACAGUUUUGCUUUGCUUUAAUGAUUUUCAAGUGAUUUUAUUUCAUUAUUUCGGACAAUAAAGAUUCAGUAGUAAUUGUUAAAUUAUCACAAACGUUUGAAGUGUAUUAAAAAAGGCUUAAUCGGUAUACAUACAUGUCACACAUGUUUUAAAACCCGGGUGACAUGUUAGCGUACCCUUUUUUAAAAAUAGUUUGGCUCAACCUUCCUCAUGCAAAAUUAGAUUAGACAGUUUUGCUAUUCGUUAAAGUCCCUAUAGGUUUUUCAUAUACAAGAGGUAUGUCCACGUUAAUAAAAAAAAAAACCUCAUCAAAGAUACCAGAUUUUCAAACACUGAAUGUACAUUGCCACAAACUAUAAAAUACCUUUUGAAGGUUGAAAGCUGUUAUUGGUUAAUUCAGUUCUGAAGUCUAAUGGAUCCGGAUCCAUGACGCAAGAAUCCACUAAUAGUUGAUAAGAUUCACAUUCUGAUAGUGAUACAGGAAGAGUGAGCCUAUUUCUCUUCAUUUUUAAAGCAAUAAAUGGGGCAAUUGAGUUUUAUGUUGUAUUCAAUUAUUUUUACUUUGACCCAGACAUUUACGUUUGAACGAGUUUUAUGCUUCCGACUAAAAUUAUUUUCAACUAUUAUUAGCAUUUUUUUAGCGAAUGAAUGUGGGAAAUUUUUUUUUAUUGUGAUAGCUUUUUCGUGGAAGUAAACUGACUCUUCGGAUACCAAAUUAGUGCAUAGUUUAUUUCAUUCGGAGUACUUUAUAUUUUCCUAGACAUAGAUGACAAUUGCUGGAGUUUUGGGGGGUUUGGUGUUCAAUUAUAUUUGACUGGGUAGGGUUUUUGCCUACCCAGUUAACUUGUUUCGAGUGUAACUGAUGUGCCUUAUGUAGACCGAACACGCACCUGACCUACUAUAAGAAUCUUUAUAUCGUUUAUGUGUUUUUAGACAUGGAAUUAUUUAAGGUUUGUCAUGCUCUGUUGCUUCUUAGUUGAAGAACAUAUUAUAAUAUCAAGACAUCUGUUUAUUUUAUUGACGGAGUGUUGUUUAACUAUGCUAAUUCUGAUUUGUCAUGCUCGGCGGUAAGAUCAGUAAUAAGAGCCAUCCCUUUGAUUGUGAUGGCUGCAUGAAUAAACUCAUCAUAAGUACCAGGAAAUUUUUUGUAUAUACGCCAGACGCGCGUUUCGUCUACAAAAGACUUAUCAGUGACGCUCGAAUCCAAAAAAGUUUAAAAGGCCAAAUAAAGUACGAAGUUGAAGAGCAUUGUGGACCACAAUUCCUAAAAGUUUUGCCAAAUCCAGCUAAGGUAAUCUAUGCCUGAGGUAGAAAAGCCUUAGUAUAGAUAAUUCAUGUCAGCACAAAAAGUGAUGACUACUGAAUAAUAAGCUACAUCAAGCUGGAAUUAGUAUGUCAAAUAAAAUGCUCUCUGUUUGGAGAGUGUCAUAUUCUGUGCAAAUGAAUUUUUCGCUAGCUUUACCCAAAAAAAUAUGCCCAAUUUUGCCUACAUUUAGUUUUCAUGAUGAACGCUUUGCUUUUUGUUGACUAUUGCUUUUUUAGUUUUGUCUUCUCGGCGUGGUGAUUAUGAUCCUAUUUGAUUUAUAAGUUCAAGUGUCACCAACUCAAUCAGUCUCUCAAUUUUUUUACAAUCAUGAUACUAUAAAAAAAAAUAAAAAUAAAAAGGUUAUGUCAAUUUGACCUUCAUUCACUUAAUUAAACACACAUUAUUAUUAAAAUGAUAAAUUAGUUGUUUCAUUCAGUGUCUGAAUUCUACAAGACAAAAACUGGAAUAUAAUUAGGUAAUAGUGUCCAUGUAGAGAAGAGGGUCGCCUAUCUAUUUUCCCUGACAUGUUCUUACAUCAAGUACACUUUAUAGGUCGUUCUUUUGCUUUGCUAAACGUGGAUUUCAAUAUAGGUCAAAGCUUACUAUGUUUGCCGAAAAAAAGAAACCAAACGCAUACUAGUAUUCAAUACAUCAAUAGAUAGUCUCAGUCACUACCCAAACUUUAAAAAGGAAAUACCUAUGCCAUUUUGAUCGUCAUGGAAUUGACUUAAAAUAAUUCCUUACAUUCCUUGAAUAUAAUUUCUUAUUGAUGCGUACAUUUGUUAUUAUGUUAAUAUCGUUACGUAAUUCUUGUCUGAAACAUGACACAUAAACGGAAAGUCGGUCUUCUAAACAAAGCAAGAUAGAGUACAUAAAAUAUUUGUGUUUGAGUGCCGUUGAAUUCAUUUCAACCGAUAUAAACAUGAAAAAACUCAUCAAAGAUUCUUCAAAACACAGUCAAAGAUACAAAAGACUUCUAUUGAUGAAGCAAACAUGCUAUAAUAAAUUACAAUUGGAAGUAAUUAAAAGGACUUAGUUUGAAAGUUCGAAAAUAAGAUACUAGUAACAGUUUGUCAAUAACUUUCAUGAAUGUAAAAAGACAGGACCAUUAGUUAAAUAUCCAUUCAAAACAUUGGUACGGUAGAAAUUUCGAAAAUAGUAGUUUAAUUCGAGUAUAAUAUUCAGCAUAGCUGGACCAUUGAAUAUAAAUCUGGUAACAUAUUAUUAAGCCACAAAUACAAAAGUUGUCUACGCCUUAUUGACGGAUAUGACGACAAUGUCCACAAUUAACCUCAUCACAUUAUGUAUGUGUCAAUCCAAAUUCAUCAGUUAGUUGUUUAUUACUGUAUGCCAAUUUUGCGUUUGUUUUGUACUUUGAUUUUUUUAUUAUGUGAAACACUUCAAUUUGUAAUUAGUAUCAUCAUUCCUUGAUAGAGAAUUAGUCAUCACAAGUAAGCUAUUAAACAAUGAGUUCCAAGUGGUGAAGUUGAAGUCAACCCUCUUGGUCUUUUUUUUUGUUUCAGCCAUGCUAGUUUAUGUUACACUUAUGAAUUUAAAUGGAUGUUCCAAUUCAAGAGUAUGCCAGUUGUUAUUCAUUCGUUUGAUAUGUUUCGGCUUUCGAUUUUGCCAUUGAUAUGCCAUUUUCCGUUCUGAAUUUUCCUGGCACUUCGUUUUAUUCUAUUUUAUUUUAUUUUUUGGUACCUUUCGCCUCUCAUUUUAUUUGUCGGGGCUCUUCAUAGGUUUCUAUGCGAUGUGAUUUUUGCUUAAUAUAUUUACAGUCACACGGCGACCUUAAGUUACUGACAUCUCUGACGGAGAGUGGUAUAAUGGCAAUCUUACAUCAUCUUCUUAGUCUAAAAAGGUGAAGUUGCAUUGUUCAAUUUCUGAUACUGUGAUCAGCCGUCAUACGAUAAUUGGUUCCUUUUUUCCUGGUUUAUUUGGAACAUUUGUAUUUCAGAACCAGAUCAGGAUUCUAAAUAAUUACUUACGGUAGUAUGAUCGAAAACAAAUAAAAGUACAUGUUGUAUAUAUAUAAUUGACCGAUAAAUUCAAAUGUUUUAAAUACGAGUAAAUAAUUUGCACUGUUAAGGCAGGGAAAUAGCCAACGAUCGUAAUUAACAAUGGAUAUAGCUUCAACAAAAAUUCGAUUUACAAUUGAUAACCUUUAAAACAUACAUUCAGAUACACUAAAUUAAAUACAGAAAGGUAUAUCUUUUCAAUUCUAAAAGACAGUUGGACUACGAAAGAUAAGCUUAUCAUUUGAUCAUUAUGAAUAAAACGCAAUAUUGGAUUAACGGUAUUGUCUUUAUAUUUAGAUAUUGUUAUAUGGUUUCAGGAAAAUUGAGCACAUCAACUAUAGAAAACACUUACUUUUAAAAGGACACUUUAGACUAUUUACUGGGUUUGUAAUAACAUGCGCAACACGACGGGUGCCACAUGUGGCAGGAUCUGCUUACCUUUCCGGAUAAUCCCCAGUUUUUGUUGGGGUUCGUGUUGCUAAGUCUUUAGUUUUCUAUGUUUUUUCGUGUGUACUAUUAUUUGUCUGUUUGUCUUUUUCAUUUUUAGCCAUGGCGUUGUCAGUUUAUUUUCGAUUUAUGAGUUUGACUGUUCCUCUGUUGUCCUUCGCCUUUCUUUCAGAGAUGCUGUUUUUAUUUCUGAUUUUAAAUUUUAGUUUUUGGCUUAGAGGAAAAAUUUCCUUACGAAAAUUAUACAUAUAUGAAUAUAUAGGUUGGCUUUAAAUGGUACGGUGCGAAAAAGACCGUUCGAAUGGACUUUUCUUUCUUUUUGUUGAUCCUCAAUCACGACAUGCGAUGCAUUGAUAAAAAUAAUAUCAAUGUUUCCACAUAGAAAUAAAUCCAGCGAAAAUACAAUUGAUUUUUCCAAAUAAAAAUAAUUGUAUUGCUUGAAAUUUACAAACAAAUUGACGCUGGAUGAAAAUAUCACUUCGUUUAUUAUAGAUAAAAUUAAAAUUGAAAAUCUAUUAUUGCAGAACACCAAACUGGAAUCGUUUUCUAAAGAUUUAAUCAUAUUUUGGAAAUACCCCUGGAGUACCAUCUGUGGAAAUUCAACGCUCACAAUAAAUAAUCUUUGCAUUUAGCUAUCUCAUAAUUACAAUUUUCAUGUUGUUUUUUUUUAAUUUCCAUCAAAUAAUGCCAUAUUAUUGAACUUUUUUCCGAGGUGCUAAGACUGUAAACUCAUAUAUUCAACUAUUUUAACAAUAAAAAUUGAAAAUGUAGUUGACUUUAUAAUAUAGAAGUCAAUAUUAACUAAUAAGAAAACGUAGAAACUACAGGUGCAUGCUUGCCACACACAAAUUAUCCCAGAGUUAUGAGCUAACCGGAAUCAGUAAGUUAAGAAGAAUAUGAAACAAGUGCUUGUAUUUAUAUUGCUAUCAAAAUUAUUGAACCUUAUGCAUUCAUAUACACUAAAAUAAGUCCAAUUUGAACAACUUGUAUAUCUAUUAAGAAUCUAUCACGUAUUUUCGACAUAUAUUUCAUACAGAGAUUUUUGGUCGUAGGCUAAAAUACUUUCGAUUGUGUUACCGAAGUUUAACGGAUAGUCACAUUAGUAAAUACUCAAUACUGAGCCCAGGAGUCACGUGAAAAAUAAGCGAAUAAGAGCUAAGAUAUUCUUUUUUUUUUAAAUUUCUAUGCUUUCCUAUUUGUAAGUUAAACUUUUCCCAAACAGUUUUGUUUAAUAUUCAAUUAAGAUUUUUUUCCAAAUAUAGCUAAGGUAGUGUAUUCCUGGGGCAAUUUCAAAGGUUGGUUAACAGUUAUUUUAUGAAUAUGAUCAUAUAAAUGAUAAUUCAUGCCAAUACAGAAGUGCUUGAAAAUAUAACAGUAAUAUUAAAUAUAGUCUAUAAAGUCUGCAUGGGAUGCCAGGCUGACUAGUACAGUCUAUGAAUAUCAACAUACAAAAUAAUGCUAUAUAAUUUAACAUUUGCUUUGGCAGGGCACCUAUUGACUAUAAAUUACUAGGUUGUAAAAUUUUAUUUAUUCAUAGUGGUAUAUCAAAGUGCCGCAAUUUGUGAUGUGUACAUUAUAUUUUUUAUUAAUAUCUUUUAAUAUAUUAUCAAAGACAUUUUAAACCCUUAUUUAAUUCACUAUUAACUAACUAAUUUUAUUUUCAAAAUAUUUUUCAUAUCGAAAAUAUAAAAAUUUCCCAUUUCGGUUAAGUAUUUAAAAUUUUAAUACUCAUUCGACAAGUGGAGUGCUCCGACAGAACGGAGGUAUAUACCAGAACAGAACAGAACAGCUAGAUACUGAGAGUGUAAUACCCUCAGGGAGGAAAAAUACACCAGCAAUGUCAUCGUCCUAUUGGUUGUAUAUAAACUUAUCAUUCAUACCAGGAUAAAAUGUUAGUACGCCAGACGCGCGUUAUAUCUACAAAAUACUCACAAGUAACACUGAAAUCAACAACACAUUUCCCAGAAUAAUUUAAAUCAAUGUUAAUAAAAAACGUUAUAUUUGAAAUGAAUAAUGGCGCGGUUCGAUUAAAGUGAAUAAAGGAGAAUAUAAAUUUUGCACGAAAAAAACAGCAAGAGUUCCAGUAAAACACUAUGAAAAUAUCAUAUAAUGGUUAUAUAUUAUAUUAACUUAGUAACACGCUAUGUCAGCAAGAAAUUGUUUCUGGAAACGAGUUUUCCUGUUACAGCGUACAGGUUUCCUAGUGGCAAGGUUACUUUAAAGUUCAUCAAAAGGACACAUAUGACCGUGUUUACAUGGCAAGAUUUAAUCGAGUACAAAUAAAUCUUUGCACCAGGAAUUUUUUUUAUAUCUAGUUAUAUAUAUUCAGGCAUUUAUGAUUGUUCUUGACUCUCUAUUGACAAUUUUACGCUAAAUAAAUUAACUAAAUUAAUUAUACGAGAGUAAGAAUUCUAAAAAGAAAAUCAACUAAAACUUGAAGAAUUUGUGACAACAAAAAAGAAUUUCAAGAGCCAUAAUAAACAUUUAUUUUCAUAAGAUGAAAUGCAUUGUUAUCUUCUUUUCUUCCCUCCCAGUCUUGAAACUUUUUCUUUUGUUACGUUAAUACUGGCGUAUGUCUCCUUUGGAUGAACAGUAAUGCGACUUUGCCUCUAGAAAAGACUGUAGGCGCUAACAGGAAAACGCGUUGCUUAUCUAAUAUGUUGCUGCCCAUAGAGUGAACUAUCAUUGUUUAUCAAGGUUUAAAGAGACAGCGAAUCGUCACAACAUUUCGGUGUUAUUGAAUAUACACAAUUUAUGAUCUUCGAAGGUUUCAACAUACACAUAAACGGUUUAUGAAAUUGGUUGUGAAUAAAUCUUAGAAAGGUAGGAACUAUCAAUGAAACACCUUCUCAAUCUGAACAAUAUCCCUCUCUCAAACUAGCAAAUAUAAAUUGAUAUACUAUUUGAUACAGACCAAGCAUACUAUUGCGAAUCGUAUAAUAAAUGGAAGACAACUUUAAAUUCACUACAUAUGUAUAAUCAAUCUAUGAAAUCAAGAAGGAGCAUACUAAGCUCACCUGUUGCCCUUAGUAUAUGAUCGUUUAUGAAAAUGAAGGAAACAGUUUUAAGGAUAAUAUGUAUUUUCUCUAUAUAAAUCGUAUUUACUUGUGUUACUGUCUGCAUGCUCUGAAUUGGUUAUAACUUUUUAAGUUUGUUUGACAUUAUUAGUAAUUAUGUUCACUACAUAUGUAUUCCUCAAUCUAUGAAAUCAAGAUGGAGCAUACUAAGCUCACCCGUUGCCCUUAGUAUAUGAUCGUUUAUAAAAAUGAAGGAAACAGUUUACGGCUGGAAUAUGAUUGUAAUGCAAACCUCGUGUCUUUGCUGCGAUUAAAUAUUUAAUGUAACAUUUAAUAACUUAAACGACAGAUAUGCGUGGCACAAUAAUUUCAAUUGCAAGGACAUUAUUGAAUUUAUUCUCUACAAAAUUAAAAUUCGCUAUAACAAUAUAUUCAUUUGGAUAAUUGUUAAAACUUCUUAGCUGCACCAGCUGUGAAUUCAUUGAUUAAAAUGUAUUAUGAAUGAGCUGCACUUUUCUUUGCACAAAUUGCAUUAAUUUACCCAAGGCAAAUCAUUUUAAAUACAUCUAGUACAGCUAAUUCCCGCUAAAUUGAAACCUAAUUGCAAAGAUUUUCAAAAAGUUAUGCAGAUUUCCUUUACAUUUGAUCCAGCGUUAUCACAUUUUGGACGAACACUUUGAUAUUGACCCAAAUGGAAUUUAUUGCAGGUUUUGGAACUUUUUAAAAAAUCGAAACUAAAUUUACAGUUAAAGUUACAUGUAAACAAAUGUGGGAUAAUGAAUAGAACGAACAUUUGUUAUCUUUAUCAAGAAGAGGACCAAAAGGUAAAAUCACAAAAAUACUGAACUUAGAGGAAAAUCAAUUCGGAAAGUCCAUAAUCACAUGGCAAAAUCAAAUAACAAAACGUAUCAAAAACGAAUGGACAAAAAGGUCUUGUUUUAUGAUGGGUAACGUUUCUAUAAGCACUCGGUUUACAUAGAAUAACCAUACAUUGUCUCAAAAUUGUCUCAACAUGUAAAUUUUAUUUGUACAAAGCUAAGAAAUAUUUAGAGUUAACGCCUUCAUUUUUCAAUAAGGAGUGGACGAAGUAAAAUUUCCGCGAACCUGUAUUGUUUAUCGACGUCAUUAAUAAAACUCUACGGAAAUGCAUUGCCAACGUCAUAAACAAGACGAUAUAUGGUCAGUGACAAUAUAUCACAAAUGAAUAUACGGUCAAUUCAAUUUGACUGCACAAAUACCAAGGAUGCAGUCUAUACUAUGUAUUACCAAUGUUACACAAAUGGACAGGACUGAAUCGUUCAUAAUGUCAAUAUUUCUCAAUGGGGACAGCUUUCAGUUCCAUUUUACGGUAAUCAUAUUUUCAAAAUCAAUCAGUAAUCAUUCGUCUUCAGCUAGAUAUAAUAGGUACUAUUAAAUCUGUGUUUAUCUAUUUCACAAUAGUACUUAUUACCAGUACAAUACCUGCAAAAACAACAAAACUGAAAGCAGAAAUUAUCUUUUUAUUUUGUGGAAAGCUCGUAAUUACAUAAAAAAGAAGACAUUCAGGUAGAAUGAAAUUGUAACACGAUAUAUCAUUACUCACCAUAGGACACCAUAUGAUAGCAAAAGCUUAAGACGUGAAAAGAAUAUGACUUCAAUCAAAAUUGUUUAUGAAAUUUUAUUUUUACCCUAAAGCCAUCUGUCAAACACAGUUUUAUUAUUACCCUUCAACUCGGCACAAAUCUCAAAAGACUAUAAAAAGUGUGCCCCGAGUUAUAACCAAAGAAAACGAAAUAUUCCGAGAUAAGGAUUGACUUAGGUCAUUCACCUGAUACUCUUUGAAACGUAAUUGGGAAUAUUGUAGUAUUAACUUUUUUGUACGUAGCUAGAAACGUGCAGAUAAUAUACUGUAAGCAAAGUAAAACGCUAAGAAACAGAGUUUGUCUAAACAGAUAUAUUGUUUUGAUGCCUUCCUCUUUUACCUCCGAAAUCAACAUCAUCAUGUUUCCUUCCAAAUUCAUUGUAACGUAAACAAAGCACUAUGUAGUAUCAUUAUCUGCAAUCAGUCAUCUAUUGUACAAACAACAGGUACACAAGUAACCAUUAAUGUACUUGUGACUUUGCUUCCAUAUUGAUAAGGCGGUAAUGUCAAUAUUUCUUUUUGUGUUACGGUUCAUGUUGGGGUCCUCUUCGAGCCCACCAUCUAAACUUUGAUAUUUUUUUUUUAAAUCACAGUCAACUACUUGAUUUUAAACUUCUAACCCCUAAAGUGUCAGCUAGAAGAUAAAUCAAAUUAUGUACAUUGUCAGAAAUAUCAAAUUUAUUUGUUUGUGCUAUGAAAUUAUUUGUUUAAAAGCUUGUAUGCAUACUUUUUUUUCUUAAAAUGUACUUGCCAAGUCCGGAAUAUGACAGUUGUUAUCAAAUAGUCAAUUUCUAUGUAUGUUUGCGGGUUUGUUUUUGUUGCACGUCCUUUGUUGUGUUUCUGUUAUUCCGUUGUUUUCCUGUUAUGGUUGAUGUAUUUCCCUCGGAUAUAGUUUGUCUUCUGGAUUUGUUUUCUUUAAAACGAUUGAUGACUUUUGAACAGCAACCCACUACUAUUGCCUUUAUUGUAUGAUUGUAACAUUUAUUUGACAUCAAAUUCCUACUACCGAACUAUAACAUUACCAGUAUGAGAUAUUCAUUAAUGCCACCAUUUUGUUUCUUCCAUUAGUCCUUGUUUGAUCCACAAAAUGUAUUUUUGUUUCAAAUAAAGAAAAACUUCGCAUGAAAAAAGUUGUAAACUGUCAAGUACUGUAAUUUUCACACAACAUUUCAUUGUGUAUAAGAAAAUACAGUUAUCGCAUAUAAAAUAAGCAACUUUUCACCCUCUACGCCUAUUAUCAAGCUGUAGUAAGCUAAUUACCUCAAUUUUCUUAAACAAUUGUUGGAACACAAAAUUAAAAAAUGCUUAAAAACACCCAAGAUAUAUCUUUAUGAUUUCAAAAACAUUUUCUGCAAGUGAAGCAUGGUUAAUUUCCUAACUGUCAAAUUCUAGGAACUACUUUUUUCGAUGCUUUUUUAUUUUUGAACUUUAAACUGGGUAUGACACACUAUGCUUUGGUGUUGUUACACCCAAAUAUAACGCAGUUUCAUAAAACGUCUUUUUUGCUUUCUUUGAUUCUACCUAUUGCUUGGGUAUCUUCUUAUAAUUGAAGACUGUAUGCCUACCUGAUGUUUUCGUUCAUAUAUUUCAUUGACGCAUAUUUAUUCCCAGACCUCCCUUUGUUCAUUUAAUAACCAUUAUCAUUUCAUAUACCAUUUUGCAAUUUUACAGGUUGACAUUACAAAGUGUUUACACAUAUUUACUACCAAACAGUAUGCAAUUUAUCUCUUCGAUAAAUAGAAGCAUCAAUGUCAAGACAACGAAUGCAACAUGCGAGUUUGCAAAUAGAACGCCACAUUGAUCAAUCGAUUAAAAAAACAUGCACAUUAGCGUUACAGUAACGUGACUUUCCACACCUCUUUUCACUAUAAAAAAUAAAGGAUGGUUAACUUAAAGUACAGUGUUAACGUUAACAUGCUUCGUUUGGUGUAAUUUUAUUUUUUUUUCUGUUACGAUCCAUUAAUUGUGAAAGUGUUUGUCGAAUAAUAACAUUAAAAAUAAAAUAUAAACAAUUUAACAUUAACAAAUUGACCCACCCACACUAUACUAUAUUAGACUAAUAAAAAAAGAUAAGAUACUUGUGGGAGAUUUUGUUGACUCAGAUAUAUUGCCGACUGUAUUUUCUUAACUAAAACAUAGUUGUCUUUGAAUUGAAUCGUUUUAAUGUUGCAUUAAAAUUAAAGUAUUAUUUGAAUGGAAGCAACUUGUAAUCAAAUCCUACAAAACGCAUUUAAUUGAAUGUAAAAGUGUGAAUAACACUUUUUUGUAUAUUUUUCAUGAUGAAACAUGUGGAAUUACAUAAGCAAAUAUUAGACACAAUUGUAAGAUUGAUCAAGUCAAAAUGAAAUAGAAUAAACAAUAUAUAUUACAAUUGUUAAGAAUAACACUAGAACUAGUUUUGAUUUGAAAUAAAACUUAACAUACUAAUUGGAAUUGUUUAUUUCUUUUGCGAUGGUGUUACCAAUCAAUUUUUUAAAUAAAAAAAGAGACGUGAGGGCGUCAAGGCAUAUGUAAAUUAAUCAACAGCCCAAUUGCAAAUGCAACUAAAAGUGGUCUGCAGGUCAACAUACAGCGUCCUGUUCUUGUAAACAAAAAUUCUGUUUUUCUUUUCAACUGAAACACUAAACCAGGCAAUACAACAUUAUAAUACAUAGCCGUAGUUAAAAGAUAUAUACAAUAACCAUUAUAUUUCUUGAAAAAGACAUUAAAAUUUUUCAGCUUAACAACACACGUAAUACUGGAAAUGCAGAUCGUUUACUUAUAAUUUUCUUCUUUCAAAAAUUGAAAUAUGGAUUCUACGACUGCACCAGGUAUGUUAAGAUAUUUCUUCACUCGAGACAGUUAAAUUUUAAUAUUUAAAACACGAGGCUUACCUAUUUUGUUUAAAUUCGACCAAUCAUUUGCCGAGAAACCAUUUGUGGUAGAAAAAAAUGUCUCACACCGAUAAAAACAUAUGAAAAUAGCACAAAAAAUAAGAAAAAAAAAUCAUAUUACGAAGAAUCUUUUGUUUGGACAACUUUCUAAGUCAUCAUGAAAAUAGAACUAUUUUUUUUUUUCAGUUGGGACUACCUAGAUAUAAGAGAUGGUGAGGACAAUGCUACCUUCUCAGUGGGCAGGUUUUGUGGUUAUGAUGAUAUAUACUUCAUAUCAGAGUCACCUGCUGUGUACAUUUAUUUCGUUACAGACCAACUUCAAAAUUAUCAGGGGUUUACACUUCAGUAUCGUGAGACAGGUAAGUAUUGAUAUACUAUGAUCAUCACAGUGAUAUCUCCUUGCUCAUACAUGAAAUAGUUUGCAUCUUUAAUUAUGGAAAUAUAAGAAACAAUUUCUGUAUUUAAACGUAUUCAAAUUAUUCAAAUGUAUGCGUCAUUAAAAUUAGAAGAUAUGAUUUCUAAUGAGAUAACUCUGCAAAAAUUCCAAAUGGCACAGAAAUUACCAACUGUAAGUCAUCAUAUGACCUUCACCAAUAAGGAAAGCCCAUACCGCAUUGUCAAAUAUUAAAAGCCUAAAAAUGAGAAAUGAAAAAUAAUUAAAAAAGUUUAACCACAUCAAUACUGAACUCCGAGGAAAAUUCAAAAUGGAAAGUACUUAAUGAAAUGGCAAAAUCAUACGCUCAAUUAAACGAACGAAAAAAAAUGUCAAAAUCCUGAAAUGGUGGAUUGAACCUGAUUUUAUAGCUAUCCACAUCUCUCACUUGUAUGAUAGUCACAUCAAAUUUCAUUAUAUUGACAACGACGCGGGAACAAAACACUAGUAACCCGAAUUUUGCUUGAACGGUUAAAAGGGUAUUAACGGCAUUUAGAAAAGAUUGAUUAUCAUUAGAUAACGAUUGACAAAAAUUAAAAAUUGUUUUUAAUGCAUUUCAAUCCAUAUUGAAUUAUUUUAAUACCAACAAACAGACAUAAUAGGUAAAAAUGUCAAAAAUACAGCAGUCAUCAUGGUGUUAUCAUCUUAAUCACUGAAACAUAAAAAUAUGUCACAAAGAAGCACAAAAGAGAAAUCUAACAGCCUCAUAUAUGUACUAAAUACUGCACGAAAAUGACGACUUAUUAUAAAAAAUGGAAAAUAACACGUUUAAUAAUUUAUUGCGUCCGAAGCGCUUUUCUGGAUUUAUCUUCAUCAGGAACGCUCAAAACCAAACAUUUGAAAUCCGAAGAUGGAUAAGUACCGAAAAUCGUUUAAGAGCUAUAUGUCAAAAAUACCUAAAAUAAAUAAAUUCAUCUGAAGCCAACGUUGCCUGAGGGAGUUGAAACCUCAGUUUAAUAAUUAUUUCAAAAUUCAUAAACGGACAAUUUAGGUAAGGUUUGUUAGAUCAUGUGAGUACCGAAGCACUGAUUACUGAGCUGAUGAUACCCUCAGGGACUGAUAGUCCACCAGCAGAGGUAUCUACUCAGUGAUGUUAAAAAUAGAAAACAACACGUUUAAUAAUGUAUUGCGUCCGAUGCGCUUUUCUGGAUUUACCUUCAACAGGAAUAUAAAAAUACCAUGGUUAUGAUGUGAAUGAUAUUGUUAUUAACUUGAUUAUUUAUUUUAGAAAUAUGUUUAUGUUUUGAACCCAUAUUCAUAAUAGUACGAAAGAAUAUUUGUAAUUGUCUAAUACUAAAUUGAAUGAAUAAUUUUUAGACGCAGACUUUCUUUGUUGUCUAUGUUUGAUUUAGUCAAGAUGUUGUCGGUCUUUUUUCUACGUGAUUUAAAUUUCCUUCUUUGUAUCUUCUAUUUUGACCAGAACAUGUGUAAUGCUAACGUAUCAGUUUAAAGCAUGUAGUCUUUGCAUAUGAUUGCAUUUGCUCUAUAAGUAAUGCUACUUUGAAUAUUAAAACAACAUACAGAUAUUUAAAAUGUGUAGUCUGUCACAUAAUUAGCGUUAACUCUUCUCUUAACUUGUGUCUCAAAUGCCGACAAUAUUUUGACAUGGUUACCUUUUGAAAAAUAUAGUCUUUGUUAUUGUCAGGCAAACAGGAAACACCCCAUUAUAUUAAAAAAAAAAAGAAGAAUGUUCCAAAAUAGUCGACAAAAGGUUAUUUAGUACAAGAGAGCACGUUUACUUUCAUUAUAGCAAUUAUUUAUAAUGGUGAUAGCUCUUUCCGGGCUCGAUACUUAAUCCAGAGCUAUGACAUUGUCAUUUCACAAGUAUUUUUUCUCCAAUCUGGAAUUUAUUAAUGAUAAUCAAAUUGAUGCGUCUGCCAAAAAAUAUCCACGAAACCUAUUUUCAAAUUACUAAUAGUAAUCUGUCUGCAACCUGCAUCAUAAUUACGACGAGACUGACUAGCUCACUAGGGGCUGUUAUUUCAUAUAUAUUUAUACUUAAAACGUCCAAAUAUCAAUUAGUGUACCGACAAUAAAUAUAUCUCUUUUUGUGAUAUAGUAUCAAACAAAUUACGAUCUCAUCUUUUUUACACAAGUAUUCUUCGUUUCAGACUAAUAGAGAAAUUGAAAAAAUGCCAACGAUAUUUCAUAAAAGAGGGAUGAAACAUGCCAGAGGGACAGUUUUAUUUAUUUUUUAUUUUUUUUUACAAUUUCUAACUUGACGUCACUUGGCGUUGAGGUUUAAACUUAUUCGGAUGUGUUGCAUUUUGUCGUGUUAUGUAAUGCAUUUCGGUUGUUUCCUGUAAUUAGCUAAUACUUCAGUUUUAUCAUGUACAACUUUUGUAUAGUCAUUUUAUAUAAUUUACUGUUUGCAAAAGUAUAAAUGAUUCUAAAUAAUAGGGAUGUUCUGGUACCUAACAGAAAACCCUGGCCGUUUUUGGCACAACUUUUAUGAACUUUUGAUCCUCGAUGCUGUUCAACUUUGUACUUGUUUCGGCUUACAAACUUUUGUAUUUGGGCGUCAGUAGUAGUAGUCCUGUAAUGUUGCGUUGUCAUUUUAAUGUUAUAUUUCACAUGGCCAUAAAGAAGGAGGUUUGGCAUGCCACAAAACCAGGUUCAACCCACCAUUUUUUUCCUUUAAAAAUGUCCUGUACCAAGUCAGGAAUAUGGCCAUUGUUAUAUUAUAGUUCGUUUCUGUGUGUGUUACAUUUUAACGUUGUGUUUCCGUUGUGUCGUUUGUUUUCUUUUAUUUUUUAGUGUGAAUUCACAUUACUAUAAGACAUGCCACGGUACUUAUCUAUCCCAAAUUAAUCGAAACAAGUAUAACAAACCAUUAAUAAUCUAGAUAAUUUUAUAUAUCUGACAGACUUGUUAUAUUGGAAAAGGCAAUAGACAAUGAUGAAUCCAAACAUAAAUACCACAUUUUUAAAAACAAAUACAAGGAUGUGAAGUAGUAUUGAAAAAUGAGCUUAUUAUUCAGCAUAGAACAACAAACAUUGAUGUAAAUAUAUACAGGUCGUCGAACGACCUUCAAUGAUUAACCAUUCAAUAUGGUAACCUAUAAAAGGUCACUGAAUAUCAAUAAGUGAAAUAAUUCACCAGGCUCCACAAACGGCCUGACUUAAACCAAUAAGCGAAAACAAUUAAGACAGAUGAUACCCUUUUGUUUUGUAAAAAUUGAUAAGGUAUACGCGAUAAGAAAAAGAUUGACAUUUGUUGAUGGAAGAAAGCAUAUUUUCUAAGGCUAUCUAUUAACGUAUUUACAACGGUCAAUGCUAAACGAAACUAUAUAAAACCCAGAGAAAAGUAAAGAAACAAAAGAUAAGAAUUAUUGUAUCCUUAAUACAUUUUUGAAAAUAAAGAUAAAACAUACAAACAAACACUAAAACAUUAACAGAGAACAUCUAUCAAUCGGUAAUGAAACGUCAAAACUACAUUUGUACAGACUGUUAUGCAUUAAAACUAUGGAGAAAUAAUAACUUGUUAUCAAAGUAUUAUUUUUAUGAUGUGAAUAUUAUUGUUAUUAAUUGUAAUGUAUUUUUCCUUUAUCGUUUAAGGAGAGGAAGAUUCUUCACAGUGUAAUACUAUGAUCAGUAGUGAGAGUUAUAUUACAUCUCCAGGAUAUCCUGAUAAUUAUCCUAGAUCAACAACAUGUUUGUAUAGAAUAGUUGUAAGUAAACAUUUCAAUUGCAACUGCCUUUCCACGUGUUUGAUGUUGAACAACAUGUUUAUAUUGAAUGUUUGAGAGUUUACAUUUCAAUUGCAACUGCCUUUCCACGUGUCAGAUGUUUAAUAACAUGUUUGGUAAAUGAUUGAAAACCGGAUGCAGAACUUCAUUAAACGUUUAACGUAUCAAUAUGAACUUUAAAAGUCUACUUGCAUCAAACAAAUAAGAAAUCUUAUGAAUUAACUGCUACUGGCUCUAUAAAAAAAACCUGAACGCGUUUUUUUCCAUAGACUUGACAAAAAAUCCACAUGGAUGUUUCUAAAUUUCUUUUUUGCAUUUAUAAUCUUGAUUUUAUAAAAAAAAAAAAAAACACACAUGUUUCUCCCUAUUGUGAAAUUGAAUUAAAUUUCACAAUGUGUCGUUCUGGUACGAAAUGUUUAAGCUACCAUAUCAUUUGUAAAAAAAGAUCAAAUCAAAAUGACGAUUAUCAUAUUUACAUGUUGGUCAUAUCUAAAUAUCAAGGAGUAUAUCUCCAAAUGAAGCUAAUAUGGCCGUGUACGUAUUUCCAUACAAGUUUCCAGAAGUUUUUACCCAAAUACGCAUAUAUGCAAUAAAGAAUUAGAAAAUAUGAAAACUUAUGUUUUGUGAUCUAAUGAACUAUUUGGUAGACAUUUGUAAUUUUUUUUGUUUUAGAACUAUAAGAAGAGAAAUAUAUCUAGCAACAACAAAAAAUGAAAUCAAACGAAAACAGGUUGUACGUUUCAAAUUGUGUUCUUUGAAAAAAUUUUAAAAAAAUAAAAAUAUAUAUAUUUAGACACAGUUAUCUUAUCCAAUCAUAUCUUGAACAAACGUUUAGACAAAUUUUCCCAUAAAAUAUUGAAUCUAAUAGUUUUUACAAGAUAUUAAUUAAAUUAUACGAUAUUUGAUAAACACAAAACUACGAUAAAAACAGAAACAAGUUUAAUUUGAAAUGUUUAUUGUGUUAAAUAGCAGUACCACGCUUCAUGCAAAUAUUUAUCACCAAAUUUACAUUGCAGAAGGUUACAUGUACUAAUAUUAAACAAUAACAAGUAACGUAUUUAUUCCAUCAAGAAUGCUCGUGUAGAAAAAUCGAAAACUAUAAAGUCAAAGUAAUUUGUCAGAAAAGAUAGUUAAUUCGUUAAAAUGUUUUGUACUGUUAUAUGAAAAUCUCGAAGGAGAAAGUUAAUAGUGAUUUGAAGUCAGGAUUCAUAUUUAGAAAUCUUUAACAAUUAUGCAACAUAUUAGAUUUACAAAAAUUUUUGAAAAGACUUGAACAUUUCUUGAGCAGAUCAAAAAAAUAUAUAGUUUGUAGUUCUUUGAUAUCAGGAAGAUGAUUAGUUGCUUCCGUAUCAUAAACAAGUGGAAGUUAUAGCAAAGGGCAAGGUCAUUUAAUUGUAGAUAUUUCUCGACUACCGGUAUAUGAAACGUUCCUUCUUGUGUAAUAUGAAUGUUAAUUUAUACUUAUUCCCAAAAUAAAUGGUUUGAAAGUUUUCAUAUAAAAUGUUAGAUCAUUGGUAACUCACGUUUUCCAGAAGGUCAUUAAGGGUAUCAUGAGACUAUAAAAAAAGACCCGAUGACACUAUCAUGAUUAAAAUUGAAGUAGUUAUCAUGAAUGCUCUAUUUCAGGGGCAAUAACUCCUAUAAUUUGCCUUUUGAUCGUAUCGAACCAAUGUACAAUAACUACUUAACAACCAAACAUUCUGCGCCAGUGCUUGUAAGUCUAUCUUUUACCAAUUGCAAGGAGAUUCGAACAUAAGCAAAGGUUAUAAAUGAGUUUGUACUAGAUCUUCAACACUAUUUCGAAGUUAUUGUCAAAAGAAUUCAAGACAAACAACCCUAGAUUACGGUUAACGAGUUAUAAGAACAUAUUACAUGGAAAAUAUUCAAGAGUAGGUUAGAAUGGUAAAAUGUUACCGGAUCGAUUUGGCAAAAAUAAAGGAACGAACAAUUCAAAACAUGAUUUUUUACGCCAAUCACAGUAUAAAAGAAGAUAACUCUAGCAUUUUGAUUUGGGACUUUCUGUUUUUAAUUUUUCUCGGAGUUCGGUGUUUUUGUUACUUAAUUGUUACUUAGAAAAGAGUUCAGUUAACAGACUGAGUUUCAAACGUGCAAUGGAUAUUCUAAAUCAUUACAAACAAAAAUGAAAGCAGAAUUUUAGAAAUUUCAUUCGACCGAAGCGCUUUUCUGGAUUCUUCUUCAUCAAAACACGCUUAAAGUAAAAUAUGUGAAUGCCAGGUAUGUAAAAAAAAGUAAGAGUUAAAGAGCUAUAUGUUUUUGAAGUCUUUCAAAACAAAUAUAUUACUCUCGAACGAAAUGUCAAAAAAGAAAUUAACCAAAGCAAUUUUUAAAGGUCUUUAUUAAGAAAUUAAGAAAAACAUGAAUAAAACAACUUCUUAAACUGAUCAGUUAAAAUUAAGUACAUAAUCAUACAUUGUAACACCGUUCUCAUUCUGGUUUUUUUUUCUACAAAUUUUUAAAGCAGAAUUUCAUUGAUGUAAGCGGGAGUUUUGAUUUCAAUAUGACUUUAAAACACAGAUAAUGUGAUCUUUUAAACUAAUCAACAUUUUUUUAAGUUUCCUUGUUACAUAAAAGCCUUGUGAAAUGAUUACCCCGCGUUAUUUACACCCACAUAUCAAUUAAAAGCGGACAAUUUCUACAAAUCCUGAAAGCAGGAAUCAGUAGCUAAACAUAUCAUGCGGUUACAAUUUUGUAAUCAAAUGUUCCCAGUUAAAGGGAAAAGCAAAUUAUUAUUUCACUUUUUUCACUUUCAUUAAUGAUUGAACAAAAAAAUCAUACUUUUGAUUUUUUAUAUAUCUCGUAGCUAGUGCCCCUUUAAGACACAUGAGUUACAUGAUUACUGAUAAUUGAUAAAAAGAAAUAUAUGUCAGUUCUUUAUCUUAUGUCAAUUCUGAAUUAAGAACAAUAACUAGAGAUGUAACGAAAAUAAGUCGAUGAAAGGCAAAAUCAACAGCUGUAAAAAAAAAAAAAAAAAAUCAUUCCAUAACAGUGACAUUUUUUGUGAAUUGAAGAUUCAAUUUGCACCCAAUGCCAGAUAUAGUCGAAUAUCAAAGGAGAAACAUUUAUUGUCAAAAUGCGCAUCUUGUGUUUUAAUGUUUUGUAACGGGGUUGUUUUUUUCAUCAACGCUCAUUUUGAAUAAGCGUAUUUUAUACCAUCAGGAUUGGUAUAGACGUAAAAUUAUUGUAACUACCGUUUUACAAAGGAACUAAUAUUUCAGAAAAUGAAAGAAGAUACAACAGGGGAAAUCUAAAAUUACUAGUUAAAGAAGAUAAAACAAUGAUCAAUAGAAAAAUGAGAGUUUAAAAAACAAUUGACAACAUUUUAAAUUAACAGUCUACUCUAGACAUAAACAAACAGCCCAAAAAAGUUUUUUUUUAGAAAAAAAAUAAUGAAUAAAUGGUAACGCAUGGAAAAAAUGAAAAGAAUAAAUGACAUAACUGUAUCAAUUCCUUCCGUUUUCACGCGAUCUACGAUUCUGCCUUGAUAUGGUAUCAACAUUACGAUCAAAACAUCGGCAACGUUCUCAAACGUUAACUGAAUUGCGAUCAACAAUCACUGAAUGAUAUAUUAUUUGUAUAUGAUAUAAUUUUCGAUGUAACGCGUCUUCUGAUUGGUGGACGGUGUAUUUGUAUCAGCUCAUAGACAUCAAUUUAUCAUGUGACCAUGGGUGCCUCCACGUUUUUCAUGAUUUAAUCCGAUUUAAAAAGGAAUUUAGAAUUAAAUCAUAAGGAAUGACUGUAUAUUUUAUGCUAGCUCGCCAUCAAAGAUGUUAGACUGAAAACGGAAAUAUAUACCGGUCACAACACGUUUCGCGAAUAUAGUUCAAUUGAGGCAAUAGUAAUUAAAUUUAUUAUAAAUCGAUAAAUAAAACUAAGGGCAUCGCAUGAAAUAAAAACGAAACAAGACCAGAUGCUGCUAAGAAUGCAUGACCCGCCAUGCUUAGUCAGAAUGUCAAUUCCGAUAAAACAAGUUAAAACUUCACAAAAUGGUUUUACAUACAAAGAGUCUUUACUAUUAUUCAAAAUCUAACUAUCAUGGACGAAUUUUAGAUAACUAUAAUGAGACUUGUAAAGAUUUUAUCAAAAGAUUGAAGGUUUUUGAUCUGAUUUUUAAAUGUGUCUGUGUAAAAGUGUUACAGAACUGACAACAUACCCUAAUCAAAUUCGUGUCUUCAUCACUAAGAUUUAUAUGCUCAUGCACUUGUAUUUCACAGACAAUGUUAGUGACCUAUUCGACAUUAAUUUAUUGCUAUUAUGCGAUCGAAAUCAUGUUUGUCCGAGAUUGUUUAUAUUAACUAAUCACACCAUUAUAGGAUUGGACCAUUUAUAGAAAAAGAAAAACUGCUGGUGAUAUCCUAGGGUUUUAGUUGGACUGGUAAAGAUUUAAUUAAAAGCCGAUUUAUAGAUUUCAAUCUGAUUUUUCAAUUUGUCUGUUGAUAACUGUUACAAAACUGAUAUCUAACCCUUAUUUAAUUCGUGUUAAAAUCAGUCAAAUUCAUAUGUACAUGCACGUGUAUUUCAAUUACAAUUAAUGUUAGUGACCUUUUUGACAUUAAUUAAUUGCUAUUAUGCGAUCGAAAUCAUUUUAAAAAAAAAAGGAAAAUCUACCGGUUACAUCCUAGUUUUAGCACAUAUCUAUAAGUAUAAUCACCCGUAUAAUUCGUUUUUUUUUCGCGAAACAAGCAAUUUCAAUGUCUGCAUGACUUUGAUCAGUACUGUAGUAAAAACUAAACUAACAAAACUUAUUCUAUUUUUAUUUUAAAAAAAAUGAAAAUCGAACUUAAUUUUCCAAACGUCCAAAUAUUAUAAUCUUAAAAAAACAUUUUUGCACCACCCUUUUUUCGAAGUUGAAUGACUACUCUGUCUCAUUUUUCGAAUUAAUUGAAUACAGAUGUUGAAAAUGUACAUGUACAUACAUCAAUUUCGGCAUGCGUUUUAAACGUAGCUAAUUAAACUUAUUGUGCACGUUUUUGAUACGAGUGACAAAAUUGAAUGCAUUAUUUGAUUCCAAUUUGGAAACCCCCUGGUAAUGUAAUUCAUAUUCAAACAAACCAACAUGAUAGUUUGGAUAACAUAAUUGUAUAAAAUGUAUUAAAUUUUAAAAUUUUCAUAUUGACAAAGAAUAAUUUUACGAUAAUGAAAUAAUUUCAUUGCUUUUUUUACAAAUUGUAAAUCCUCAAUUGAUGUUGUUACGCUAAACAAGUAAUCAUAAUGGAGAAAUAAUAUGUUUAACUAAAAAUUUUUUUAAUCAUAUACGGCAUAUGAACGAAUUGACGAUCAAAAGUUGUAUGUGUUAGCGAACAAAGUUUAUUAUUCUGAUUUUAAACCGACAAGUAUUUAGUUUGCUGACGAUGUUCGGUUUAUCUAUAUUUGUUUUAUCGAGUUGUAAUAUCACAACUGGGAUCCCCUUUACCAACAUUAGGUUUUUUUUCAUAAAAUAUAAAACGUUAUGAAACACAAUGCUUGAUGCUUGAUAUAAAGGUAAAUUGUGUAUGAAUAAAAUGUCCUUGCUCACAGACUAUUUUUAAAAGAUUUGAAGACGACCAUUGCAAUCUGUAUAGUGUUCCAAAGAUUAUUUAAUCAAUGUCAAUGUUUUCUUUUUGUAUUUUUUUUUCUACUGAUCUGGAUUUCCAAAAUGAAAUUGAUGCGGUUAAAAAAAACCACAUAAAACGGGCGAAUUCGUUUCUGACUUAAUCAUAAAAGUUUACCAAAUAUGAGCUUCAGCUAUUAUUUCAGUUACCAGCUAACACAAAAGUAAAUGUGUAAGAAAUUUGUUAUACAUUUAUAAUUUGAAAGCAAAACAUGAAUAUAAAUCAAAAUCUAUUUUGUAUAUCUGUGCAAUAAGGAAAGACGAAAAUUAAAAUUAUUAAAAUUUACAAAUAUUGUAAAAAGGAAUAUAGAAAUAAAAACUUUAAAAACAAAAAACUACAGCAAAACGAUGUAUCUAUAAAUCUGUAAGAACUACUGUAAAUGGAACGAUAGACAAGUAAAAAUGCCAACAGUCAAAUACGAGCGAAAACGUUAGUAUUACAGUCCAUUUUGUCGCAGAAAAGUAUUAACAUACGCUCAUGUCGUCAGUGACGAACAAGAAAUACAUGAAAAGUAAAGUAACAUCACAAAAAAACUGAACUCUGAAAAAUUUUUCUAAACAGAAUAUUCCUUGUGAAAUGUCAAAAUCAAAAGCUCGAACACAUCAAACGAACGAAUAAUAAAUGUCAUGUUCCUUGGUACAGAUAUUUCAUAUGUACAAAAUGGUGUAUUCGGUAUCUUUGAAAUGAACGUAUGAAGGCCGUACGUUGACCUAAAGGUGUAAAUUUCUGCGUUAUUUGGUAUCUUGUGGAAAUUUGUCUUAUUGGCAAUCAUACCACAUCUUCUUUUUUAUCAAAUUCUAAAUAAUUUCAAAAUGUAAUUUGUCAAUAUAUGUAACGUUGUUCAUUUCUCGGAUUGUUAUCAAGGUUAUUAUCUGUCACAGUUGUUGGAUACACCAAAUAGAUGCCAGCUUUAUUUAGUUCACGACAUGGAACAUAGUCUAAUAUGCACUGGAAGGCAUCUAGAAUCUUCUUUUAAUUUAAUUAAUUUGAAUAAUAUAGCAUACAAAAAACGCUAGAUUAGGAUGCCGUUUGAUCUUCAAAGCAAUUAUGUACUUAGCUUCAGCAUAUUUGAAUUUUAAAGCAAAUUUAAGACUAAAUAUUCUCCUGGACAAAUUAGAUUUUAUAAAUCCUAUCGAUUACAUAAAGAGCAAGAGAGGAAGCUUAUUACAAUUUGAGUGGGUUACCACUGACAUGAUUAUUUUCAUCAAACACUAAUUAUUUUUUUAUUCACCUAAUUGCAUAGUUAAUUAAAAGUAUAAUUACAACUGCAGAGUAGAAAAAACAGCAAGUACCAAAAAUUAGCAUACAAAUCAUUACAAAAUCAACACAUUAAAAAUUGCAAAUAGGCAAUACACUUUAUACAAAUGUGCAUUCAAAUACAAAAAAAAAACUUAUUUGAAUUUUCUUUGAUAUAAAAAUGGACAAACAAAGAGAUGAAUGUAUUAUAUGGACCCAGAUAUGUAUUGUUUAUUUUCCUUAGAUCAAUUGCGGACUUUAGUUUCCUUUCAAUCUUUUAUUUCACUUUUCCAAAAGCCGCUGAUAAGACGUCUGUUGUGAAUUCAAAUGAAACGUUUAGUCCAUGUUUAUUUUGUUUUACAUUUGAAGUCAGAUUACUUUUAUGAUUUCUUAUAUACAUCAAUAUAUGUCUUUGAUAGUAUUCUCUACAAAAUGAUAACUUAUUAAUUCAAUUCAUGAUUUUAUCAUAAAAAUUAAAAGAUUUGUUAAAAUAACCAAUGAGAAAACUCUCCACAAGAGACCAAAUGACGCUUUAGGUCAACGUACGGCCUUAAACAAUGAACAGCCCAUACCACAUAGAAAGAUAUCAAAGGCCAAGAAAUGACAAAUGUAAAACAAUACGAACGAGAAAAAACUAAGGGCCUAAUAUAUAAACAUAGUAUAGAAGAAACGAAGUAUCGUACUGUAGGUGUCAUUUGUAAAAGCUAUCUCGUUGAACAAAAGUACUAUCCAAUUCCAACGUUAAUCUUACGCAAUUUUCAGGGAGUUUUAAAAAACUAAACAAUCAUCAUUUCGCUUAUACAGUUUGAUAGUUCGUAAUUAAUUUCAUUAUUUAUUUUCUUUUAUUAGACUCCUGCGCAACAACGUGUCCAGCUGAACAUUUUAAAGAUGUCAAUUUCGGAUGAUAGUUGCAUGUUUGAUCGACUUGAAAUAUUUGACGGAACAACCAGUCGUAUGUAUUUAACAAUAAUGAAACAAAGAAACUACAGAAAUAGGCAAACAUGUAAAUGAAGAAAUUGAAAAUGAAACAAAAAGAUCAAAACCAUUAAGAUAAGACAGGGGAUGUUUUCCAUUUUUUAGAAACAAAAAUUUGAAAUAUGAAAAUUAAAAAGAUGUGGUAGGAUUGACAAUGAAACAAUUUCUAUCAGAGACCUAAUAAUGUACACGCUUAUUACUUGUGGUCAUCGAUGAAAUCAGAGUCAGCAUAAAAAUAAACUAAUGUGGUAUGAUUACCAAUGAGACAACCCUUCAGAAGAGACUAAAUGACAAAGAAAUCAACAACUAUAGGUCAGAUUACAGCCUUCAACAACGAGUAAAAUCAAUAUCGCAUAUUCAGUGAUUAAAGACCAUAGAAUGACAAAUGCAAAACAAUUCAAACGAGAAACUAAUGGCCUGAUUAAUGAACAAAAUAAUAAUAAAAAUAACAAUUUGCCGCAAAAAAACGAAAUCCACUGCAUCACAGACUGCACAGUAGGAAAGGCAAAUACUUACAAUAAAAACAUGGAAAAGUAUUUAAUCGUGACAAGUAAUACAUGUUUUGGAAGUUAUGAAAAGCGACCAGCAAACAACAAGUUAUUAAAAGAAAUCAAAACAGUUGGGUUAUAAUGACAGAUAAUGAUAGGUUUCCUGACUAGGGACAAGAACUUUUUUAUGGUGGCCUUUAACACUAUUUUAUAUUUCCUGACUAAGGACAAGCACUUUUUUAUGGUAACCUUUAACACUAUUUUAUAUUUCCUGACUAGGGACAAGAGCUUUUUAUGGUGGCCUUUAACACUAUUUUAUAUUUCCUGACUAGGGACAAGAACUUUUUGGUGGUGGCCUUUAACACUAUUUUAUAUUUCCUGACUAAGGACAAACACUUUUUUAUGUUGGCCUUUAACACUAUUUUAUAUUUCCUGACUAAGGGACAAGAAUGGCCUCACUUUUUUAUGGUGGCCUUUACACUAUUUUAUUUCCUGAUAGGGACAAAACUUUUUUGGUGGCCUUUAACACUAUUUUAUAUUUCCGACUAGGGACAAGAACUUUUUAUGGUAACCUUUAACACUAUUUUAUAUUUCCUGACUAAGGACAAGCACUUUUUUAUGGUGGCCUUUAACACUAUUUUAUAUUUCCUGACUAAGGACAAAGCACUUUUUAUGUUGCCUUUAACACUAUUUUAUAUUUCCUGAAUAGGACAAGCACUUUUUUAUGGUGGCCUUUAACACUAUUUUUAUUUUUCUGACAGGACAAGCACUUUUUUAUUGGUGCCUUUAACACUAUUUUAAAUUUCCUGACUAGGGACAAGAACUUUUUUAUGGUGGCCUUUAACACUAUUUUAUAUUUCCUGACUAGGGACAUGCACUUUUUUAUGGUGGCCUUUAACACUAUUUUAUAUUUCCUGACUAGGGACAAGCACUUUUUUAUGGUAACCUUUAACACUAUUUUAUAUUUCCUGACUAAGGACAAGCACUUUUUUAUGGUGGCCUUUAACACUAUUUUAUAUUUCCUGACUAAGGACAAACACUUUUUUAUGUUGGCCUUUAACACUAUUUUAUAUUUCCUGACUAAGAACAAGCACCUUUUUAUGGUGGCCUUUAACACUAUUUUAUAUUUCCUGACUAAGGACAAACACUUUUUAUGUUGCCUUUACACAUUUUAUAUUUCCUGACUAAGGACAAGCACUUUUUAUGGUGGCCUUUAACACUAUUUUAAUUUCCUGACUAGGGACAAGCACUUUUUUAUGGUGGCCUUUAACACUAUUUUAUUUCCUGACUAAGACAAGCCUUUUAUGGUGCCUUUAACACUAUUUUAUAUUUCCUGACUAAGGACAAGCACUUUUUUAUGAUGGCCUUUAACACUAUUUUAUUGCAAUCUGCACCUACUUUUUGUCGAUCAAUUUAAUAACAAAAGAUAUCGAAACAUUUUUUACAAUGUAAUUGAUGUAUAAAUUUAAGUGAAGUUUUACAUAUUGUGUGAUUAUCUAAUAUUUCUGAAAACUCUAAAAUGUUCAAUGCUUGUAGUUAUUGAUUUCAACUAAAUUUUUACAUGUAUAAUACUAGCAGCCGACUAAUUUAUUGUCCGAAUUAUUUAAUUUAGAGUCCAGAAGACUGAUGACAUUAUGUGGUACCACAUCGCUUGAUAUCAUGUCAACCGGUGAUAGUUUGUUGGUAAUAUUUAUUUCGGACUACAUGUUAGAAAGCAGAGGAUUUCUAGCUGAAAUUAAAUUCAUCACAGAAGUCAAAGAGAACGAUGAGCAGAUUGUGGAGAACAGAUCAACUCAACGUAAGUAAAUUCUUCAGCUGUAAGUAACACUAAAAAGUGAAAUAGAAGCAGUAUAUCAAAGUCGAAUUUCAAACUCAUUAUGCACGAUGUAUGUAAAUUAAUAUUUCCUUUCGACAUGAAACUUAUGCUUUUCUUGAAACUUUUAUCAAUAAUUUACAUUUCUAAAAGCUUUAUAUUUAAAGUAUUGUAUUAUCCAUUACGUUUUUAAUCGUCAAGUACUAUUUUAUAAUAUGGAACAUUAUUUUUUCAUGUAUAUAAAUAUAUACGUCGUCCAAGUAUUUGACCUAUAGCAGUUAAAAAUUGAAGUAUGAUGAAAUUAAAAGAAAAAUAUCUACUACUAAACACUAGUGUGUGGGCUGUUUAUAAUGAAUUAUUAUUGAAGGGGUAAAAAAAACUAUUCACCCUGACAAUACUUUCAGCAUUUUAUAUUUUGUUAGAACCGAAAUUUGUAAAUAUCUUUAUACGUUUCAUAAGUUAGAACGUCAAUGCUGGUCAUACUGGUUGCGAAAGUAGGUUAUUGAACAUAAUUUAUUGAAAACGAUGUUACAGCUUAGAAAAAAAGGACAAGACAAUUGGAAAAUGUAUAAUUAUCUUAGAUUCAGUUCAAAGACUUUUAUUUGUGUCAAUAAAAUCUAAAAUCUUAAGUAUGCAUUUUAUAAGUUUCAGUAGUAUUCUUAAUUCUAAAUUAUAAGAUAAAUGAGAUUCAAAAACUCUUUGAAACGACGGUUUUCGAGAUAUAUAAAAUCAUCAAUAUACAUGAAAGUGAAAUUAAAGAUCUUUGUCCAAUGCCUUUUCUUUUUGGUUUGAGAAGGUUUUGUGUGAAUUCUGCUUCAUCUGAUUGAAAAAAAAAUAGCAUUAACCAUGCCCAACAUUCGAAAUGAUUGUCCCAUCUUCCAUCUCAAGAUAUGUGGACUUGAAUUUAAUAAACAGUAAAUGAUUUAGUACUUUGUAAAAUCUAUAAUACUAAAAUUACGAGGUCCAAUUUGUCAGCCGUCAUCACGUAAAAACGACGAAUCAAAAAAUUCAACUUUAUAUAUAACUAAUAUAGUACAAAGGUGUAGAUUAAAAAUUACACCACUCCAGGCCCUUUUGCUUUCCACGUAAUUAAUAUUGCCAAUAAUUAAGAAGUUCCGGGUCGAGUCCGAUACCGAUACCAAUAGUAUAUUCACCUGUUACCGAUUACCUUAUCUGUACGUUUCGCAUCUGACAGGCGCACCACCAAAAGAUGUAUUCAGGAUUAAUAUGCUAUAUAGUAUUACACGGGUCAUAAUCACAGGGUUGACACUACUUAAUUGUCAAAUUGUUACCUAUUGUAGUAUUUUAAUCAGUUAGACUUUCUAAGAUAACAAUACGAAUACUAAAAAUCUGGACUAAAAUAAGGCGUAUAGGUACAGUUUUCAAUUUGUUAGCGGGCAUGCCGUAAAACAGCGAAUCAAAGAAUUCAACUUUAUUUAUAACUAAUAUAGGACAAUGCUGUUGAUUAAAAAAUACUCCAUUCCAGGACCUUUUGUUUUCCAAAUAAUAAAUAUUAUCAAUAAUUGAUAAGUUCCAGUUCGACGGGUUCAAACAGAAAGAUUUGAAAGCAGAGAAAACUGUGUAUCUUAUAAUCGGCAUGAUUUUAUCAGAUGACAAUACUAAUACUAAAAUAAGGCUUGCGCAUAGUUAUAUACUUUAAUUCAGUCACGGACCCGGCGAUAUCACGGGUGUGUUCUAGUAUUACAAAAACAUGCCUUUCACAUUAAUAGAUAUAAAAUUUUGAUAGUAAAAAAACAUGAAAAACGUGUUUAAAAGUUUCUGAAUCAAUUGCUAUGAACUCUUUAGUUUUCAGAUUUUAGUAAAGAUUUCAUCACUGUGAGUGAAACAACCAGAGAAUUGAUGAUCAAAUCCAUUAUACACUUUGCGUUUAACAAUGUGAAGUACGUCUGAGCCAGUGACAUCUCAGUAGCAUAGGUUCGAAUCCCGGCGACAAAAAACCAAAAAUUUGCCAAAGGAAAUUUACAGAUCUAACAUUGUUGGGUUGAUGUUUAGACGAGUUGUAUAUACAUAAUGUACACUGCCAUGUAUCACCAUCACUGCUGGUGAUCCGAUGGAUAAAUCUGUUGUAGAGUUGUCACUGGCUCAGACGUACUUAAAAAUAUCAUUAUUUUCUAUGACUGUAUCUUACAUUAAUUUAUAGGAUCCUAUAAACAAUGCCUAUAUGCCUAUUGCUAUAGACAAUUUAGCAGAUCUGUAAGAAUAACAUCUUCAUGCCUUGUAUAUCAUGUACUGUAGUACGACGCUAGAUUAAAACUGACAUGGAAAGGUAACACCCAGCCACCGAAAGCUUCAUAUUUUAUGAAGCCCAGGUGGUCGUGUGGUCUAGCGCACCGGUUACAGUGCAGGCGAUUUGGUGUUACGAUAUCUCAGUAGCAUGGGUUCGAAUCACGGCGAGGGAAGAACCAAAAAUUUACGAAAGCAAAUUUUCAGAUCUAACAUUGUUGGGUUGAUGUUUAGACGUGUUGUAUAUACAUGGAACUGUUAAUUUGUUACUUAUUUUACUAAUUAUUUUAUGAAUAUAUAUAUUCAAUAUAUAUGUGUGUGUGUGUGUGUUUUAGGAUGUGGAGUUAAAAUCGAAGGUUCUAUGAAGGGAACUAUAACUAGUUCAGGAUACCCGGAUGUGUAUGAUAACAAUAUCAAUUGUUCUAUGACAAUCAUAGCUCCUCUACCAGAUCAUCAAAUUAUGAUACAGUUUACACACAUGGAGAUUGAGGAAUCAGAUAACUGCUCAUUUGAUAGAGUUUCACUUUUUCUCGACUCUUAUUCAGGUAAAAAUAAAGUAAUAAAAAUGUCCGUUUGAGUAGCUAUUUAGAAACUUUUUAAUUUUUUUAAGAAAAAUAUAUCAAAUUAAUUCAAAACACGUUUUCAUUUUCUGAUGUUCUUAUUCUGAUUUGAAACGAUACAAAAUUGUAACGUAUUAUAUAUCGAAAUCAUAGUUGAUUCCCUUUUAUCUGGUGCAAAUUUGCUACCUUUCGUCAUAGUUAUAAUUUUGGGGACACUAUAUGUUUCUAGCCUUAUUGCGAUGCAGAAAAAAAACAAACAUUGCUCCUGUCAAAACAUGGAUGAGAGAUUCGAACCACACAUAAUCAUAAAUCAAAAAUAAGUUGUUAAAGGACUAAAAUUAAGCUGUAAUGAAUAUCAAUCAUAACGAUUUGUAUUUGUAUAAUUGAUAUAACAGGAUUUCUUUUUCCAUAACUGAUUCUUGAAGUCGUCUUAAUAUAUUAGCGGGGUUUUUUUCUUCACAAUUAUCAAAAAUAAAAGGAAAUGGGUGUUGUUGUUUUCUUGUUUUUGGUUUGUGUUUUGAUUUUUGUUGGUUUUUUUCUGAAAAUUUUGUACCACACAAUUAUUGUUGAACAAUACUGUUUACAGUGACAAAAGCAGGUAAACAUAAUUAGCAGUAUUUCCUAAGGCACUGACAACAUAGUUUUUAAAUUAUGAUUUAUUCAUUAAAGUUGGUUUAUUCGUGUUGACAUGCAAUUCUUCAAUCUUAAUUUGCAAGUUGACAUGAUCAAGUCAAAAUAUUGAAAUAUUUGUAAAAGUAUUAACAAAUUUGAUACUUUUAUACUAUUUUGAUCUCGAAGAUUUGUUAAUUGAUUAAAACUUAAAUGUGCAAGAACUCAUACGAAAGAGCAAAUUGCCAAUGUCGAAAGAGUAAUGAGUUGUAUUAUAUUUCUACAAGAUUAUAAAUUUCAAUUCAAAGCAAUUGAAGUGAUAUUAAAUGAAAACAAAAGCUACACAGACACAUUCGUAACGAUGACAUCAGUUUUCACUUCCUUGUGUUCAAAGUAUAAAAUAUGUUAUUGAUGAGAAAUUGAUAGCAAUACAAAUCGUUAUCAUUCCUACGCUUUUACAAGUUACGUAACAAUAUUCAGAAAUAGAAAAAAAGAGAAAACCAAAUAAAUGCAAUUGCACCGUGUAACUUUCAAUGUUUCAUAUUUAUCCAAUCGAUUACAAAGGCAUUGAGAUCGUUACAAAGUUAAACAUACUACUAAUAGUAAACGUCGUAGUAAAGCUGAACUUUUUUGUCUUAUAUUGGUUUCUUGGUAAGGUAUGAUACUUUACUUCUUUUAGUCCUUAUAUUUCUCCAUAUCACAAUGCGUUUAAGGUUUACACCGACAUGUUAUUCAAAGUUAAGAAAGACCCUUGGAAAAUGAAGUUGUAAGAAUUAUUAUAAUAUUUAUCAAAGGUACCAGGCUUGUAUUUAAUACAGAAGACACGCGUUUCGUCUACAUAAUUCUCAUCAGUGACGGCUAAGGUUAUCUAUGUCUGGGAUAUGAAAAUCCUUAGUAUUUCGAAUAAUUCAUACCUUUGCAAACAGUAAAUAAAUAAAUAAUAAUGACCAUAUAAUUAUUAUUCAUGUCAACACCGAAGUGCUGACUACAGGGCUGGUGAUAACAUCGAGGAAGAAAUGUCCACCAGCAGUGGUAUCGACCCAGUGGUGUAAAUAGUUAUCAAAAGUACCAGGCUAAUAAUUUAAUACCCCAGACGAGCGUUUCGUCUACAUGAGACUCACCAGUGACGCUCAGUCUAAAUAGUAAUCGUUGGAUGCACAAAUAAACAUAGAUUGAAGUAAUCGACGAAGAACUGAACAAGCAGUCAGUUUAUCUAUAUUUUCAUACCUUACAUAAGACAUUUAAAAAGUAGAAAAAAGUCUCAUGUAAAUUUUCACGAAGAUGCAUUGGUCAAACAUACGGAUUUCAAUGACAAACACAUAUCUAUACACAAUGUCAAGCUCCUAAUGAUUCCGUGUAUGUUCUAAAUGUCACGGAGUCUAUCAAAGAUCUGUUAUCAACACACGUUUCUCCUUCAAUUGUUAGCUCAGUUGAUAUUUGGUUGGGUUAUUAUCCAAUUGACUUAUACUCAAGAUCUGUUUUAUUCAUAUAUAUAUACAUAGCAAAAUACCACAUGAAUUUCCCGUAUGAAAAUCCUAAUAUCAAUGUCGUGUUCUUGAAGUUUUAUGCCAUGUCAGUUUGUAACAAAUGCCGGCUGACUAUAAAGAACACAAAUCCUAUUGUUAAAGUUCAAUUAGUUGAUUAAAGAUCUGGUGAUAUGUCCAUGUUUAUCUUCAGUGUCUUUUAUAAAUGAUUGAUUCGAACAACUGAAUAUUUUUUUCCAGACUGAAUUCGUAGUGAUUCAGAAAAACUCUUUUAUAAAGCUUCUCAAUAUUCUAUAUAAAUGUUCCGUGACAAUAAACUUAAAUAUUCCAAACCAUAGCAACAACUUUAUUGCAUCAACAUUUUAAACUUUUGUAUAUCAGUAAAGUGAUUCUAAGUCAUAGAAAGUCAACUGACAACAAUACUGAACUCCGAGGAAAAUUCAAAACUGAAAUUCCCUAAUCAAAUAGCAAAAUCAAAUGAGAAAACACUUCAAAAGAAUGAACAACAACUGUCAUAUUCCGGACUUAGUACAGGCAUUUUCAAAUGUAGAAAAUGAUGGAUUAAACCAGGUUUUAUAGCCCUAAACCUCUAACUUGUAUGAAAGUCGCAUCAGAUUCCAUUAUAUUUAAAACGAUGCGUGAACGAAACAAACAUACUAAGUAAAAUUGUCAAAAUAUAGUUACAGCAGUCAAAAAAGUAUUUGUCACCAUGAGAUCAAUUAGUUGAUCUUUUUUGUCCAAAGUUAAGAAAUAUAUUUUAGACAUUGUGUUGCUUCAAAUAUAUUUUUUUUACUUCUUCAAAUUUGUCUUUAGAUUCACCAGAAGUUAUGCUAUGUGCACAAUCAGCAUCAGAUAAGUUGUACUUUUCAAGGGAUGGCUUACUGAAAAUAAGGUUUACAACAGACAACUUAAUAACAUGGACAGGAUUCUCUGCAAAUUAUACUGUAAUUCCACGUCAAGGUAAAAGUCUUUAUUCAGAUAGAGAUUUUCAAUAGACAACACAAUCGUUGAUUCUAAAAGAGAGUUAAUAGGUGUACAUAUCUAAACUGCGUAUCAGAAAUGGAUGCUGGCUUAAGUUUUGUUGCAGUUCAAUGUUUCUUAUGUUUUGCUAUUUUCUUAAUAUUGAUGAAUUUCCCUCAAUUUGUUUUUCGCUUAAUCAAUAUAAGACUUUUGAACAGUGAUAUACUACUGUUACUGCUACCAAAUAAAGUAUCCAUGAACUUAUACGGACCACAUGGGUCAUUGUCUGGAGGGUUCACAAAAUCACUAGACACGAAAUCAAUUUCAAAAUUAAAGAUCUAGUUAAACUUUGAGACUCCAUACCAAAAUGAAGACAUCUUGAUAGGGAAUACUAAACUGUUGCUAAAACUGUUGUUGGGCUAUACAUACUUUGAUUAAAACCUUUCAAUUUAACCACAUGACACAAUUAAUCUUGUGUGUCCUUAUCCUUGGAAAAUUCUAGUAAAACAACCCCUUCCGAAACACACAUUGCAUUUCAGUGAAGACUUUGUCCAAGGUUAUUAUUUAAUACACGAUACUUUGAUAAUCUCCAACCAUAUAAGUUUAAGAAAAUGGUAUGUGUUAGGGACGACAUCAAAAGUUCAAUGUAGGAUAAAAAAAAACUUAAUUCAUAUAGUUUUUUUCACUGACCCCUACCCCCCUCUUAACUUAAUUUGGGAAAAUUGUAUAAAAUCGAUGUAAAUUAAACAAAACUACAGCAAUUUUGACCACAACCCUCCCCCCCCCCAAACCCAAGCUAUUUGAAUUAAAUUUUUUCUCCUUCAUUGAUUUUUUGGUGUCGUCCCUUACUAUCAAGUUAUUAUACCAAACGUUCGACCAUAUGUCUCUUCUUAACAAUCUGAAAUUUAUAACAAUUGUAUACCAAAUGCAAGUUAUACGAUUACAUUUUUUAAAGAAAAAAAUAUCUGCGAUUUAGAAAUAUGCAGAAAAGAAAUAAAUUGACCGGUUUUUUUGUUGCAUUUUACUGGACGUAUUCUCUACGUGUAAUUCUGUUGUUGUCGUUUGUUUAUGUGUUACAUUUUUUUUUUUUUCGUUCAUUUUUGGACAUAAAUAAGGCCGUUAGUUUUCUCGUUUGAAUUGUUUUACAUUGACAUUUCGGGGCCUUUUAUAGCUGCCUAUGCGGUAUGGGCUUUGUUCUUUGUUGAAUGCCGUAUGGUGACCUAUAGUUGUUAAUUUCUGUGUCAUUUAGGUCUCUUUUGGAGAGUUGUCUCAUUGGCAAUCAUACCAUAUCUUCUUUUUAUAUUUAGUGUUGUAGAGACAUGACAGUUCUGAAAAUUACACCAAACAGUGUUAGAGUUAGAUUUUAUACUGACAAAUUUUUGUCCGUCCCUCAGCGGGAUUCGAACUCACACCUUUGAUACACUACAGCACCAAUCGCUUAGCCUCAUGUCCAGCGCUCUAGACCACUCGACCACAUCCGCUAUAUAAAAAUAUAACUUCAAUAGUCGUAGUGUUACCUUGUCACGGAAGGUGAAUCUAGAGAUAGACAUGAGACACGUGUUUUUUUAAGCGUGUGUAGAUGUUAUAUUAUUAUUUUCAUACACAAUGUAUUUAUUAUUUGUCAGCAAUCUAACUCAACAAUUUUUAUAUAUCAUAUAGGAUAAUGAUUCAUUUCAUUAUACAGUCACUAGAAAUAAGUAUAUUUUACAAACAAGUCUAAACAAGUGACAAACCAUACAAUAUACAUGUCCACUGGAUCUAAGAGUGAUAUAGAUAUAUAUAUAUAUAUAUUACUUUAAAAUCAUGUUUACUUGUUUUCAUUUAUUUUGAAAAAUUCUCAUUUGAACACAUUAUAAACUGACUUUUUGCUCUGUUUAAGUAUUCAAAGUUUUUUGAUACCAAGAGAAUCUUAAUAUGAACAAUCCUGAUUUUCCUUUUUGAACGAUUAAUCGACAUCUUAACUUAUAUUCAUGAAUUUUAAAUUUUAAAAUAUGAUAAACUGAUGUAAUGGAUCAAUUUCGAAUUAUUAAUCAGAACCCUCAAUAUUUUUUGACGUAAUAAGGCUGUGAAUGUCCUGUUCCAUUUUCCAGAUCAUACAUAAUAACUAAGUGCACAAACCAUUAAUUGAAAAUUCAUAGACAUAUUUUUAGAUCGUAUUUUUAUUUUCAUCUCUUAAUUCCAUGUAUGUGAAUUUUGUUUUAGUGUGCUAUCCAAGAUGUCAAAACAACAGUGUCUGUAUCAAAGAUGGACGAAACUACAGGUAAUUGAUAAUAUUUCACUUUGUAUGUUUUCAAUAGAUUAUCCAAACUACCACAGUAUAAACGAGAAACUUGUGACAAUCUUUUUUACUUUAGAAAUUUGUGUCAGAUGUUCUGUCUCGAAAAUGCAGGCUAAAAUUAAUUUUGCCCCAUAACACCCAUUUUCAUUUUUAUGAUAUGCAGCAAUAGAUCUUAAAAAUGUCAUUUGCAAAGAUGUGAGCAGAUUCUAGCUUUCUUUUCUUUCGAUUUGAGACCCAAUUAAUACCAAUGCAAAAAGAAAGCCAUUUAUUUUAAAUUUAUAUCGAAAAGGAACUCUAACCUAACAAUAUGUUUAGCUUAUUCUGUUCUUUAACUAAUGUUCUUCUUACUUAAAGUGUCAAUUUCAAUUUUUUUAAACUUUCAAUUUCAAAUAAGUACAUCUCUAAGUGAAGUUAUCACGGGAAUAGAGAUGUACUAUAGUACAUAUGGCGUCGUUAUCUAUUCUUCGCGUUAUAAAAAAAUAUAACUUAGUUCAUGAUUCUAGUCUCUAUAUAGGUUAAUAAGGAUAAUAAUUGUUUAUCGUAACAGUACUUUUUAUAAGGCUUGAAUUUUCUCAGUGUAAUGACUUUUCUAAUAAUAAAAAAACAACUGGUAUGAUUUUUGUUCAUGUAAUAUAUGAAUAUCAGAGCUUAUCUACAGAGAUAAAGCUUCCUCUGUACAUGUUAUACAUGAAAAUUCAAUGCUAUCGAAUAGAACUUUUAUAAUAAAGAUUGUAACAAAUCAUAACUUCACUUGAUCAAUUUUAUGCAACCAAAUUACUUUUCUUGAUUUGUCUUUAUUUGGAAUGACGAAAGUUGAUUAUUUGAAAUCAACAGAUGUAUUAUCACCGAAACGAUUUAAAGGCUAAUUUCCUAAACAGAUCCAAAUGUUGAUAUCUUUAAUAAGAUUUGUUCACUAUUGUAACUAUUAUCUUAAACAUAUAACUAAAUCAGCUGCAUGCAAAUGUUGUAAAAUACCUUGCGUUCUAUUUUUAAAUUUUGCACAGAAAAAUUUACAGAACAAGGCAUUAUUUAUUUGUAUAUUAUUUUAAAUUACAUAUACACGGUUUUAAAUGGUCUUCGCUGGGUUUUUACGCGUGCUUCUUGUGAAUCUUAUGAAGAAGAAACGCGCGUCUGCCAUACCAUAUUUUAAACUGGUAUAUUUAAAAGGUUAUUUUGGUACAUUUUUUGUUUGGGUAUUGAAACCGCUUUCUUCUCUUGUUAACCGAUACACAUUCAACAUUGUCAUUUUUAUUGACAUUUUAAUAGCUUCGACCGAUCUUUCAGCGGUCAGACUACUUUUGAUAUAUAGCAUGAUUUGUCAUUCUUAAAGUACACACUAGAGGAUUGAAACCUUUAAAAGAUCCAAAGCCUAUAAGACUGACCUGAUUUUAAAUGAAUACAGACUGUCUUCCUGGUUAUAAAAUAUAGCUACCAAAUGUUUGUCUGACAGAAAGAACACAGAAAAGAGAACAAUGCAAUAAAAAAUAUAACAUUUGCUAGGAAUAAAUUUGAUUUUUUUUUAUGUGCCUUUGUUAUACUUUCUUUGUUGUGGCUUAUUUAAGAACCCCUGAAUUGUAGCUAAAAGCUUUACAAAUUGAACAAAACAGAUAAAAAAACAGUAAAGAUCCAUCUCUGGUGCAUUUUUUGGUCCUGAGUGUUUUUACAUUUAUUUGCAUUGUCACGAAGUGUUGUCCUUUUAGUAUUAUUUUUAACAUUGCCAUGUAAACUAAAGGUUUGGUUAGCGAUAAAACAUGGUUCAGUCCAUCAUUUUUAUCAAAGGUAACCUGUAAAGAAAUAUGACAGUUGUUAUCACAUAAUCCGUUUCUAUGUAUGUAGCAUUAGCGUUUAUUGUAUUUCACUUCAUUGUUUUCUGUUGUUCCGUUGUUAUCCUCUUAUAGUUGAUGUGUUUCCCUCGGUUUAAGUUUGUAUACUACUAUUGCCUUUAUUUGAUGGAUACUGAAAAAGAACUUUGUAUCUGAGGUUCAUUUGGUCAAAAUUACAGCAGUAUUUCAUAGACUUAGUUUGGACAAUUGUUAUGUUUCCAAUCAUUGUUCGUUCACUGCCAUCUUUAAAGUCCAGUGUUUAAGUUAGGAUUUUAGCGUUUUAGUCACAAGAAGAAUUAGUAAAAUAGGACGUGUGCAGUAUAAAACUAAGGUGAUUUCUGAAAUUGCUUGUUACUAUAUAAAACAAAUGUAUUGUUGUAUACUUCCAAUGAGACAGCAAUCGCCAAAAAAGUACAGUUAAUAUGCUAUUGUUCAGAAAAGCUAUUAUUGAUUCAAAUUCAAAUAAAGCUUAUCUUCAAUGGACCCGUAGGUUUAAAAAAAAAUCAACAUAACUUCAAAUGAUAUAUAGAAUGAGAUGAACGGAAUAUCCAACCCUUUUAUUAUUGAAAAAAAGAAAAAUACAUCACAUCAUGAAUAAUUACAGAACAAUAGUGUAUGUCUAUUUUUGAAAAACAUGUUAAAUUAUUUACUUAUUACACUAAUAUUUGGAAGGAAAAAAGAUCUUUAUAAUGUACAAAAAAUCAGAAAUGCCUCUGCAAUAUAAAAUAUAUCAUUUAUACAUUUUUUGAAUUCUAGAUGUAUUAAAGGACAAAAAUGUGCAACCAACUUGUGCAACCAUGGUCACUGCAUUAAAAAGGGACUUGCCGACGUACAAUGCUUUUGCCAUGAAGGAUAUAAUGGUUUAUUCUGUACAGACGAAAUGAAAAUCGUAAGUCGUAUUUGUAUAUUAAAUCUUCUUAUUAUAUACAUUGUAUUUAAUUUGUGUUGCAAAUUAUAAGGUAUUGCUAUUCUUUUCAUUUGAUAUUUUUUCUCUAGAAACGCAUUGAAGUUCUCAAAUACAAAUAUUAUUUGAUACAUUUUUGUAUUUCAUGUGUCGUUGAUUUGGAAAUUAGUAGGUCUGUUAACUUUGUGUUUUAGGCUGAAUAAAUCUAACAUGUAUGUAUUAAGGUAUGUAUGUAAGUAUGUAAGUCUGUAGCUGUGAAGGUACAUGUUUUGUUCAUUUGAGAUGAUGUGAAAGGAGGUACCAAAAUUGUUUUUUUUUUUACUUUUUUUUCCACUUUUCGGAUGUUUUCUUAAAUUGUUUGAAAGUUAGGUUGUCAAUUUUGCCAAAAAAAUGUAUUACGUUUAACUCGAUUUAAUAAAAUAAAAAGUGUCAAAUGUAACUUUUUUCAAUAAACUUCAAAUGUCCAAAAGUAACUUGUUUCAAUAAACUAAAAAUUGCAAAAGUGCUGAAAGUUUAUGAGUAAAUUAUACAGCCGCUUUCUCACCAAUCUGAAAGUAAGCAACAUAAAUUCUUUUUAUAAGGGUUAAUCUUAAAAGUUUGCAUAAGUGCAUAUGAAGAUAGCCAGAAUGCACAUAAAUUUUGCUCAACAGAAAAAGUAUUUUUCAAGCUAUUUUCAAUUCACUUUAUCAUCGUGUUCAUAAAUGAUUUCAAAGUUGACUGCAUAUUAUGUUCAAUUAGUACAAAUUCCUAGAUCAAAGAACAUGGUUAACCAAUUAUGCAAUAACACGUAAACGAUUAAUUAUCAGACACAGUGUACUCAAGAUGUAAUUAAUCAAGAUUCUAUAUGGGUUCUAUGCGUUCAUGUAUCAAAAUCCAGUGCUAAUAGUUAACUAACAAUUAAGAAUAAGAUGUGACACGAUUGAAAUAUUACCUUUUGCUCAUUUUAGACUGAAAAGAAGAGAUUUUUAAAAAUUUUGUUAUGGAGAAGGAAAUCAAACGCAGGAAAGGAGUAGGUCCAGUAAGAACCCUUUUCGGCCCCAAAAUAUAAUUGUUUUGCCAAAUUGUUAAAAUGUAAACUUUUAGUUAUUUAUUAUAAAGUAGAAUACUUCUGCCACAUAAAUAUGUGCUGUUUUUGACAAUACAAUAAACAUAUAUCAGGUACUAGCAUCACUAUGUCGUGCUAAAUUACUAAAAUCUUCACAAUUUCAGCAUUUGAGUUAAAUUUUAGACGGUAUCCGUCUUAAAUUGAAGGUAGCCGCAUUUGUGUUCAUUCUUAAUAUUUAAAUGUUAGUUUUAUUUGUUGAGAAUGAACACGGAUGCGGCCACUUUCAUUUUUGGGAAACAACAGCUGAAAAGUGAUAUAUUAUGGUAUAUGUGAUAGAUUUUUCAUAUUAAAGCUUGAAUUUGAACGUCUGAAAUGACUAAAUCAGUUAAAGUCUUUCCAAUGAACUAUUUAAAUCGACUUAAGUAGACACUAAGGUGUUUAAAAAGUGUUCAAAAUCUUUCAUCCGAUGAACCUGAAAUUUGAGGUUUGGACUUUACCGGAACUACUACUUUAUAAAAUGUCGUUUUCAUUUUUUUCCAGCACUGCGUCGAUAUCGCUUCUGGACUAUCAAUCCCCGAGGUAUUAUCAGCUCAGUAAUUUCAUUUUAUUUUUAUAUAUACCUCUAAACUUGGAAGAAUAAAAUAAAAACUUGCCCCUGUUACGUCUGAUUUUGUUUACAAAGGGCAAAAAUAAUCUGUUUUUUAGAGAAAAAAAUCGAAAUUUAAGUUAUUUUGUUUAAACUAAUGGCAAAAAUGCCAAAAUAUAAUUCUAGAUGUAAGUGGACAAGUUGAUGGUUUGUGGUGGGCUUCGUGUGGUUUAUUCUUUAGUUUUCUCUCUUGUGUCAUGUGUACUAUUGGUUGUCUCUUUGUCUUUUUAUUUUUUAGCCAUGGCGUUGUCAGUUUAUUUUCAAUCUAUGAGUUUGACUGUUCCUCUGGUAUCUUUCGCCCCUCUUUUAUGUAUAUAUAAAACGUCGCCUGAAGAUUGCCAGAAGGCAUGAAAGCGCUAGUGACAAUAUUUUAACGAACUGUUAUUAUUUGAUGUGAAAUGUAAUUUGCAAAUUUAAAAAAUUAUUAUAUAUAUAUAUAUAUAUAUAUAUAUAUAUAUAUUAUUAUAUUAUAUAUAUAUAUAUAUAUAUAUAUAUAUAUAUAUAUAUAUAUAUAUAUAUAUAUGUGUGUGUCUACGGAAAGGAAAGUGUUGACUUGUAAAUAAAUGAUUAACAGACUAAAGCACUUAAUUUUCGAAUUAAAUAAUUAGAAGAAUAAGAAGUAGCUAGUAUUAUACUUAAACAUCACUUUUUUCUAUAAAGAUAGUGUCUUCUUACUAAGUAAUUAAAAGUUUAAUGAAUAUGUGUAACGCAUCAAUCUUAUCGAACUUAAACAGAUACAGUUAAGUUUUCCAACUUUUUAGAAUUUUUAAAAAGCUUGUAUACCGUCUUUGUAAAACGUCAUAAGUGUCUAACCAGAAAGUUAAUGAACCUGCAGGAGAAUGUCAAAGACCGUGUUUUUCUAAAAAAAAAAAAAAAAAAAGUUCAUCAGAAGAUACUAAAACCUUGUCAAAUAUUCCGUUUAACUUCACAUAUAUUGAACGAUUUUAUUGAAGUAUAGAUUAUGGGAGCUAACAUUGUUUAUCGUCUUAAGAACGUGUUAUAUCAUUCUUUUAUUUGUCUUUAUAAAUAUUACUUUAACUGUUUAGUCUGUUUUUGAUGAUAUACAACAGACGUGACUUUGUACUUAUUCAUCCAGUCAUUGUGCGAUUGUGCAAGAUAAUUUGUGUACUUUUGUCUUUCAUUUUUGUCAAUGUGCUUUGUCUUUAUGCCUUUUUUGUGUUUCUUUGAUACAUAUGACGUGGCUCCGUACUUCAUUCCGUCAUUAUGUUAUUAUGCUCUUGUAAAUUUGUGUAUCUAUGUCUUUCAUUUAACGAAUUUGCUUUGUCUUUAUGCCUUAAGUGCUAUUUUGUUACAUAUUUGUUUGUUUUAUAGUGAUUAAGAUAGUAGCACAGUGUUGACUGCUGUACCACUAUUUUUGGAAUUUUUUCAUAUUAUGUCUGAUAAUUUUGUUCACACAUCGUAGUCAAUAUAAUGGAAUUUGAUGUGACUGACAUACUUGUAAGUGAGAGGUUUUGCUAGCUAUGAAACCAGUCCGUUUCUGUGUGUGUUACAUUUUAAUGUUGUGUCGUUGUUCUCCUCUUAUAUUUAAUGCGUUUCCCUCAGUUUUGGUUUGUUACCCCGAUUUUGUUUUUUGCCCAUAGAUUUACGAAUUUUGAACAGCGGUAUACUACUGUUGCCUUUAUUAAUCCAUCAUUUUCUAUAUAAGACAAUACCUGUACCAAGUCAGGAAUACGAAAAUUGUUAUCCGUUCGUCCGAUGUAUUGAGCUUUUGAAUUUGCCAUUUUGACUUCGGAGUUUUUGUGAUUUUAAUUUUUAAGUGUACAUCAUACAUUGACCUACAUCUAUAAUUUGACCAAGAGGUAUCGUUGAGAAUAAAACAUGAAACGAGAUGAUUUCAGCUUCGCAAUUGUGUUCAUAUUUGGGUAGCAACAUUCCAGCAGCGCCUACAGAUAUAGUAUGUGUCUCCCAGUUGAUACAAUAUUCAAGUACGUCAUAUAUGUAUCGUAAACAGUUACUGUAAUACAGUUGAAUAGGUAUUUUGCAAUUGUUCUCACUUAGUAAACAUAAAUAUGACUUUGUUGUAUUUCUGUCUUUAAUUUUUAUGAUACUAUUUUCGACGUAACAUUUCAGAUUUAACGUUAUAUCAACCAACCAGUAUGUAUUGCCAAAUUGUAAUACAUGCAUACUUUAAGCAAUACGAAAUUUAAGUUAUUAGACAGUGGAAUUAAAGCAAUAUGCUAAAGUAACUUUGAAAUUUAAGAUUGUUGUUUAUUUUCAAUAAGCAUUUAGAUGUCUGACAUAUAAUGUCUUAAAUGUUUCACAAUUCAGAUGAUAUGAAUCACUAUCCAUUAUGAUGAUUAUUCGGUUCGGCCAAUUUAACACGUUCCUUAUUCUUAAGCUCCAAGUUACAAAUACUGUAGAAAGUAGAAAUAUUUGGAUUAAAUAACGAAGGUUCAAACUUCUUCGAAAAUCCUUUUUCUUUUAAUUUAUCAAAAUGUAUAUGAAUAAAGGUAGUAAACCGCUGUUCAAAAUUCAUAAAUCGAUAGAGAAAAAUCAUAUCCGGGUUACAAACUUAAACUGAUGGAAACGUAUCAAAUAUAAGAGAACUACGACGCAACAGAGACACAACACCGACAUGUAACACACAAAAACAUUAAUUAUAGGUGAAAAAUGGUUAACAAACGUGUAUUUUUAAUUAAAAAUGUAUCAUCAAUCACCUUAAAGCACGAAGUAUGUUCUUAUAGUAUUAAUUGAUGUUGUAUUUGACAAUGCGUGUAUCUUUCGUACUGGAAAUGACUGUAGCUGUUUAAACAUAAAAUUGUGUCUGCACGAAAUAAAGGCAACAGUAGUAAACCGUUGUUCAAAAGUCAUAAAUCUAUUGAGAGAAAACACAUCCGGAAUAUAAACUAAAAACCGAGGGAACAUGUCAACUAUAUGAGGAAAACAAAAGGAUCAAAAAAGAGGGACAAAAGAUACCAAAGGGACAGUCAAACUCAUAAAUUUAAAACAACUGAUAACGCCAUGGCUAAAAAUGAAAAAGACAAACAAACAACAGCACACACGAUCAACAGAUCCAAUGAAGUGCAACAACAAAAAGAACCUGCAUACAUGAUAACGCACUAUUUAAUUACACUGAAAUUUAAAGUUAUUCUAACGUAGAGUUUUAUUUAUACAUCGGUUUAAAAAUUGAAUUAGAACCUUGUAGACGUAUAGUUAUAUUUGUAAUUUUUUAUUUCGUAAUCAUCUGUGGUUAAAUAUGUUAGCAGUCAAUUUUGACCGAUCCCAACCUUUGCUGCAACGAUCGUUAGCAUUGAAUAUGAUGUAUAUUUAUCAUAUUUGGCAUAUUAAUGUCAGCAACAAAUACCUUAUUGAUUUUAAAGGUUAGAGGUUUACAGUUAGACUGAUACAAGGUCAAAGUGGUCAAUUCUGAAUAAUUAGUUGAUAUAUAAAUCAAAUGCUGGUAAGUGCAUUGUUCUAAAUAUUCAUUCAGAUUCAUUACAAUUACAAUUAAUGAUUUUUCAUUAAUUUUAAACAUAUAUCUUUGGUUUCCGAUUUGUAUUUUAUUAUUUUCAUUUGGUUCUUUUAGGAGGAGGAAAAGCUGAAAUUCAUUAAAACACCAACAGAUCAGCUCAUUGAGCCUGGAGAACGUAUCAUAUUAGAAUGCCAAGUCAACGAUGACACAUCUGAUUACAUGUGGUUUGUAUAGUUUCUUAAAAUUACACGUCAGCGGCUCCAUUCACAAAAAAAUCUUAAGAGUUAUAAUACUAGUAGGUCAUACACAUUUCAGUAUAACUUACGAUCAAUUUUUAUCGUAAGAUUUCAUAUAAUGUUGUUAAAACCGCAAUGUGACACCGGACGUUUUGAAUGACUAAGUUCGUGUAGGGCAUUUGAAAAAGGACUAAUAAAUUGCCUAUGAACGACUUGUAAAGAACAGAUUCUUUAAGCCAUUAAUUUUACGCUUAGAAUUGGCGAUAAAAUUGUAAAAUAUGAAGUUUUUAAUACAUCAAUGUCAGUUCAAACGAACAAUAUAAAAGUUAUAGUUUGAACUAGAGGAAAUCAAAACGUAAUGCGAUCAAAUGUUAUGCAAUUUUAAAGUCAUGUUUAGUACAGUUCUGUGGCAACACGAUUCAAAGUACAAGUGCGUUUAAAAGUUUAGAAAUUGUUAGAUAUGCCAUUCGGUAUUGUGUUAACUUAAAACAGACUUUGUCAAGGUAACUAAGGUCAGACCCCGUUUUAAGUGGUUACUUUAAACUAAGUCUUUCGCUUUCUAUGGUGUGAUUGUAUAAUGUUGUUUAUAUAUUGAUCUAUUUUCGUUUCGUUUCUUGGCAUGUCAUUGUCAGUUUUUUUUAUCGACUUUUGAUUUUGAUUCUUUCGCUUCUCUGUUUCAGGCAAUAGCAAAUUGUUUUGAAAUUUGGUAUUUUAAUGUGAUGGGAGUUCAUAUAGGAGGGAAGUCCCUAUCGAGAUAUGUGAUUAGCUUAGUUGAACCAAUUAUUACUUUAUUCUGGAGUUUAACAUAGAAAAUAUAAUGAACAUGAUAGGUCUUAAUUUUCAGCUUUUCGCGAUAAGAUCAUGUCUCGCAACCAGUAGUCAAACAAAACAUUAUAUCGACGAAUUCUAAGUUUUUCCCAAAAAUAGGCAUGGUUUGUGAACCAAUUUUAGUUAUUAAGUCCAUACGCUCCAUUGUGCGAGUUAUAUUCUAACUUUGUAAAAAUAAAUACUAUUAGAAUAUAUAGAUAUAUAAUGUUUAUUGGUCGGCAUAUACAAAACAAUUUUAAAACGUACCUUAUGGUAUGGGUUUAGCUCACUGUCUGAGCAGGACCGUACGGUAAGCAGGGCCAUAUAUUCCUGACUUGGUACACGCAUAUUCUGAAGAAAAUCACUAAAUCACAUUGAUUUACUAUUAUUGAUUGUAACAGAGAUGAAAAAAAUUGAAAACAACAUGUUUAAUUAUUUCUUGCGUCCGACGCGCUUUUCUGGAUUUACUACUAUCAGGAACGCUCAAAGUCAAACGUUUGAAAUCCGAAGAUGUAUAAGAAAAGUUAUUUUCUAUUCCUAAUAAUAACUAGUUGAUGCGAAAACCGUAGAAAAGUACAUAAUACAAUUGUAAACUGUUAUUUUUUGUAGGUUUUAUGAAGACCUAAUGCUACAAACUGAGAAAAACAGUGUUACUGUACUCCCCGGAGGAGUUCUAGAUAUUUUUGAAUUCAGUAGAACUUUAGAAGGACUAUAUAAAUGUCUAGCCAGUACAUCAUCGGACUUUUUAGAACAUGAAUUUAGACUAUCCAUUGUAGAACCGUGCGAUUUAUGUAAGUAAUUAUUGCAGUAACAUUAUUUAUUAGUAAUUAUUUCAUUCGCACUAUAAGUGAUCCUUUUUAAUUUCAAACUUUGCGUUUAUUCAAAUAAUAUUUAGGUAAAGUUUCCAGGGCAGUAUGUCGUGCAUAUCAUAACGGUUUGUUACAACACUUCGAGAGAACUAUUUCAAAAAUAUUGUUUUGCAUACACUUCAACUUCGGACUUGAAUUGCCUUUUAAGGUAGAUAGGGUGUCUUCCUCCAUCUUGGAUUUUGAAAUACCAGAAAACAAGGUCUAUAUCUUUGAUAAAAUGUGCAAAUUUUGAGAUAAGUAGGUAAUUCAUGUGCAAGAUUUUUCAUUAUAAUAUAGAAAAAUGCAAUGUUUUAUCAUAUUUAUGGUUGUAUUUUACCAUAAACCGAAUGCUUUUGUUUGAUUCGAUUUUUUCCAACUUUGCCAAAUAAGGAAAGAUAACUCAAAUGCAAGGGCAGAUAAUUCAGAUUAUGUUAUUUUUUUCAAUAGAAUGUGUUGGGAAUUUACCCAUUUAUUAUGUAGCAAGAAAACGAGUUCGAUGACCCCCAUUUUUCUUUUUCUUAUCUGAAAGAAUAAUAUUACAGCCAUCUUCUCAUGUUUUAUCUAAAAAUUCUAUGUUGUAGUUUUCGUUUUAAUGAGGAAAAUUGGGUUUUUCAUGCAUAUUCUAUAUUAAAUCUGACAAUUUUGCACAACCUGUAGUGUGAAAAUUAGUCCGGUGACUAUUCUUUUAAUUAAUGUUUUGAAACAAGCAGGUUAUAAACUACAUUAUGGUAAAUUAUCAAAAACAUCUAUGGAUUAUAAUUUAGACACCCCAUCUACCUUAACUUUUUUAUUCAAGCGUCCAUAAUGAGUCUUUUGUACAUGUAUAUGCUUUGUUUCUUUGAUGAUCUUUUGGACAGCUUAAUAAGGCAACAUUAAUUUACCGAUGUCCAAAACACUCGACAGAAUGAGUAGACAAUUUCGGAAAACAAACAAAAACUGACGGACUCAAAUUUAUUCACUCAAAAAGACGCAAGACUGGGUGAAUUUACAGGUUAAAUGUCACUUGCUGUGAUAUUGAAAAUACCUUGAGUACUAAAUGGACAGUUACUAUCUAAAACAUUUUAAAACUUUAACUAGAAGAGGGAACUGGAAAGACAAAUAUCGUGCUGUAGGUUUAAUUUGAGAUAUUAGACUGCAAUAUUUGAACAGAGAUUUUGAAUUAAGUCAAUCAUAUUUCUUACGAUAUUCCAUUACUCCAAUCUCAUUUUACCACACAUGAACAAAUGUGAAAUUGCCAAUGUAUGCUUUACAUGUUUAUGACAUCAAUGUACCAUCACAACUAUUAUGUCUGUAUUUAAAGUCUCAGAUUAUGUCAUUUAAUUUUGAAAGAAUUGCAGAAUAUUUCUAUAUUAGCAAAUUUUUCAUUCCAUAAUUUAUUUUUACGUAUUUUUGUUUACGUCAGCGGUAACACGUUGAAAUGAAUUCACUAUAAUGAAGUCAACAUUCAUUUAAAGCCUGAACAAAUUUCAUCAAACAAUGGCUCCUACAUUACCGCACGUAAAGCAGAAAAGCUGAUUGAAAACUAGUGACAGCUUUACACUCCUGCAUAAAUUUGCGUCAUAUUAAAGAUAUUAAAUAAGCUUGCAUUAAAGUAAUUGACCACAUUAGAAACUGUUUGUCUGCAUAGCAAUGAAUAAUAACAGUAAAGUCAAAUGUAUUUUUGUUUUAAACGCAAAUUAAAGCCACGGGUGGAACACCUUUUUAAAAUUUUUCAUUAACAGUAAAUCUAUUGUUAGUAGACAUAAGAAGAUGUGGUAUUAGUUCCAAUACGACAACUCUCCACCCAAGUCACGAUUUGUAAAAAUAAACCCUUCGGGUCAAAGUACGGUCUUUAACACGGAGCGUUAGUCUUAUUAAACUCAUAUGAGAGAUUUAUUAUGUAAUUAUGGCUUAAGUCAAGUCUGGUUGACACAAAAUGUUAUAAAUGUAGAUGAUUUAUAACUGAUGUCAAACAGCGUGUUACUGAUGAUUUAUAUCUGAAGCAAUGUCAUUUUAGCUCACCUUGCCCAAAGUGCCCUAUGUGAGCUUAUGUCAUCACUUGGUGUCCGUCGCUGUCCGUCGUCUGUCGUCGUCUGUCGUUGUAAAUUAUUUUAAAAAGUCUUCUCCUCUGAAACUACUGGACCAAAUACCUUAAAAAAUCUUUGACUAAAUAUUACUUAGUGUAUUUUGUUCAUAAUGUGUAUUUGAAGUUUUGAUUCAUCGACAAACAUGGCCACCAUGGCUUAAAAUAGAACAUAAGGGUCAAAUGCAGUUUUAGUCUUAUAUUUCAAAAACUAAAGCUUUUAGAGCAAAUCUGACAUGCAGUAAAAUGUUCAAUUGGUCAAGAUCUACCAGCCCUGAAAUUUUCAAAACUAAUGGUUUUCUUGCUGUCACUAAAUUGGUAGUUUUAAAGAAAUGUUGCAUUUGUUUUUGUUAUUAUCUUGAAUAUUAUAAUAGAUAGAUAUCAUCUGUUUACAUCAAUAAUGUUCAGCAAAGUAAGAUCUACAAAAACGUGUGACCAAAAUUGUCAAUUAACCUCUUUAGGAGUUAUUGCCUUAUAACGACAAUUUUACAAAAUUUGUUCAUCAAGUUUUCUUAUAUUUAAAAAUCUUCUCCUCUUAAACUACUGGUCCAAAUACCUUCGCCAUAGCGAAAAACAGAACAUAGGGGUCAAAGAUUAGUAAUUUUUUCAUAGUUAUUUUUGUCAAGGGCUCUUCUGAUGUAUAAGUUAGUGUUGAUCAUAUUCGACCUUUUUAUUGUUUAUCAUUGAGAUCUAAUUUAAGUUCUUGGAAGAAAACAGAUCAGUCAUUUCAAAUUUGUUUCUUAUAUGUGGUAAAAGCAUGUAUUUUGACUUAUCGUGACAUUCUUUUUAAAUCAGGUAAAACAAAAAAACUUCAAACUAAAUAUGAAAAAAGUAAAAUCAUAAAAAUACUAAACAUACGGAAAGUCCCUAAUCAAAUGGCAAGAUUCAAAGCUUCAACAAAUAAAACGAAUGAACAACAACUGUCAUAUUCCUGACUUGAUACAAACAUUUCCUUAUGUAGAAAAUGGGGAAUUAAACCUGGUUUUAUUAAAUGAAUAAACGCUUUUCUUUAUAAUAUAUAUUAUUAUGUAGUCAUUCAUACCGCAUUGAACAAUGUUUGUAUUUUAGCUGUAGAAGUUCCCCCUAUGGAUACAGUGGUAGAAGAAUCUUCGGUCGUGUUGAUGUCAUGUUAUUCACAACAAGCCGUGAACGUUACUUGGUAUAAAGAUGCCAUCCUCAUAGCUGAUACUAUGAAAUAUGAGGUAAGUUGAAAAUGAAAACACACAAGGACAGUCUUUUUAUUGAACAAAUUUAAAUAUAGUUUUACCAAUGGUAUAUUUAGUACUAAAUAUUGGAUAAACUGAACCACUUCUAAACGUUCUCAGAUAAGACGAGUGCUUGGUUUCCACAAUAAGAAUACACCUGUGAAAUUAAUCUUUUGUUUAAACACUACAUUGUUUCUCAGGAAUGGAGAGUCAUUUCUUUGGUUCAUUUAUUUUUACUCGGACGUUUUGGCUCUUAACUUUUUUAUGGACACGUUCUGAGAAGUAUUUGGUUUUCUGUAUUUGUUAGGGCUGUUUGUUCUUUCGUUCUUUUUAUUUCUGUUCAUAAUACUGCCCCUUUUAAUAGACUUAGGAUUUUGAAUACGAUGUUUUGUGAAAAGUAUGUUAAGUCUUAUAUUGACCACUCAUACCAUUAGAUGUUCUUAUGAAAUAAGUAAUGCAUAUGCACAAUAACUACGUUUUAGGUUACAUUGCAGUUGCUGUCAUUACUUAUAUGCUUGAUAUGCUGUAGUUUCGCUAAAUUGUUACACUAUGCGUAAGGUAACAGUUCUCUAUGUUUAUUUUAUUUUUGGAAAAGUGUGAUUUUGUAAUAUACAAAUCUAUAUGCAGAAAAAAAUCUUAGAACUCAUUGGUGUGUUAAAUAAAGGCAACAAUAGAAUACCGCUGUUUAAAAGUCAUAAAUCGGUUGACAGAAAACAAAUCGGGGUUACAAACUAAAACUUAGGGAAACACAUCAACUUUAAGAGGAAAUGAGUAUAUAUUAUGAGAUUUAAAACACAGCAUGGAAAAUGCAGUAUUGUGAAGACUAGUAUGCUUUAGUAUUAUAAGUUGUUAGAUAUGUCAAUACAUGAGAAAGCAUGUGUAUCAUUUUCUUCUUCUGCAUUUAUUGUCUAGUAAUGUUUUUGGUCUAUGACUUUUGUCAGGGCUCGAUACCUGUACAUCCGACUAUCCGAUGUUUGGCUUCGUGUUUUUUGGACGCAUCAAAUGUGAAUAGUGUUAUUUUACCUUUUGUGUACUCUCAUAAAUUUAUUUCACUUUAUUUGCAACUAAUUCACCUUGAAGUUUGGAAUCUUGCUUUCGUCCUAUUGAACAGAAACAUUGGUUUGUUUCUUUCUUUUUCAGGAAUUGUAUCAAACAUUUAAAUUCAUUGACUCCAUAAUAUUUAGGUCAGAAAAAUGUCUAUAUUAUCAUUUUAAUAAAAUAAGUGCGUUACAUCUGGUUCCAAACUGAAUAAUCAAAAUACAAUUAUGUUCUUGUACUUGUUGUUCUUUUUAUCUAAUAUAACUCAAUAGAUACAACCUAGUCAAUGGUUUAUAAUUGUCACACUUUUGUUUAAUAUCAAAAAGGUUUGUAUAAAUACAAAGUUGUAACAUACAUCUUGUCAUACAUUUUGACAACGUAAGAAUAUUAUACGUAUCACUUGUUUUUCCUAUUAAAAUACUUUACUUCUAAAUAUGAUGGCUCUCCAUGCCUUUGUUUGUUAGGCGUUUUUGCGAAAUCUGUUUCUUUCAGUUUGAGUUGAUACCUAGAUGUGUAUCCUACUAAUGGAUUUUCAGAACUGCUCAUCCCUCUAUUUUAUGACAUUCCAUAUAAAACUAAUCUUACAAUGCAAAUUAAAGAGAUGUCUGAACGACAUAUAACUUGAUAGGUUUGCACAUUUAUGAAUUUUACCAUAGAAUUUAUUGCACAGUGGAACCACAGUAUAAAAGGCUACACACGUAGUGCAAAAACCAUCAUUAAUAAAAGAGCAUAUAUAUAUAUAUAUAUAUUGUUCGUGUCAUUUUGCACCAUAACAUUAACACUUUCAUCCGAAUGUAUUUGUUUUACGCUUUUAAUCAAUUUUCACGUUAUCUGGCUCUGUCUCUAAAACCCUUUUUAACACAUUACUACCAAGGCAGUGUUCACAAAUUGAUAUGGGUGCCGUUUAUAUCAUAUUUCAUCAUUAAUACAUGUAUACAAUCAAAUAAAGUCAGUAGAUUCCAUGAAAGGUGUUCAAAUCGUGCUUACAUUUUUUAAUAUUACAGUCUCGUUUUCACUUCCUAGUGUUUAUAGGUUUUAUAAUAGUUGAUAAGAUCAUGUUUUCUUAAAGGUCAUCAAAACAAAACGCAACAGUUGUUCCUUUCCCUGUGUCUUCUGUACUAUUAUUUGUCUGUUUGUCGUUUUAUUUUUAGCCAUGGCGUUGUAAAUUAAGUUUUAAUUUAUGAGUUUGACUCUCCCCCUGGUAUCUUUCGUCCCUCUUUCAUAUCAUUUUGCCGAGGAGAAAUCUGUAUAAAAAUUAUAGUUAUUCUUUUACAUAUUAAAUUAAAUGCAAUAAUAUGAAUUCGACCUAUGAGAAAAAAUCCACAGAUUAUGCGAAGUCCUGGAUUUUUAUCCAACGAUUUACAAUUUUUUAUGAUGAAUUGUUUAAAAUUUGAGCUUCAUUUACGAGUCUUAUGUAGACGAAACGAGCGUCCGGCGAACAAAAUUAUGCGUGGUGUGAAUCAGAUGUGUAUACUUAAAAAUUCUAAAGAUCUUUUAGAGUAAAUACAAUCUAACUCUCUUUCAUCUUGUGAUAAUAUUAAAACAUUUGACUUUUUUCACUUUAUACAAGUAUUCCACAUUCCAAACUAAAGGACAUAUUGAAAGAGUUGGUAUUGCUUUGUUUCAUUAAAAAGAAUGGUCAAAGAAGAUACAAGUAUCUUGUCUUAGGAAGGCUUAAAUCCUACUUUGUAAAGGAUCACUCUGAUUCACAAAAAAAAUUCUCUGAAACUGACAUUAUCAAGAUGCUUGAUUUCUUGAUUGACAACAUAUUUGAUACGUUCGGAGGACGUGUUUUUUAAACAGACUAUCGGCAUUCCAAUGGGAACGAAUUAUGCUCCUCUUUUUGCCGACUUGUUUCUUUAUUACUAUGAGGCUGACUUCACACAGGAGCUACUUAGGAAGAAAAAUAAGAAGUUAGCAAUAUCCUUUAACUCUACUUUCCGUUAUAUAGAUGAUGUUCUUUCACUAAAUAAUUCAAAAUUUAGUGACUAUGUUCAACUCAUCUAUCUCAUUGAACUAGAGAUAAAAGAUACAACAGAUACAGUUAAGUCGGCCUCAUAUCUUGACUUACAUCUAGAAAUGACAAUGAGGGUCGAUUGAAAACAAAACUUUACGACAAAAGAGAUGAUUUCAGCUUUUCAUUUCUAAGUAGCAACAUUCCAGCAGCACCUACAUACGGUGUAUAUAUCUCCCAAUUGAUACGAUAUUCCCGUGCUUGCAUUUCCUAUCAUGAUUUUCUUGAUAGAGGGCUGUUGCUCACAAGGAAGCUAUUAAAUCAAGAGUUCCAAAUGGUUGAAAUCAUCACUUCGUAAAUUUUACGGACGCCAUCACGAGUUGGUUGACCGUUAUGGAAUAACCGUUUCACAAAUGAUAUCGGAUAUGUACGUCUUAGCUGCAAUCCCCUUCCCUUUCAUAAAUGUGACCUACCGAAUUAGACUAUUUACCGGUUUGUUAUCUUAUAAGCAACACGACGGGUACCACAUAUGGAGCAGGAUGUGCUUAUCCUUCUGGAGCACCUGAGAUCACCCCUAGUUUUUGGCAUGAUUCGUGUUGUUUAUUCUUUAGUUUUCUAUGUUGUGUCAUGUGUACUAUUGUUUGUAUGUUUGUCCUUUUCAUGUUUAGCCAUGGCGUUGUCAGUUUAUUUUCGAUUAAUGAGUUUGACUGUCCCUCUGGUAUCUGUCGUCCCUCUUUUACGAGGUUUCAUAUAUCACAGAUAAAUUUAAAAAGUAUUUAAAAACUUUCAACCUCCUCAAGCGAAUUUCACCUUAGUGCGUUUGACUUCACCUUCUUGUAUGCCUUUUGGUCAUAUAGAUCAUUCAUAUAUCCUUGGCUUUUAAAUAUUUGAGUUUGAACGUUCCUGGUAAAGAUUUUUUUAGUAAAAUGUAGAAAUAUGAUAGACUUAAUGUAACAAGAAUAAUCUGUCAGUUUCUUAAUAUUUUGUCAUUUCCUAAACACUGUCACUUGAGCUGGGGAAAUCAGGCAGAGAUAUCGAUGGUUAAGGAAAAGUGCAUGCUUCCGAUUACCGUGUCUACCACACGUGCUUCUAAAAUAACUUUCAUCAGGUAUUUGGUAGAAAAAUAGCAUAUGAUUAACACUAUUUAUUUCUUACAGUGAAAUUGAUCUAAUUAUUUAAUCUGUCUAGACGUUUAUAUUUAUCUGAAUGAAAGUGAUCCUCGAAUGCACAGGAUUAACUUUGUAGAAUUCGAAAGUGUCGAUAGGGAUUCAUGUGCUGUUUAAAACAGAGCUGUCAAUAACUAAUUCCAUUACUGAGCCGCUUACAUAUUCAAAUUUUCAUGUUUCUUAUAUACAUUCAAGAAUUGUACUGCUUUAACCUUUUAUGUCAGCGGACAACAAUAGUUCUGUAACGUAGGUAAGACAGUUUACUUGCAACACUUGGAUCUUUGAUUGAUUUAUUGGUAAUCGUUUUAGCAUAAUUUCUGGAUCAUUGAAGAUAGAUACUGCAUGAGAGUCCUUAAAUACACAUUUGAUUUUACUCGAAUCUGGGUCAAAACUCUCAGGGAUUUCCCUCAUUCCGAUUUUUUUUAUCUUUUCUCAUUCACGUGUGUCCCCCGUAUAAUGCAUUUUUUAUAUCAUCUAUAUGUAUUUUAUUUUAAAAAAAAAAAAGAAUUCUUACUCAAUUUUUCUUCUUAUUAGGCAAAAGGUUAUAGUUAUAAAAAGUUAUAGUAUGCAACUUCUUUACGAUGUUGUAAAUAUCAGCAGAUGAGACCAUGGUUGUCAAUGUUGUUCUUUACAGAAAAUGCUUUAUACUAUAAUGAUUCAUUUUUUUUCAUACUAUAUAAUACCACGAAAACCCUCAAAAUGACUAAUGUAAACAAUUCAAACCAGAAAACUCGUUUGUUGGCGCCAAAUCCCCUCUCCUAGAACAUGCAUGUAACAGUACAUCACCAGAACUCGAGCAAAAUAUAAAAUCAGUUGAAAAGGGCUUUAAUCAUCGGAUCGAUAAAAAGGAGAAAAACGUAUAAGAAAAAUUUAUCGGAUGUGGCAAAAUAUGUAUAAUCCGCGAAAGAAAAAAAGCAAGUACAGAUAUGAGAUGACUCGCAGUUACUGACGAAUUGUCCAAAACCAAAGACAACUUAUAAAAAAAACUGUAUCUGCCACUUAAACAUCAACAAGUAGAAAUCCAGCAUUCGAUAUAUUUGGUUAAUGACGUUAUUCUCUGUCAGAGAAAACAUAACCUUGCUUUAUGAUGAUUGCUUUAUUGCAAAUCAUACCAUAUUUCUUGACUAUUCCAUGAUUUCAACAUAUAUGGUACUAGUGGUUCAUACUGAUGGGGAGUGGUCUGUCUGUUCUUUCAAUCGUUUGUUGUACAGAUUUUGUAUUUGCAACUUCACCUCAACUGUUUGAAAAAACUUUGUAAAACUUUCACAGAAUCAUUCCGACAUAAUGUACUAAUUCGCAUUUUUCUUUCAUUUCUUUGACUUGCUGAAUUUUGUAGUUUAUUUUGAGACGAACUUUCAUAUCUGCAAACUAUACUACACAUUAUAUUAUAUUUAUCCUCCUUAACAACUCAUUAUUUGAUGAAACUUUUACAGAAUCUUUGCCAUAUCAUGCCAAUGUGCACCUACUAUAUUGCUGUGUUUUUAGUCUGAAUUAUUGUUUUUUACUUUCAUUUAUAUGUGUCACGGUAAUUUUUAAUGCAUUUAAUGACAAUUAACUGUAAACCAAAUGAAAACCGUUACAUAUACAGAUUAAUGAAAACAACGUUAAGGAGCAGAAAUGCUGACGUCUUGGUUCUGUUAUAUACCUUUUAUAUAUAUGAAACAAAAAUGAAGGUGAAAAUAUAAACGCUUCAUUCAUCUAAAAAUGGAAUUACAGUACUUUUUAGUGCUUAAGUUUGAGUGAAGUUAUGUCGAUAAAUUUCUCAUUCUGAUUCUGCAUUUCCGAGAUAUUCGUUCAGAACUAUAUCUUUUCCAUAUAUCAGUGAUUAGACUGCUGGAAUCAUGACUUUAAUGAUUGUAAUUGCUCUGAUAGAUUGUCUGUUUCGUUUCUUAUUGUAGGCGGUAAUGAUGUACGUUUAAUCAAAGUCUCUUUAUUUUGUUUUAGAGUCAAUUAUUUGAAAGAAGGUGCACUCUUCUGGGAUAAAUUUGAAAUUAGUUUUAAAACCGUGUUCACCGAUAAAUUUAAUUCGGUUACGCAUAUCAAUAAAUCUAAAAAUAGAUACAAUCAAGAGAAAUUGUUAUUACUUGAACUAUAUCAAGUGUUUGCCCAAAACAAAGCUGUCGAUUCCUUAAAGAGGCACUAGCUACAUGUACGAGAUAUAAUGUAAAAUAUGAUAUUUUUGGGGGAUCAAAGAAUCAUUGAUGAAAGUGAAAUAGUGAAAUAUCAACUCGCUUUUAGCAGUAAGUUUCUUUGCAUUUUGUCAAAAUAAGCUAAGCCACAUUGAUGAUGAAUAGUCACUCGCAAGUGAAUAAUUCGACCUCAUUGAAACCGUAUUUAUGUAAAAUUCAAUUCGACCCCUUCGACAGGUAACGCAUGAAUUGUGCGUGUUUAUUGAAUGUCAACAUUGAAAGUGAAACAAAUGUAACAAAUCAUUUGAUUGACUGCUUCGAUCCACAAAAAAAAACAUUCUACUGUUAAAAACGAUGAUUAACAUAUAUUUUGAUUCUUUAUAUAGAAUUAAACAGAAAAAGAUACUUUGUGGUUUAUUUUGACAUGAAAUUUGACAUAUCUGCAAAAUUAUACUACCCAUUGUAUUAUGUUUCUCCUCCUAAAAAACUCAUAAUUUAUGUGUAUCUUAGAGUAUAUUUCUGUUUUUAUUGCUAAUGUAACCAUUGGAGGUCUUCGACGAUCAAACUUGAUAGUUAAUAAGAUGGUGUCUAAACUAAAAUACACAUAACAAAGCUACAUCUUAUCGAGUCCAUGCCCUGUAAAUUGUUUAUUUCAGACUUUUUAUAAUUUAGAUAAAUGUUUUACGUUGUUAUGAAUCGAAUAUGAAAUGUGAGUAAAAUCGGUGAACAUGAAUUCGACAGCUAGUACCCCUUUCAAGGUUCGUAUUGAUUUAUGAUGAUUGAAAUUAGUUAAAAUUAAACAAGAGAAAUAAGGCCGAUUUCCCUUGAUUUUACUCAACACAAGAGUCAGAUUCAAACAGUCUUUAUAUCUUUAAAAAAAACAACAAAGUGUGUCCUUAAAGGUCUUAACGCUAAAACGGCCGAUUUCUAAACAGAUCAUCAAAAAGUAAACGCCUGACGAUAGCACAACAUCUUUUUUUAAACAAUUUUGAGAGAUGUGUGGCUGAUUUUGAGUACUUCUUGAGUAUUUCUUCAUAUGACAUCGUUAAAUAAAACAAAUGUUAAACUAUUUAUUGUCAUUUGAUAAGUGACAUUCCGUUUUAAAUUUUCCUUGUAGUUCGGUAUAUUUGUUAUUUUACUUUUGAUAAACGAUGUCUUUCUUUUUUAAAUUAAACAAAAACAUUUAAAUUUUGCAAUUUCGUUUAAUACAAAUACUUUUACACACAAAUUCUGCAUUGAUUUGACUAAUAAGAUUACCAUAAAUAAAGGUCUUUUAGAUUUUUAAAUUGAAAGACUCGAAGAAUAUGAUAACAUUUUGCCAAUGAGUUGUGUACAUUAUUACAGUAACUUUUUAGAUUUGUGACAUACCUGAUUUAGAAUUCUUCACCGUUAGGCUGUUCUGACAGAUAUUCUUUUUCCGUUGAUCUUUUAAGAUAAAGCAUUCGUUCGCGCGACGCUAAACCUCUUGGUCGUAGUUAACAUUAUAUUGCAAUCGCUUAACCAAGACAAGAGAUUCAACCAGCACUGAUACCAAAAGAUCAAAAAUUUAUGACUUUAAAAGUUUUCUUAGUUGUUGCGUUCACUCAGAUGUUGAUGAAAACAAGUUACUGUCACAGUAAGAUCGAUCUACUGGCACUUCUAAUAAACUAUUCAUACAUAUUUUUUUUCAUUUCGAUAGGUAACUUUUUUUCUUAAUUGUGACAAAACAUCUUUUCUUGAAAGAAAAGGUAAUGUAAGACAGUUUUGCUCAUACAGUUCUAUCUAUAAAGUACAUUAGGCAUUCAAACUUUCAACUUGACAUAUUGAACUAAAAAUGUAUCACUUUUGAAAGUCUAUAUUUCCUGAACAAAAGAAUAAAAUGGACGUGUUUUGACUUUUGCUCUUCUAUAUUGCAAAUUUAUUAGGUAAUAAAUUAGUUAAAUUAUAUUGUUCGUUUCAAUUACUGACAAAGUUACAAUAAAGUUGAAGCGAGAACCAACAAUUUAAACAUCAUUCGUGCUAUUUUGCUAAGUUUAUAGUAAGCACUGGUAUCAAUAUUCACAAUUCUAGACAUUGCACGGCAACCAUCAUGCGAUGGCACGAUUCUUGUUGUAUUUUAUUGUCUUCGUUCUGUAGACAGUACACGUAAGCUCCCAUGCAAUCCAUUAAUGAUUAUGUCUGGCCUUAUAAUUAUGGUCUGUCCUUAUCCUUUUUUUCUAAUAAAUCAAACAUAAAAGCACAACGCAAUACUUUUGUUUCUGAUUCGUACAUUAGUAAAACAAAAACAAGUUAUAAAGAUACAAAAAUAAAAUAAUAUAUGAACAAGUUGUAUAUAUAUAACUGACACACACAAAAAAGCAGAAAUUUCAAUCAAAAUUGAAUUGUUCAGUGGGUUUGAAACAUUUAUUUUCGAUGCAGUCGAUGUAGUUUCUUAUUCUUUACGUUUGACCUUGAUUAUGCGAAACUAUGGCUUGGGAGUUGUCGCUAAUCUGUAACAGUCUGUUCUCCGAUUGCACUUCAGUUAAAAAAUAUAGUGAUCCACCACUUUUCGCGUGUAGCAAAAUUGUGAGUUUUAUUCCAAUGUAGUUUUUCUAAUCUAGUAUGUUUAUGAUAAUUAAAAUUUAAAAAGAAAUGAUAUUUGUUAUGAUUGUUAUUAUAUCAUGUAUUGAAGUGUCAUGGUUUUGGAAAUUUUACUUCGUUUUCUGUAUACGAGUGCUUUUCAAAUAAGUACUUCCCUAGUGGUAUGCUGUUGUAUUAGCAACUCGUCAUUACAGUUUCAAGAAAAUCAUAUGGGUAUUCCCUUUCGUCAUGCUACAGUGUAAUUUCUGUGUAAGAAUAAUAAAUGCUCUAACUUACAUUUAUUGCAAUGUUUUUCUAAACAGAGACUUAAAGCACUUAUUGACCAUUCAAAGGGAUGGUUACUAGUAAACGUUGUGUCCCAUUUAACUAUUAAUGCUAUUUAUGUUUAAAUUACUGACAACAACAAAAAGUUCGGCCAAAUGCAAGUGACAAAUUCUCAUAAAUAUUCAAUGGAUCAAGAUUCUCUUUUGCCAUGCAAAAUCGGAAGACAAGAUAAGCUACGAGAUGAUAUUGUAGGAAAUUAUUAACAGUAAGUCUGUCUGAAAAUAACUAAAGCUAUCCAUAUUUUUACAUCAAUUUAUGUAUACAGUUUUGUACUGUUUGUUUUACAAAUCUAUUAUAUAUACUUCUAGUAAAAACAGUAUUAAUUUAAAGUAGUACUUCCGUUAAAAGACUUUGUAUAAACAUCAAUUUGACUGCUGUUUAGAGAGAGCAAUUCACAGCAAUUAUGGCAUUAGGAAAUAUGACGAUGCAAAUAUGUGUUUAUUUAUCAGAAAACAUAAGACUUUAUUCAUUCCUAUACAAUUUACUUAGGUAAUAAGACAGUACUUACCUUACCAUAAUUGUUCACCAGCCGCCAUUUGAACCUUUGGCUGUAGAAACCAUUUAUAAACUUUCGUCAUCGGUAUCAAUUUUCCCAGUAUGAAUUGUUUGUAUAAAGGUGGAAUUAUAUUUCAUAGGUGAAUAGUUGAAGGAAACGUUCGUGUUUUGACAAUAAUUGUAUACAAAUUGGAGUUUGGGUUUGCAUGAAAAAAAGGGAUGAAGUCACAUUGAAAACCACAACAACCAGUUUCUCAAAAUACUGUGCUCACAAAUUUAACUCCUGGAAAUAUCAUUCAAGUAUCAAUUGAAUUCGAUCGUCUAGGUGCAAAUUUACGUUGAUGAUUUUUGUCAACAAAGACUCUCUGCUCGUAGUCCUGUUUAAUGAGUUUACUUUGUAGAAACAACUUUACAGUUUUUUGGUAUUUAGUAAAGGUUUGUACUUAGUUUUGGAUUUUAAAUAUUUUUUUGAGACAUUUGUUGUCGAAGUGAGCCUCUUUUGCAGUAAAAUUUGUACCGUAAAUGGUAUAACUUCCACUUGGUCGAUAUAUCUUCUCGAUAUAUGAACGUCCUGUAGAGUAUCACCAGCCCUGUAUACAGUACUUUAGUACUGGCAUAACAUACGGAUAUUAUUAUUUUGUAAAACCUAUUAUAACGUCUUUGAAAUUAUUGUAAAGUAAGCAAUGUAUAGCUCUGAUUUGUGUCCGUCUUUAGUUUAACUUUGGUCUUUUUUUGUGUUUUGUCUUUUCAGCUCUUCAACGUUAGCAUUAGUAUAGUCCGGCAGAUAGGUGCAAUAUAUGAAGGAAUUGUGCAUAUAUGUUUUGAUUUCAAAAAUUCUAUCUACCUGCCUGCUAUCAAACGCACCGUACAAACACCGUGUAUUUCGUUAGGUUGAACAACCUGUCGUAGUUGACUCGGUUGCCUUAAAGUUGUUCUCCUUUUUUACAAUUGCAUUUCUAGGCUUUAAUUUCCUACUAUUUUGAACAAUUUACACAUAAUUGAAUUUCAGCGGUUUUCAAGCAUCAAGAUCAAUAAACUAAAACCACGAUAAUUAAAAAAAUUACAUGUUUAUGUUUUAAAACUUUUCCUUAUAAAUAUACUAAGGGUCAAUAGAAACGCAACCCUAACAUGUAUUUUCAAGCUUAUAAAAAUUCUAACCGACAUUUCAAUUUUGGAAAUUGACCAAUCGUUUUAUGGUUUCUGUUUUUCAAUGAUAUGGACAACGAAUUCCACGAAUUAAAAGAGUUUUUUUUUCAAUUUUCAGAUUAAAAACGUAUAAACGUUUCUAUCAAAUACUUGAAUUUACACUUUGGAUGGAAAAUUCCUACAAUAGGGAACCCUGUAGUAAAUGUUAUCGCCAAGUAAUAAAGAUAAACAAUUUACCUUUGCAUUUGGUCAGAAACAUAAAAACCAUACAUGCACAUGUCUCUGGUUUGGUGUAGUAUGGCGACAUUUAGAAUGAAUUGUUUUAGCUUUAGCACCGAUGCUUAUACGACUUAUUGCAAAAUUGUGAAGUAUAAAAUGGUCGAUACGUGACCAAGCUCUUAAUAAAACUUGUACAUAAAUGCACGGCAAGAAGAAAAUAGGAUUCAAAAGGGGCUUAGACUAUGCUGUGUUGCGUUCCCAUCGGUAUUCAGUAUAUAACAAUUUCAUUUACAUUGUUUCACAGUUUAAAGCAUCACCGCACUUAAUGCUCGAAGGACAAUUGAUUGGAUACUUGUGGUGGUUUGUCACGACUUUUUUAAUAAGUUGUACAUGUAUUAUCAAUGUAAUGUCAACGAAGCCUUAGAAAAUUAAGACAUGCCUGACUUAAUGUAUUACAAUACACGAAAUAUAAUUAUAUUGUUAUUCCUACGAACAACAAAUUUCCAAAUAAUUUUAAAAAUAUUCCGUAGAGAUUAUGCACGUUGGAUGUAAUGAUUCAGUGAGAUGUUGAAAGAUAUAUUUUUAUUUUGCGCAUGCUCUUCGUGUCCUUAAUGUACUAGUAUUUGUUACCGCUGUAGGCGUACUCAUUUGCGUUUAAGUCUAGGGAAACAUGGUUAAUUUAUAAUUUAUAUUUUUUUUAUUAUGAAUUAGCUUUUAGUAUAGUGAGUGUUCUUAGACCAGAGUUCUCUUAGGUCAGUACAUUAUGUGUUUUGUUUUUUGAUAGUUGUUUUGUACACAGUAUCGGUCUGUUGGGAUAAGUCCAUUCUAAUUAAGAUUAGACUACUGUAAUGCUGUGCUAAUACACCACUGUCCCAUAUUAAUGGAUGUUUGACAGCUCACAAACAUGUUAACCCCACCACAUUAUGCAUAUGCUUGACCUAGGAGCCUGAAGUAUAGUUCUGGUGGAUGGUUUCCAUCUGUCAUAACUAAUAGUUAUUAAAUCGCUGAAUAUUAUUGGUUUGAAUCAAGCCGUUGGUCUCGGAUGUAUCGUAAUUUGUUAUCAGAUUUCCUUCAAAGCUUACUCUACUGGUACAGACUUGCUAUUAACCAUGGUAUGUGUCUGUGAACAGCAUUUUCUCUUUAUUAUAUUUUUCUUUUUUUAUCUUUAUUCUUUUUUUUUACAAAGGUAUUCUAAGAAUAAGUUCCGCCGUGAUCCAAAAGUUGUGUUGCACAAAAUGCAUCAUAUUACAAAGGAUUAACUACAAUAUUAGAUAUUCUUGCUAUAUAAAUGUAUUUCUAUUGGAUAUUGUCCUUUGGUCUUGACGCAAUGUUUACCGUUUUUUAAUAGUGCGAUGAUGCUUAAACAAUACUAAUGACACUGUAAUAGUGUUAAAAUAGAGUUAUGUUCAUCAAAGUAACACAUUAAAGGCAUGAUUUAAAUUGAAUUCUUACAUAUAAUUCAUAACCAAUCGGAAGCAAUCGUGUGCGAAAGAUCAUUAUGUUUUCAUCAGUACGGAGGAGAAAAAAUAUAUGAUUUGAUUUGAAUGUUCUUCAGUAUGUUAUUGUUGUCCUCAUGAUAUACGAUUUAAAAAAUACAAUAGUACCAUGUUAAUAAAGAGUUUACAAGAAGGGCGAAAGAUACCAGGGAGACAUUCAAACUCAUAGAUAGAAAAUAAACUGACAACGCCAUGGCUAAAAAUAAAAAGACAAACAGACAGAUAAUAGUACACAAGACACAACAUAGAAAACUAGACUAAGCAACACGAAUCCCACCAAAAACUUGGUGUGAUCUCGGGUGCUCCGGAAGGUAAACUGACCCUGCUCCACAUGUGGCGCCCGUCGUGUUGCUCAUGUUUUUAGAAACUCGGUAAUUAGUCGUAUUCGAUAGGUCACAUUCGUGAAAAGGGAACGGGAUGGUGGUUACGACUACACUGUACAGGUUUUUCUCAUUAUUGAAUAUCAUACGGUUGCCUAUAAUUAGAAUUGCAAAUGUAAACGAGGAAUAUGUCAAGGAGACAACAAACCGACCAACGAGCAGAAAACAGUUUAAUGCCACCAAUAGGUCUUCAACGCAGGGAGAAAAUCCCGCACCCGAAAGUAGGUUUUAUCUGGACCCUAAUCAAUAAUGAAUACAUUUACUAGUUGUUCUUACAUCUACUUUAUUUUAACUCGUGUGAAUAUUUGUUUUUUUGGCAAUUAUACCACAUAUCCUUAUUUUUAUGUUUACAAACAAUAUUCAAUAUUAAAUAAACAGUUAAGAAUUCAGUCUUGACAAACACCUUUUUUUUUUUAUUCAAAUUAAUGUAUCGUUUCCUUUCUCCCUUAUUGUUGGCAAUUGCUUGGUUUUUUUGUUAAUACAAUUCAAUUCAAUUCUUUAUUACUUUAAGCACAUCAUGCUUAUCAGUUCAAUAAAUACAAAUAUAUUUUUUAUAACACAACAUGACAUAAUACACCAGAGAAGCAAAUAAAUAUCAAGUAUUGACCAAUAACAGUUCGGUCCUAUGAUUAAGUGCAUUAAACAAGAAUUUACACAUAUUACGCUAAUCUUUUACAUUUUCAGUGCUGAGAAGAAAUAAGACAGGAAUGUUUUCAUUUCUAAUGUUUUCCAAUUAUGUAAUUUCCAGGCUUUGUCCCUUAGAAAGUGAACAUGGUAAUAUCCGUGAUAUUGCAUAAACUGAAAAUGAUUAUUACUUUAUUCAUGUUUGUAAUUACUAUAAAACAUGUUUUUAAAAAAGAACAUGAAAGGUAAAUGCUGGUGUUUAUUCCCAAUCAGGGUUAAUUAACAGUCUUCUAUUCAAAUUACUUUCCUGAAACAAGUUUAAAAAAAAACUUUACAGUCUUCAUUUAAAAUAAUUAUAAUUGUUUCAUCUCGUUUGUACAAUGAACGAUAAUAAAUACUAAAAAUCCGGUAUUUGGAUGCAUUACAAAUUAGUAUCAUCACAACACAACAUAACGGAACAUAAUAAACUAUUCAUUUCCGGAAUUGAUUAAUUGAUUGAUUAAUUUAUUUCAUCAACUGAUUGAUUGAUUGAUUGAUUGAUUAAUUUAUUUCACCAUACAAGGGGUGUGGUGUUAAGAGAAUCUAUAUUAAAGGGGUUUUAUUUAUUAAGUUAUCAAUAAAAAAUAAAGUUAAUGUUUAAAAUUUCCCUUGCUAAAAACAAUAUCUCAUCCUACAUUUAAAUUUCACCAGACUCAUAACAAUUAUGAAAGGUACCAGGAUUAUAAUUUAAUACGACGGACGCGCGUUUCGUCUACAUAAGACUCAUCAGUGACGCUCAGAUCAAAAUAGUUAAAAAGCCAAACAAGUACAAAGUUGAAAAGCAUUGAGGACCUAAAAUUCCUAAAAGUUGUCCCAAAUACGGCUAUGGUAAUCUAUUCCUGGGAUAAUAAAAUCCUUAGUUUUUUCAAAAUAUUCAAAGUUUUGUAACAGGAAAUUUAUAAAAAUGACCAUAUAAUUGAUAUUCAUGUCAACACCGAAGUGCUGACUACUGGGUUAGUGAUACCCUCGGGGACGAAACGUCAACCAGCAGUGACAUCGACCCAGUGGUGUAAACAGUUAGGUAGAUUCAGAUUCAAUAGUUUAUUAAGUAUCACCACAUACAACAUGAUUAAAACAAGAUACAAUUAUAAUAUUAAAUACACAGCAUUUUUAGCCAUGGUGUUGUCAGUUUGUUUUAGAUUUAUGAGUUUGACUGUCCCUUUGGUAUCUUUCGUCCCUCUUUUACCAAUGUGGUAAUUAAUAAUGUUUAUAAAUCUAGUUGUCAAAUUUUAAGAUAUCUUAUCUGAUGACCUAAUUAUUAGAAUUGGUGCCAAGGUUCAACAUGCUAACUGUUUUUAAAUAUUCUUUACCAAAUUCAAAGGCACUUCUUAAUUCUUUCUAUAAAUUUAUCAAAGAUAAAUUGAAUUUGCCUAGGCUUAAUCUAGAUAUCAACUAUUAUGUUUUCAUUUUAGACAUGCAUUGAGUAUUCAAAAACACUUAGUGAUCAUUUAUCAUUUUCAUAAAAAGAAGCAUUCCUUUGUUGGGAAAUAUCAGCACUUAUGGUAACUAAUAGUCGAUUUCAGACAAUGCAAGCGUAAACAUUGUAAUUACUGAGCCGUAUUUGGCACAACUUUUUAGCUUUUUGGAUCCUCAAUGUUCUUCAACUUUGUACUUGUUUGGCUUUAUAACUAUUUUGAUAUGAGCGUCACUGAUGAGUCAUAUUUGGACGAAACGCGCGUCUGGCGUAUAUAUUAAAUUUAGUCCUUGUAUCGAUGAUGAGUUUAUUUAUAAUCCAGGUACCUUUGAUAACUAUUGAAGGUCGUAUUUGAAAAAAAACAAUUUCAUUAGGGUAAGUUUCAAAUUCAAUUUUAGUAAUCCCCAAUAUUUAAAAACAGUAUUAAGUUAUUUCUGUCUUCUUUACAUAUUAUUUAAUCAUCCAAAUUUCAUUAUGAAAUAGUAAAUUGAAUAUAUCAUAUAUUUGACUUCGUCUUUUUUAUACAUCAUGUUUAUGAACGCAUGGUUAUUUUGAGUUUUAACUUAACAUAAAACGUUUGUUAGUCAUGAACAAUUUUGCAUAACUUAUGAUCAAUUUUAGUCGUAAGAUGUCUUUGUGAAAGGCAAACCUGUUACCUAUUUUUACUAGCCUAACUGUUUUCUAACUUGACCGGCAUUGCUAUUAGAUAGUUAAGAGGGUGUCCAUGGAAAAACCAGGCAGUGGAUGGCACAUGACAUAUUUUGUUUUCAAUUUUUUUUUUCAUCUAUUUCAUAUCACAAAUUCAUUCUUUCUCAAAGUUAAAUUUUUUUUUUAUUAACUGCAACAAGUAAAAAGAAAAAAAAUACAUAGAAAGCACUGAAAAUUCAUUGAAAAGGGGAUAUAACUCUUCAUUUUGUACACAGUUUUGUUGCGUUGUUAGUGAACUUUAAAAUCAUUUUCUGAGCCAUCCACUGUUGAUUCAAAAAUAUCUUUAACAUAUAUCUCCUUUGUAUGAUAUAAACAUUGCAUUGGAACCAAAAAUUCAGUGGGGAAAAAUUUAUUUUGUGCCAUCCAUAUCAUAGGAUUUGCCUGAUAUUUACUUGGACAGCCUCUUAAAAAUUCUCCAUAUCAAUUGCUUACUUUACUGGCAUUGAUGUUUGCAAACGGAACCCGCCUUACCAAUUGCUAAUUUGAAUGGCAUUGCUGUUUGCUUACUUAACUCGCCUUUCCAAUUGCUAAUUUGACUAACAUUGUUGUUUGUUAACUUAACUCGCCUUACCAAUUACUAUCUUUACUGGUAUUGAUGUUAGCUUACUUAACUCGCCUCACCAUUCGUAAACAUGACCGGCAUUGAUGUUUGCUAACUUAACUAGCCAAACCAAUUGUUAAUUUGACUGGACAUUGAUAUUGAUUAUAUCGAGCAAUCAAUUUUACUAAUUUGUUUAUUCUUUUUUAGUGGAUUGAAACUUUGCUUUAUCUAAAAUUAACAAGACAACUAAAGUUGAUAUCAGAUAUAAAUAUAACGACAUCGGCAAUAUAAAAAUAAGUUUCAGUAUGAAAUAAAACAUGCCAACGAAUUUGCAAAUAAAAGGAAUAUAAAAGGUGACCGAUUGAAUUUGAAUAAUCUCAUUUAAAAGAGGAAAAUCGUGGGAAGCAAUAAUAUUUAAAAGUAUAAAAACCAGAUUAAUUAGACAUAACUACCCUAACAUCCUGAGGUCAACGAGUUGCAAGCUUGACUAUGUAUUUGUUACAAUAACCUGAAAAUAUGAAUUAGAAUAUGUCAUAUGUGGAAUAUUCUGCGGUUGCAUGUUAAUAUCCUUGAAUAUAAUUGGAGAGCUAAAUGCCUUUUCGUAAUCUGUUUAACCAUGUCAAAAGUCUCUUCUUAGAAGAAUAUGUUUCACUCUAACGUAUGUGUGAUGUUAUGCCUAUGCGGUUAGUGACUUUGAAGAUCGGUACAAGAUAGGAUUAAACGGUUUAUUUUGCUGAAUCAUUAGCUAACAAAAUGAAAAGAAAGACUUCCGUGACUUAGUUUGAGACACAUUCAUUAAAAUAAGUCAAAUUAAAUAGUAGAAGAUUCAAUUUGGGUUUCAUGUUCAUGCUUAAGCUAGCAAUGGGUUAUAAUGUACGAUUAUAGGUAGAUGCACUGUUUCACUUUCAUAUAACUAUUUGUAAUGGUUUAAAUGUAUAUAUUAAUUGAAAAAAAAGCAACAUAACAAAUAAAGUAUAGGUUAAGAUCAAAUACAAUGAAAAGUAGUAAAAUCGUCUUUUCCUGCAUUUUGAGGUUCACCAAAUGUCAACUGAUAAAUUUAUUUUUACAAUAUGAACCUUAAAGUUAGCGUUAAUAACUGAGGGUAUCACCAACCCAGUAGUCAGCACUUAUGUGCUGACAUGAAUUGUCAUUGAUAUGGUCAUACUUAUAAAUUAACUGUUUACAAAACUUUUGAAGUUUUGAAUACUUUAGGCGUUUCUAUCUCAUGAAUAGAUAAACUUAGCUGUAUUUGGCAAUUUUUUUAGGAAAUUUGGUCCUCAAUGCUCUUCAAGUUCGUACUUUAUUUGGCCUUUUUAACUUUUUUGGAUUCGAGCGUCAUGAUGAGUCUUUUAUAGAGGAAAUGGGCGUCUGCCGUAAAUACAAAAUUUAAUCCAGGUAUCUAUGAUGAGUUAAUUAAUAGGUAUUGAAAACGUAAGUUAUCAAAUAAUGAAGUAUGCAAAUUAUAUGGAAAUGACAUUUUUUUCAAAAUGGUACAUAUAAAAAAUUACUCGAUCUCCAUUUGAAACUCUUGAAAGAGAAUCAAAUAAAGGUUUCAAAAGCAUCUAGAUUGAUAGAUUGAUCAAUAGUUUUUGCUUUACGACACCUCAUCAGCAAAAUUAUUAUAUCAUUCCGAACAAAGUGCCGGUUGAUUUGCAUUUUGCACUUAUAGCAAUAUCAAUGUACAUUGUAUACAAUUAUUUCUAUUUGGUAAUCAAUAAUUUAAAAGUAAAAAAGCAUAUAUGUAUAUCAUCUUCCCGAUAUUUAGAUGGAGGUUUACGUGUUCUGGUUUUAUGCAAAAGAUCGCCCGUGUUUUUACCUUUCAUAUUGAGAAAUGGUAUCCCCUAACUAGAGGCUCUCAAGAGCCUGUGUCGCUCACCUUGGUCUAUGUGCAUCAAUGGACACAGAUAAAUUCAAGACAAAAUGGUGUUUUGGUGAUGGUAAUGUGUUUGUAGAUCUUUCUUUACUAAACAUUCUUGUUGUUACAAUUAUCUCUAUCUAUAAUGAACUUGGCCCAGUAAUUACAGUGGAAAAUAUUUCCUAAAAAUUUACAAAUAUUUCCUAAAAAUUUACAAAUAUUUCCUAAAAAUUUACAAAAAUUUACAAAAAAUUAUGAAAACUGUUAACAAUUGACUAUAAAGGACAAUAACUCCUUAAGGGGUCAAUUGGCAAUUUUGGUCAUGUUGACUUAUUUGUAGAUCUUAUUUUGCUGAACAUUAUUGCUGUUUACAGUUUAUCUCUAUCUAUAAUAAUAUUAAAGAUAAUAACCAGAAUCUGCCAAUUUUUCUUAAAAUUACUAAUUCAGGGGCAGCAACCCAACAUCAGGUUGUCCGAUUUGUCUGAAAAUUUCAGGGUAGAUAGAUCUUGACCUGAUAAACAAUUUAACCUCGUGUCAGAUUUGCUCUAAAUGCUUUGGUUUCAGAGAUAUAAGCCAAAAUCUACAAUUCACCCCUAUGUUCUAUUUUUAGCCAUGGUGGCCAUCUUGGUUGGUUGGCCGGGUCACGCCACAUCUUCUUUAAUUGAGAUACCCCAAUAAUGAUAGUGGCCAAGUUUGGUUAAAAUUGGCCCAGUCGUUUCAGAGGAGAAGAUUUUUGUAAAAGAUUACAAAAAUUUACGAAAAAUUGGUCAAAAUUGACUAUAAAGGGCAAUAACCCCUAAAAUGGGUCAACUGAUCAUUUUGGUCAUGUUGACUUAUUUGUAGAUCAUACUUUGCUGAACAUUAUUGCUGUUCACAAUUUAUCUCUUUCUAUAAUAAUAUUCAAGAUAAUAGCCCAAAAACGGUAUGUGUUCCUUAAAAUUGCCAAUUCCUGGGCAGCAACCCAACAACGGGUUGUCCGAUUCGUCUGAAAAUUUCAGGGCAGAUAGAUCUUGACUUGAUAAACAAUUUAACUGCGUCAGAUUUUCUCUAAAUGCUUCGGUUUCAGAGUUAUAAUCCAAAAUCUACAUUUUACCCCUAUGUUCUAUUUUUAGCCGUCGCGGCCAUCUUAGUUGGUUGGCCGGGUCACCGGACACAUUUUUUAAACUAGAUACCCCAAUGAUGUUUGUGGCCAAGUUUGGUUAAAUUUGGCCCAGUAGUUUCAGAGGAGAAGAAUUUUGUAAAAGUUAACGACGACGGACGACGGACGACGGACGACGGACGACGGACGCCAAGUGAUGAGAAAAGCUCACUUGGCCUUUUAGGCCAGGUGAGCUAAAAAGCCAAUCGCUUUCUAAAUUAGUUUGACUAUAAAUUAUGCUAUAAUAAAUUUACAACAAUGAAAAUAAAGGAUGUGGAAUAAACAUCAAUGACACAAAACCAGUAUAUGCACAACAAACAUAAUACACAUCUCAUAAAGGUAAGGGAGUCGUACCAAAUAUCAAUGCUUUUCAUGAAACUACUUUUAAUAUUUAACUUUAAAUAGCAUGUUACUUGUCUGUCUACGGUAAUGUUUCUUUUUUGGACAAUACCUAUUUCAUAUUGAAGGAUUUUCAUUCGAACUUGAUCGCACUCUUACGGGUUGCAUGUUUUUGCAACUAAUGGUUAACCAAAAGACUUGAUUGUUAUACGUUCUUUAAGGAAAUACAUAUAAUGUCUUGCAAUAAUAUGCACCAUUACAUGACGCUCCUUGACAAACUGAUUUUUUUUUUUGCUCUGAAAUUGAAAAAUAGUGUUAUAGGGAAACAUAAUGAUUCUAAGAUCAAACUUUGUGUGAAUUAAUUACAUUUUGUGCAUGUCUCGUUCAUAUAUGCUGUAACCAAAACUACCCAAUGAAAUGAUAGAAAAGUAUGAGUUCAUACAGAGAAGGUUUUGCUAUAAUAUAACAAAUUCCAAAAUUUAGAUAUUUAUUCUUUGACAACAUUUUACUAAAAGUUUAUUGUUAUACAUUAUCUGUAAAAUAGGAAGUUUCAUAGGCAGAACCAGUGUUUCUUUCAUUUAUAGUAUGAAAAUUUUUAUUGAAGUUAUGUAACAAAUGGGCAUUUCGUCAUACAUGCAUAAAGACAAUAACUGUUUAGUGUCUUUAAAUAUCAGCUGUAUUUGUACGAGGCUAGGAAACAAGGUGUAUGCGAGCUUUUAGCGAGGCUUUACCAAAUAGCUGUAUUUGACUAUUGCAUCGAUUUGUUCCUUUGAGGCGAGUAGUAAUAUCACAAUACAUAAAGAAUCAUCGCUCAAUGUGAAUAAUUAUCUAUUUUAACAUAACAACUAAUUUCAACAGUAAAAAUAAAUAACAAAACAUUGUCAAAUUUGAAACAGAAGUGUACGAGUUGUCCUACGCUUCAGACUUGACUUUCACUAAACAUGCAUGCUGAAAUUGACAUGGUUGAUUUUGUUACACAAUCAUACACAUUCAAGUUUUGAAAUCGACAAUCGUCAUCGUCAUUGGAAUACAACUGGAAUACACAUUCUGAGGUCACACAGGUUCAAACAAUACUCAGUCCGGCAGUGGGCGGAGCUUUAAAGCGAUAUUUAUACUACAUUUUAGAUUUUAGUGCAACAUCGUUCGAAUGAGGAAUGCUUUGACUAUGUUUUCUAUCAGUUUCAUUCGAAUUGAGAUAAAAAUGUUGUAUUUUAAUCCUGACAGUACGGUUAUUAUAAAACUAUAAUUGUUAAGACAAUGAUCGUCCUAACCCUGUAUGUAAUAUUUGCCACUGGACACUAAGUAAACAUCAAUAAAUCAAUCAAGACAAUGAACGUAACGACAAAGAUAAAUAUGGAAAAUAGUUUUUUGACCUUAUUAUGUUUAUAUUACUGUAAUUACGCGUGUUUUAAUAUAUAAAUACCCACAACAACCGUUUCAUGAAUAACAAUACGAAAAAUGGGGGAUUUGUCCUUUGUUUGCUGUCGUCAAUACUAUCAAACCUGCUGUUUUUAUGACAAUCAUAUGUAGAAAUUAGAGCUCGUUUUCUUUUAUUAUGUUUAAUGAAAAUCAAUGACAAACAAGAUAUUGACUUAAUUAAUCAGGCUGAGAAACGUAUAAAAUUCACUUUCAUAACUACUAGAACACACCCGUGAUAUCGCGGAUCCGUGACUGAAUUAAAGUAUAUAACUAUGCGCAAGCCUUAUUUUAGUAUUAGUAUUGUCAUCUGAUAAAGUCAUGCCGAUUAUAAGAUACACAGUUUUCUCUGCUUUCAAAUCUUUCUGUUUGAACCCGUCGAACUGGAACUUAUCAAUUAUUGAUAAUAUUAAUUAUUUGGAAAACAAAAGGUCCUGGAAUGGAGUAUUUUUUAAUCAACAGCAUUGUCCUAUAUUAGUUAUAAAUAAAGUUGAAUUCUUUGAUUCGCUGUUUUACGUCAUGCCCGCUAACAAAUUGAAAACUGUACCUAUAUAUACGCCUUAUUUUAAGUCCAGAUUUUUAGGAUUCGUAUUGUUAUCUUAGAAAGUCUAACUGCUUAAAAUACUACAAUAGGUAACAAUUUGACAAUAAAGUAGUGUCAACCCUGUGAUUAUGACCCGUGUAAUACUAUAUAGCAUAUUAAUCCUGUAUACACCGUUUGGUGGUGCGCCUGUCAGAUGCGGAACGUACAGAUAAGGUAAUCGGUCACAGGUGAAUAUACUAUUGAUAUCGAUAUCGGACUCGACCAGGAACUUCUUAAUUAUUGGCAAUAUUAAUUACGUGGAAAAUAAAAGGGCCUGGAGUGGUGUAAUUUUUAAUCUACACCUUUGUACUAUAUUAGUUAUAUAUAUAAAGUUGAAUUUUUUGAUUCGUCGUUUUUACGGCUGACAAAUUGGACCUCGUAAUUGUAGUAUUAUAGUUGAUGAUAUUCUCGUGUUCAUUUCCAUGCGUCUAUUCACGUUUGUGAACUUUCUCAAAAAUCUAUCACGAGAUGUAAGAUGAGUUGUGUUUACAAUGGUUAUUGACAGAUCUGUGGACAGUACCAUUCCAACGAACGAAGAGACAAGAAAUUUCAUUAAAGCUAUGAAAUAUGUAAUUAUAUAUUUCAGUUUUACACGGGAAACUCUACAUAAGUUUUUACGACAAAAGGGUCGACGAUUUUUCGUUCCUACGUUUGGGGUGCCGAGUCGUCUAAGUUUUCGAUUUACUGUAUCAAGAUCCUAUCAACACUGAAGUUAUGACUUCGAAUCCUGCACGAGGCAUGUGCGCUUGACUCCAAUCUUCAUUAACUGGGAUAGUCAAAUUUCGUACCGAAGGUCGGUUGUUCUUUCCUGACACUCCGACUUCCUCCACCAAUAAAAACUGACAACCACGAAAUAGCACAAUAGUGUGUGUAGUGGCGUUAAAUACAAAUCAAUCAAUCGUUCCCAAUUGUUACUUUUUUCUUUUUGAAUGGUGGUAUAACUUUGGCACCCUCUUACUGUCUUAACAUGUCACAAUUCGUUCAAUGUCUGGAUAUUUCAAUGAACGUAAUCAAUGUAUUACUGGUCAAUUAUUAAGUCAGGGGUUUCUUUAUGUGUAUUACCACAAAUCAUCUAAAACCUUUACUUAAUUCUUUCAUAGAUAAACAUAUUUGGUUUGGAAGUUUGGUUGUAACUUCAUGUUUUUCUGCUUUGUAUCGAUCUGAUGAGUUAAGCCCUUUUCAAAUAAUUUUUAAAGUAUAAUCUCAUGUUGUAAUGUUACAACACUCAUGUCAUCGUCAGCCAGUAUGUAUGCAUCACUUGUGUUUACAAAAAAGUUAAAUUAUAAAGACUCCGAGAAAAAUUCAAAAAGGCAAGUGCCUAAUCAAAUGGCAAAAUUAAAAGCCCUAACACAGCAAACAGCGAAUGAGUGAUGAUGGAAACCUGGUUUUUAAGCUAGCUAAACCGCUCACUAGUAUGACAGCUGCAUCAAAAUCCGGUUAUAUUGACAACGAUGUGUGAACAAACCAAACAGACAUAAUAGGUAAAAAAUGUCAAAAAAGAGGUAAAUCAUUCACGUUGUGUAAUAAUCUUAAUCACCUAAUAAACAAACAAAUAUGUAAAAAGAAGCACAAAAUGGCAAAUAGACCAAGCAUAUUAGCCAAAAUUAAAGACAGGUAUACACAAAUUUACCAUAGUACAAUAACACAAGCACAGAGCCAUGUCAUAUACGUAUCAAAGAAACAUAAACAAAAAAGCAUAUAUAUUAUAUAGACAAAGCAAUUCUCGAAAAAAUUAAAGACAAAUGUUACAUACAAUAGCACAAUAACGGGAUGAAUAAAUACAGAGCAACGUUAUAUAUAUCAAAAAACACAUCAAAAGGCAUAUAGACAAAGCACAUUAGCUAAAUUGAAAGAAAUCGAAUACAAGUACUAUCAUCGAACGAUAACAUAAUGACGGGAUGUUGGAUUCAUUACGUUGUAGUUUCUAUAUAACAUUUAUCUAUGUUAAAAGAAAGAUAAUUCAAAAAGAUACCUUUCUUUCUUUUAAGUAUGCUCCAGAUUCAUGUGUUUCUUCUCGUCAAAUUUAAUUUUCAUUGCUUAAAUGACAUAGUCCUUUCCGCAAUGUUAUUACGUGAGAUAAAUUGGCAUUUAGUAAGUAAUUGCAAUUUUCCUCAUGGUAUGAUCUUAUAAAAGUUCUCUUUGUUAUUCGACGAUUCACGGCCAAAAGAAAUUUUAUAAGAAUGUGGACUAAUAAUGAGUUUUUACUAUUAUCUAACUGUACCUUAAACUAAGGCUGUAUCCCUUUCAGGUAAGUUCGUUGUCACGUUUGUGUCUUUUGGUUUUUUCUUUUUUUUCUUGCUUUUUUACCUUUGGGUCACACGGAUGCCUUUUUACAGGCUUGGCUCAUUGCUUAUAAUAAUCAUAUGGUCUCUAUUGGAUUAUUGUAUAAAUUGUCAAUUAUAUCCAAUCUUUUAUUUGAAGUAACUCCAGACAUUAUGGGAAUCAUGUCAUGUUUCUUUGUCGUUUUUUUUAUUUAUUGUUGUGGUUUUUUUUUUAUAAAAUGAGCCCCAAAAAAUCAGUUACAUUUAUAUGGAAAUAAAUUAAAUCAAUAUAAUACUUCUGUUUCAGACGUUGAGCGAAGGACAAUAUUUAGCAGUGUCAAAUGUGGUACCUACUGACGCGGGAGAAUAUACAUGUCAGGUUACUAGUAAUGACGGUUGUCAUGUCGAACGAUCUGCCCAAUUAUCAGUGAUUCCGGCAUCAGGAUUCAAUUCCUGUAAGUAUUUUCAGCUGUUCCUCAUGUGUGUUAACCUUUUCUAUCCGAUUGCGUUUCUUUUUGUUUUCAUAGUAAAAAACAAAUAUGGUCUUAAUUUAUUCAGAUUGUUGAUUGUGACCAUUAUCUGGCAAAAGUAGAACUAGACCCCUUGGGUUCACAUCAAGCAAUGCAUGGAUUUCACUGGUGUUUAUUCAUUUCAAAAAAAGCAGCUGAACUUACAUUUAUUGCUUAUACGCUUGUCUUCUAAAAGUUUUGUCAAUUACAUCCAUGAUAGGUCUUUACCGUUAAUUUCGUUUCAAGAUCCAGAAUAUCGAAAUACAUAAAUUCAAAAUAGGUUUCAGCUUGCAAAUUGUUACUUUGAAUAAUAUUACAAUUUAUUUUCGUUCAGUGUAUGUAUGUAUAAUUCCUAACUGGUUUCUUCUUCAUUUUCAGACUGUGCGAGAGAUGUUUUGGUUCACAAUCCGCGUGUUAGAAUGGUAGGGAGAAUAACACUCGGUUCCUCUGUAGACAAGGCUUCAGCACCAUGGCAUGCAGUUUUACGAAUGCGUAGUCAGGUAUGAUGGUUAACAAUUUGUUGAUUUACUUCUUCUUAACUUUCAAGUAUGUUGUGUAUGGUACGUAAGAGUUGAUUAUGUUAACAAUUAGUUCUUUCACACAUUAAAGCAGGAAUUAAACAUUGAACUAUUUACAUUGGUUUCAUUAAUUGAAAAUACUUGGACGAGGAUGAAGUUUGAAAAGGGUGUUUGGAGCAAUAAAUUUGGCAACGUGUAAUGAUCUAUUCUUAAUAAAGUUUCAAAAUUACCUGAAUUAAUCUUAUUUUCAUUUCAGGAUAAGACGUUCUGUGGUGCCAAUCUCAUAUCGAGUUCAUGGCUCAUAACAGCAGCCCAUUGUAUUCGUCAUUUUCAUAUCGAAUUUAAAGAAAUGUUUGCCAAAGAAAAGGUCGAUAUCUUCUUGGGAACAAAUAGUUGUAAAGGCGAAAGUGGUGUUAAAUACGGCAUAAAAUCUUACGUUGUUCAUCCAAAGUUUGGAGCACGCGCUGUUUACGAUAAUGACGUAGCUUUAAUUGAAUUGGACAGAUCGGUCACGUUUACGGAGAAUAUACAACCAGUCUGUUUACAACCAUCGUCUAUCAUUAACAAUAAUUACUUAACUCAUAAACUCGGUCAUAAAAUAGGACGAGUGGUAGGAUGCGGGCAAUAUAGCGAGUUCAGGAAAGCAGCACCGGAAUACCUCAGGGAGGUGUACGUACCAUAUGUAAAUCGUGAAGAUUGUGCUUCUGUAAAUAUUGGCCAAGGCAAUUUUACUGAUAGCAUGUUUUGUGCUGGUUACUCUAGAAGGAAUAUGGGAGACGCUUGCUUUGGUGAUAGUGGUGGAUCCCUUACUAUGAGACUGUCAGAAAACCACCCUUGGGUGUUGGUCGGAAUUGUUUCAUGGGGAGUUGGAUGCGAUAGGAGUAAUCACUAUGGUUACUAUACACAUGUUGCAGCUUUUGAAAACUGGAUACAAAAUUACACGAUCUCUGAUCGAGAUCCUUAGUACUUUGCUUUACAACUGUAAAACUGUAUUUGUUACUAGUAUUGUCAGAUGACAUGACCAUUAUGAAAAUAAAAGUAUAGCUAAAAUCAAAAGUUUGCGAUUUAUAACUUAUAAAUAGAUGUAUAAAAUUCAUACACCAAUGUGUAUUGCAAAUACUGAAAUUCUACAAAAUGGACAUAAGAACACACCUAACAACCAUAUACUAAUAUGUGUCCCCAAAACAUAAAAAAGUGUAUAGUUGUGUUGCAGUUCACUGAGAUGUAUAUGUUGUCUAAUAAUUAAGUUAUAUUACAAUAUCCCUUGCUCAUCAUUUUAGAUCUUAUGUGUAUCAUGUUAUUUGGAAUAUUCAUGGAAGUAUUAUAUUGACUCUCAUUGUACAUUUUAUCGCAGAUUUCAUCGCAUUGAAACUCAGCGAUCCCUAUUAACAGAUCUAACUAAUAAAUAAUCUUUUCAAAAUUUAUUAAGGUAGCACAAUACAAAGAUUUGUGUACUUCCAACCACUAACCUUUAAAAUGCUGUAACUUUCUUAUGACUGUAUAAAAAAUAAUAAAAGAUGUAUAUAUAGAUAGAUAAAAGAAUAAUCUUUAAAAUGAAUGCAAUAUUUUUAUUAUGUAAUCAUUAUGUAAUCAAUUAUUAUGUAAUCAUUAUGAAAUCAAUUAUUAUGUAAUUAGUUGCAAAAUCUCGGUCAGUUCACUUGAAUGAAUUUAACUCUAUCAUCUCUUUAACUAUACAGAAAAUUUUAACGAAAUCUUAAUCAACACAUCAUGGGCUUCAAAAGGAUGUCUCAAAUUGUCCCUAUGGUAUUCCAUUCUCUCAUAAAUCUCUAAUUAGUGUGAACAUCCUAACCACAUAAAAGAAGAUAAUGUUUAAUUAGGUGUAAAAUUUGUUCUAUACAUUCUAUCUGAAAUCUGAGACACCCUUAUGUAGAUAAUAGCCAUAGGAACAACAUAUAAUAAAAUCAACUCUCUAGGAAUACUUAUGCAGAAGCUAAUUUCAAUUGAAAGUGGAAAUUUUGGGGAAAAUAUUUUAGACACAGUUAACCAUUAGUGGUUACAUACUUGUAGCAUAAUACUAACAUUGCAUUAAUUUGAAAUGGUAAUCUGUUAGCUAUCUAUAACUACCACUUUUAUAAAUUUUCAAGCAUUAUUAAGAAAGCUACAGCAUUUUAAAACUUGGGAGUUGGAGUUAUAAAAUCUUUGUAUUUUGCUACCUUAAACGAAAAUACUAUAUUGGAAAUAAGUGAAGACGCAGACCCUUAUAUAUUUUAUUGCAGGAGAGAUGAAUGAUACUUAUCAUCCUAUUUUAAGAAAACUUGAAUGUGCCACAUCAGAAAACGUAGCACUAUGGUUGACAAUACUGUUGUUGGUAAAGAAAAGAGUAUGUAUUUGCCAUCUUCGUGGCAAAAAAAAAGACAAAAAAAACAUCGAAGGAACAAGGCAUUUUGACUAAUUCUGAUCAUUAUAUAUGCUACACUAUAGCAAAAUCCCAGUUAACGCUUUAACAAAAUAUAAUGACCCUAAGGCCUAAUAAGGAGUUGAACACAAUAAAUAAUGAAUGUAGUUUGGGAUUUCUGUACCUUAUAUUCAUUCUGUACAUGAAGACAACAUAUCAUAUAUUUUGGUAAUCAUAAAACAUGUAACAUGGAAUAAGUAUACUUAAAAGGUUGUGUUGAAACAAGAUAAUAGGUUGAGAAAAUGAUAAUUCUUGUUCAAUACUACGAUUUGCCGUCUACAAACCAACAUUCCUUUAACACAGUAUGAGAUUGAAUAACACACCAAUAGUUAAGAGUUAUGUUCUUCUGUCAUAGGAGUUGACGAAAGUUUCUCAAAUCUCUUUCAGUAUUGUUUAAUUUUUCAUUUAAGAUAUGAAUUCUUGAAUAAAAUUUGAAAUACACUACGAUAUCAUAUUUUUCUUGACGUUAUGAUUAUUUCAAUAACUCAUACUCGAGUCAAACGUAGAUAUACUUUUCGGAUUUGUUUUUUGUGGCGACAUAUUGUAAGAACUUCUAAAUCCACCUGGCAAUGUAUGAGGUCUUUCAAACAUGAAUUCAGUGUCGAUUUUAUAGCCACCAUUUUGAACUCCAUUUUUCUUCACAUCAUAUUUUAACUUUGAAAUUUUGUGUAGUUUCGGUACAAAUACUUUCAAAACGACCACUGUUGCGCACGCAAGAAUUCCAGUGCAAAUUGUUAGUUCUACAUAGUCAUGUGAAAUUAUAAAUGUUACAGCUACCCAAGCUGCCCAUAAAACAAUGUUUAUCCAGCUGCUAAUGAGAAUAAAGAUAGCCUCGCCCAGAUUUUUCUUCUCUUUUCUUACAGUCAAAGCGUACAACGAACAGAUCACUAUUAAUAAUAUGUCAUAAAUUAAAUACAUUACAAACACAUUUUGUCAAAUUUACAAGCAUACAUUUCUUCAUCAUCCAUUAACCUUGUUUCCAUGAACUGGCCUUUAAGAGCAACAUAUUGGACAGAUAUGGCUAUUUGCACACCACUUACAAAUGUCACCGUCAAAAACUGAUUUAAAUUUGAAAUUUCACUUCCUAAUCCAAUUAAUUGAUAGGAUCUCAGUGACAUUAGUUUGGCCAAGCAUGUUGCAUAAACUUACGCAUAGCUUAUUCCUGGUAGCAGAUAUCUUGCAGUGCACCCCAUUUCACUUGGUGUAAACAGAAAUGGAAAAACGGACAAAUACAGUGCUAUAAUUGAUAACAGUAGAAGAAUUCCAAGUCCUAUGUACCGUUUAUUCAGGCACCCGAUACAUGUUUUGUAAAUUACGUAUACAAUAAAUAACAUGGAUGCCCCGACUCCACCAAAAGCAAUUGCAAGUACAAUUAUCGUCCAUAAUUUCCGGUUGAAUUUCGCAGACGACGAAUAAAAAAUCAUAUCUGGGUCUUGGUAAGGCUCCGGCUUUUCUGUUGCUUCGUCUGUGUUGUUAAGAUUCGUGCAUAAACACGUGCCGAUUUUGAAUGUCAAUUGUUCUAUGACAAUCAUAGCUCCUCUACCAGAUCAUCAAAUUAUGAUACAGUUUACACACAUGGAGAUUGAGGAAUCAGACAACUGCUCAUUUGAUAGAGUUUCACUUUUUCUCGACUCUUAUUCAGGUAAAAAUAAAGUAAUAAAAAUGUCCGUUUGAGUAGCUAUUUAGAAACUUUUUAAUUUUUUUAAGAAAAAUAUAUCAAAUUAAUUCAAAACACGUUUUCAUUUUCUGAUGUUCUUAUUCUGAUUUGAAACGAUACAAAAUUGUAACGUAUUAUAUAUCGAAAUCAUAGUUGAUUCCCUUUUAUCUGGUGCAAAUUUGCUACCUUUCGUCAUAGUUAUAAUUUUGGGGACACUAUAUGUUUCUAGCCUUAUUGCGAUGCAGAAAAAAAACAAACAUUGCUCCUGUCAAAACAUGGAUGAGAGAUUCGAACCACACAUAAUCAUAAAUCAAAAAUAAGUUGUUAAAGGACUAAAAUUAAGCUGUAAUGAAUAUCAAUCAUAACGAUUUGUAUUUGUAUAAUUGAUAUAACAGGAUUUCUUUUUCCAUAACUGAUUCUUGAAGUCGUCUUAAUAUAUUAGCGGGGUUUUUUUCUUCACAAUUAUCAAAAAUAAAAGGAAAUGGGUGUUGUUGUUUUCUUGUUUUUGGUUUGUGUUUUGAUUUUUGUUGGUUUUUUUCUGAAAAUUUUGUACCACACAAUUAUUGUUGAACAAUACUGUUUACAGUGACAAAAGCAGGUAAACAUAAUUAGCAGUAUUUCCUAAGGCACUGACAACAUAGUUUUUAAAUUAUGAUUUAUUCAUUAAAGUUGGUUUAUUCGUGUUGACAUGCAAUUCUUCAAUCUUAAUUUGCAAGUUGACAUGAUCAAGUCAAAAUAUUGAAAUAUUUGUAAAGUAUUAACAAAUUUGGGAUACUUUUUAUACUAUUUUGAUCUCGAAGAUUUGUUAAUUGAUUAAAACUUAACCCUCUUAGUGCGUAGCUAAAUUUCAAAACAUUGUCCAGAAACGGGUCAAUUUCAGUAAAAAAUACCAAAAACAGUAAAUUGUUAUUUUCAGUCUUGUAGAAAAGCAUGUUAACUCAAAUAACUUGAAGAAUUACCGUAACAUAAGUAUAAGAUGUUUAAUUUUUGUUUCAAAAAAAUACGCUUAAUUUAUAAGCACAUGACGUAAACGUCAUAAUGAUGCCAUCACGUCCACCGCUCUUAAUGAAAAGUUCGCGCUAUCAAUUAGUCAAGCACUUGUAGCAGUGUUGGGAAGAAACAGUUCAGUUUUUUGCAAAACAUAGCCACUAAUACUUACUAAAUUUCAAGUACAGAUAUUACUUAUUUCGAGUAUGGUCAUCUUAGCUCAAAGAUCACAAUAUUUCAUUGGAUAAAAGCACAUAUAUGCAAAAAAUGAUAGGCAUUGCGUAUUCCAAGUGCAUUCAACAAACCAUGAUAUGACAUAUAUAUACAACAUGGCAAAUUAAUGCUUAAAUAAAACAAACUGCAAAAAGUAUAGAGAAAAUUUAUUAUAUAGCUCGCUAUCUUUAACUGCAAGGUCUAUUUUAUUGUAUUAUGUUUUCCAAUCAUAUAUGUAGACUAACUGACACUAAAAACAUGUUUUCGAAUAAAUUGUGCGUUUUCUCAUGUAAUAGACCGUACGCGUUGCCUAUAAAUUACAAUUGCCUACUUACAUCACUUCAUUUGCAAUCUUUUGGCUGGAUGAGUUAGUUCGUUAUUGCACAUCAUACCAGCAUCUGACAUCUCCUUUUUUACUUAUUCAAAUCGCUAUAUCUCAUAUAUUUACAAAAUAAUUGGUGGCAAUCAGCCAUUUAUUUUGAUUGUCAUUAAAUUAUGAACCUGAUUUUGAUAACUUUAAGCUUAUGAGACCAAUUUUUCUAAAACUUAAAAAAUAAAUUCUACCUGAGGUGUUUUAUAGUAGCCAGACAUCUUAAGAGGAAAUGCGCCACAAUAUUCUGAUGUUAUCCCCCGCCAAAAUUUAGCAGAAACUAUUCAGUUGCUAGUGCUUAUGUAAACUUCCGUAUCACCCCCGUUUCAAUAAGCAAGUGCAUGUGCCAACUUAAUUUAUGAUUCGUAAGGCAAGUUAAAGCUCUCAUAUUUAGGCAUCUAUACACCAUCAAAAGCAGUAUGUAAUGCUUUUCAAAGUCAAAGACGAAAUGAGCCAAGUUAUAAAAAAACAUACUUGAGUUAAAUAGUGCUGUGUUAUUAGACGUCACAGAUUGCCUUCAAGGCUGAUAUAAUGUUUAUAAAGGUAGUAUGCUGCUCCAACACAAAAUAUCGCCACACCUUAUAAAACAAAACCAUUUAUUGGCUUAACUAUACGCCAAUUAAUUUUAAGCCUUAAUUCUUAACAAAGACAACAUUAUAGGAUAAUGGACGUGCUUUACACAUGACACUUUAUAAUCUUUUUUUAAUAGUAAAUGUAAAGAAUAGCCAAAAUUAUGUUCAAUGAGCUUUUGAAUGUAAAUUUUCGCUUAUGUAAUGCUAUACUGUAAAAAUAUGAAUCUGUCGCCCGUAAAUAUCCUCAUCUAGGAUGCACGUCGAUCGCUCUUUUUCCCUUUCGUGUAGCAUGGAUGCGAUGCACGAUGCUGUGUCAUCACUGAACAUAAUUUCUUGUGUUUACUACUGUUAUCUUUCUGUGUUUAUACUGAUGUUCAGGUGUCGUUUUUAGAGUAGCUAAGUUCUCGUUUUUAUAUAUAAUCAUUAAGACGUUGUUUUUAAUUCCGCUUUAUUUUUUUCACUAGAAUUGCUCUAGGGCCCUUUAUAGCCUUGCUGUUCGUGCUAAAGGUUCAUGACCUCCUGCUUAAAGCAUUAGUACUUUGACUAUCAGUGCCGUUAUUGUAUUCAAAUUGUGCACGUCGCGGAUGGAGCAGUGUGUUAACUUCAUAUGGCACUCAUACACACUACUUCUCUAUAUCUAUUCAUAUCAUAUUUCAUUUCGUCAUAUCAUUAUCCAUAUACACAAGUAUGAUGCUGACGAUUAACAAAAUCCAAUCAAACACUAACAUAUCUUUUACCUGCAUGCUUACUAAUUACCACCCAUCAAAAUACACCUUCCGUGCGCUGCGUUAUGUAAUAUACUUUGCACUAACCUGCUAUAUUUUCAUCUCAUGCGGUGUUAGGGAAAUCCUGGAUUUAUCCAAGUCAGGGAUUUCUGCGUAUGAUAUCCAUCAACUGGCACUUGCGCAUGGUUGCGUCCUAUAAAGUAUAUUUUUACGUUAUGCUAUUUUUCUGCUUAUCUUAUUCUUUAGGUUCGCGCCCUUCUAUAUUUUCGUAUUAUAAAUAACUGCCUAAUUUCUUUGCAUUAGGCUCAUUGACUUCAAUGUGUAAUAUUGUCAUACUAUAUUGUAAACAUCAAUUAUGUAUCAUAUCUAUAGAAUAAAUAUUAUAGAAAGCGCCCUCUCGAACUUAAUAUGCGUACUUCAAUACGUAAUUUUUACACAAUAUUAGAAAAGAUAUUUUAAUGACAUACUUUCGAUUUACUUACCAUCCCCAAACUUAUAUACCACGAUGAAGUAUUACUAAGGAAACAAACUAUAGAAUUAUUGCCUUUAAAGCACGCGUAUUCCAGUAAUCAGGCAAGCGAGGUUAUAAUAUAACCUACCUUGAUAUCAGCAUGAUUUAGAUCAUUAUAAUCAGUUUUUAAAAGAUGUUACUCAUAUCAAAUUUAAAACAUACGAUAAGCUUAGUUACUGUCAUUGCCAAUAAAUGUAUAAGAAAUUUCAAAUUGCCCCGUUAAAUCUGUGAUGCGCCAAACUCUGACUCUUGCUAUUGCGUAUAUAAUACAGUACCAAUGUUGUUUGUAACUUCGCAGACAAUCCCCAAUCUACUGCGUAUAUUAAAAUUUCUAAUGAUAUGCAAAGCAACACUAUGUAUCUGAGAAAUGGUAUGAAAGGCAGGAUACAAAAAAACCUAUAAACACAAACUAGCAUAUAAAUUUAUGCACAUAACAUUUUCAGUCAGCAACAUAUUUCGAAAUGAGUAAUACAAUACACUCAGUCAACAAAAAUGGAGCGAAAAAAUAAGCCAUAGCUACACUCUCUUGAUUUUUACGUCCAAAUUCAUGAGCUCUGUAAUUCAGUGGUUGUCGGUUGCACAUUGGAUCUGUUGUACUAGUCACAUUACGUUUUUCAUAAACUGAAUGUUAUAAAAAUUAUGCUGAUUAGUUUUCAUUGUUAGUUUAUACAAUUUUUGUCAUUGUCGCGCGGCCCGUCUUUAGCCUGACUUUACGCGUAAAGGCUACUUCUCAUUAUAUGGGCUGACCUAUCCCUUAGCUCUAAGCAGCGUCCCGUUUUCAAUCAAACUCACCAGUAUGUAUCUAUUCAUAUAUUGCAACAUAAACACUAAAGUAAAAUAUCGCUAGAUAAUGCAUAAAAAUACAUUAAAAAUACAGCAAUGCCUAUUUUAUUACAAUUAUUAACAAUAUCGAUGUCAGUAACAUUAAUUGUAGACGUAUUUAUUUAUUAAAUACCACAUUAGACUUUCGCGUUGUUUAAUUAAUUUGCUUAUAUAAGAAGUAGAAAACCAAGGCAAUCAUUAAGUUCAAGACUUAGUAUAUAUGUGUCCCUCCAUAUCUUAAAGAGUUAAGGACAUUUGUUUAAAAUAUUUAUGUAUUAUUGGGUACAAGCACUAACACCAAUUAGCAAAUAGUUUUGUUUGUAUUGCUUAAUGAUCAGUUGUUGAUGUUGGUUUUUUUCCCUUCUGUUUCUUACUAUGAUUCUUUUUUUAUUUAUCAUUGAAUAAUGCAUAAAAAAUAUGUACAUUCUAAAAAGUUGAUAGCGACUAUUCAUGCGUCUAAAUCGAAUUAGGCGGCAGCCUUACAUUUGCAUUUUAGUAUGGCAUACUGGAAGCGAGCUAGGAUGCAAAUUGAAAAAAAAUAGUCAGGACGAGAGUUUUGCCCAUGCAUAACAACCAACGCAGAAUGCAAGAACCAUCUAGCCCAAAAAAAAAAGGCAGGGAUGACUCAAUUUAAAGCCGUAAAAAUAAAGCAGGACACCGAAUAAGAGUGAAAAAAUCAAAAGCCGCCAGGACAGAAGAUUACAGUCACUAAAAAAAAAAAAAAAAUGCAGGGGACAAAUAUUUUUCAUCCUAGCCGCCCCUAAAAAUCAAAUAGGCGUAGCUCCCUAUACGACAUCGAAUGACGUCAACAUAAUAUAUAGACGUAAUGAUGUAGACGCUCUCUAUGAAAAGAUAGACUAAAAUGAAAAAACAAACAACAGAAAGAAUAAAACCAACAAUCGAUGCAAUAAUAAUAAGUAUAAAAUAUGUAUUUUCAAUAAUUGAAGAAAAAGCUUUUUUCAGAAAUAUUUACAAAGGGAAAAAAACUAUACAUUUUUUAUACACAAAAGGCACAGCCAAUAUAUGUCCUUCCGUCAGUCAAAGCCAGGAGUACACAUCAAUGAUCCUUCCCCGCAAGCUAGAGCAGUUAAAAUGUUGCAAGAAAACUCAUACGGAAAUAGCAAAUUGGGCCCAAUGCUCGAAAGCGGUAAUGAGUUGUAUUAUAUUUCUAACCUAAGCCUAUUAUAAAUUCAUUACAAAGCAAUGAAGCUGAUAUAUUAAUUGAAAAUACAAAAGGCUACACAGACACAUUCGUAAAACGAUAGACGAUCAGUAUUUCACUUCCUUGUGUUCAAAGUAAUUAAACAUAAUGCUUAUUGAUGAGAAAUGCCCAUAGCAAUAACAAGCGUUCAUACAUAUCUCUACGCAUUUUACCAAGUUACGCUAACAAUCAUCAGAAAUAGAUAAAAAGAGAACCAACCAACAUAAAUGCAAUCUGCACCGCUGAGAAUACUUUCACUUAUGCUGUUCAUAUUCUAAUCAGAUCGAAUUACAAGCAAUUGAGAUCCGUUACAAGAAGUUUAAACAUAACACUUCGCAAUAGUAACGUCUACGUAAAGCUGCAACUUUUAUUGCUCUUAUAUUCGAGUUUCUUUGUAAGUAUGCAUACUUUACCUUCAUUUUAGUCUUACUAUUCUCUCCAUAAUCACAGAUGCGGUUUAAGGUUUUACACCGACAUGAUAAAGUUAACCCUCUUGCUAGCGACCGUUUUUUACAAUGUUGCAUUUCAUAUGCCGGAAAAUUACGACCAGGCUCAACGUCUGCCUGGCCAUCGUAACGAUGCCAGCAACACAGACUCAUCGACAUUAUAUUAUUGACGUUCACGACAAAAUCGACCACUCACAUUUAAGCGCCGACCAAUGGGAGAAAACAUUAACCCUGUUUAUUCUUCCCGUAUUUAAUUGAAAGAAUACACAUUGAUAAAGAGCUUGGCAUUUAAAUUUUAUACCAUGACAACUAUGUGUACCCACUCGGCUAACUAGCCGAGUUUGUCGACAAUGUAGUCCCUCCGCGCAGCAAGCAAGCCGUAAAGAAAGCACCCUUAGCGAAAUGACCAAAGUUGCUACAGAAUUAUAUUAUAAUAUUAUAUCAAAUGCUACCAGCGCUUGUAAUUUAAUAACAGAGACACGGCGUUUCGUCUAACAUAAUUACUCAUCAGCUGGCUACGCAGCUAGGUUUAUGCUCACUGGAUAUGAAAUAUCCUUAAGAUAUAUAUCGAAAUAUAAUUCAUGACCUUUGCAAACAGUAAAUAAAUAAAUAAUAAUGACCAUAUAAUUAUUAUUCAUGUCAACACCGAAGUGCUGACUACAGGGCUGGUGAUAACAUCGAGGAAGAAAUGUCCACCAGCAGUGGUAUCCACCCAGUGGUGUAAAUAGUUAUCAAAAGUACCAGGCUAAUAAUUUAAUACCCCAGACGAGCGUUUCGUCUACAUGAGACUCACCAGUGACGCUCAGUCUAAAUAGUAAUCGUUGGAUGCACAAAUAAACAUAGAUUGAAGUAAUCGACGAAGAACUGAACAAGCAGUCAGUUUAUCUAUAUUUUCAUACCUUACAUAAGACAUUUAAAAAGUAGAAAAAAGUCUCAUGUAAAUUUUCACGAAGAUGCAUUGGUCAAACAUAUGGAUUUCAAUGACAAACACAUAUCUAUACACAAUGUCAAGCUCCUAAUGAUUCCGUGUAUGUUCUAAAUGUCACGGAGUCUAUCAAAGAUCUGUUAUCAACACACGUUUCUCCUUCAAUUGUUAGCUCAGUUGAUAUUUGGUUGGGUUAUUAUCCAAUUGACUUAUACUCAAGAUCUGUUUUAUUCAUAUUUAUCAUAUACUUAGCAUUGAUAUGAUAGCUUUUGCAUAUGUGUAAUGGGCGGAAGUGCACAAGCCAUAUCUUCCCACCCGGGCUGAUAACCCAUAUCAGGUGCCUCUCGUGCACAAAACCCAUAUCAGUGCCUCUCGUGCAAGUUACUUCCGGUAAACCGGUAUCGGUUGUUUACUUUUACAUUGUGACGUCAGAUGUUUUUUAUGACGACGUCAAAUUUUACCGGAACUUUUGUGGGGAUAGUUUAAUACUUGCUAACAAAAUGCCAUUGACAAUUAUGAAUCAUUUUAUAGUACAACAUGAAUAGUAAUGAUCGUAAAACUCUUCCAAAUUUUCAAUGUUUCAAAAUGCCUCUUUAGGAAAUGUUACCAUAAAUAUAUAAGGAGUUAAUGAUGCUGUUGUUUGACAACUAUAGUAUAUUUGAUUCAUAAUUUUAAUUUUCUUAUAAAAUGUUGACUGUUUAGUUAUUGCAUAGUUUAUUUGCCUUACAUAAACACUAGUGCGAAGUAUAUGAUAAACGAUUAAUACAUGCCUUUUCCAUAUUAGCUGGUAUCAUCCUCGACCAUAUCAGCACCUCGACUCCGUUCGGGCGAUAUGGGUCUCGGGAUGAUACCACGGCUGAUAUGGAAAAGGCCAUGUAUUAAUCUCUAUAUAUAUACAUAGCAAAAUACCACAUGAAUUUCCCGUAUGAAAAUCCUAAUAUCAAUGUCGUGUUCUUGAAGUUUUAUGCCAUGUCAGUUUGUAACAAAUGCCGGCUGACUAUAAAGAACACAAAUCCUAUUGUUAAAGUUCAAUUAGUUGAUUAAAGAUCUGGUGAUAUGUCCAUGUUUAUCUUCAGUGUCUUUUAUAAAUGAUUGAUUCGAACAACUGAAUAUUUUUUUCCAGACUGAAUUCGUAGUGAUUCAGAAAAACUCUUUUAUAAAGCUUCUCAAUAUUCUAUAUAAAUGUUCCGUGACAAUAAACUUAAAUAUUCCAAACCAUAGCAACAACUUUAUUGCAUCAACAUUUUAAACUUUUGUAUAUCAGUAAAGUGAUUCUAAGUCAUAGAAAGUCAACUGACAACAAUACUGAACUCCGAGGAAAAUUCAAAACUGAAAUUCCCUAAUCAAAUAGCAAAAUCAAAUGAGAAAACACUUCAAAAGAAUGAACAACAACUGUCAUAUUCCGGACUUAGUACAGGCAUUUUCAAAUGUAGAAAAUGAUGGAUUAAACCAGGUUUUAUAGCCCUAAACCUCUAACUUGUAUGAAAGUCGCAUCAGAUUCCAUUAUAUUUAAAACGAUGCGUGAACGAAACAAACAUACUAAGUAAAAUUGUCAAAAUAUAGUUACAGCAGUCACAAUCUCAAUUAGAACAAAAAACAAACAAAUAUUUAACAAAGAAGCACAAAAAACAUCUAUCAAAUUUAACAACCAGAUUCAUUUAAGACAUAGAAUGAAAUUCAAAACAGUGUGGCUGUGGCCAUUGAUUGACACAUUAAAUUCAUCCAUUGACUGGGACAAUUUACGUGAACGUUUGUCUGUAACGACCACUGUUCACGACGUACCUACGAUAGACAUUUAAACCGUGGGGUCACCAAAGGUUUCUUAACGCCUUUAGUUAUAAAAUAAUUCGAAAAAUUAAUCAGGAAUAACCUUUAUGUUUUGAUUUAUAUGAUUGAUAUAAAUCAAAACAUCGUGUUAUUUCUCAUUAAUUUUUCGAAUUACUUUAUUAAGGUGUUGAGAACCUUUGGUGACCCCAUAGUUUAAGUGUCUUUAAAAAGUACAUAGUGAGCAUUGGUCGUUACAUACAAACGUUCACCUAAAUUGUCCUAGUCAGUGGAUGAAUUAAAUGUGUCAAUCAAUGGCAAGAGCCACACUGUUUUGAAUUUCAUUCUAUGUAUUUAAGAUCAACCCAUAAAGGAUUUAAAUAUUUGGAGACAUGUGAUUGCAUUCAAAUCAACUCUAGGGUAGAGUCGUAUGUUGUUAUACGUCAGAAUGUAAAAAUCACACAGGAAAAAAUAUAAAAUAAUUUUGUCGUUAAAAGUAUUUUCAAAAUUUUACAUGGGGAAUGGUGGUAUACAGGGUAGAAAAAUCAACGUGUUGUUAGAACCAACUUCAGAAAAUUACAGAAAUCUAAAAUUAUCCAGAAGUUCUUUAUAAUUUGUAAGAAUCCAAAUAUAUAGGUAAUACCACUACUCGGGUGAAAUAAUUUUGUCGUUCAAAGUAUUUGUCACCAUGAGAUCAAUAAGUUGAUCUUUUUUUCCAAAGUUAAGAAAUAAAUUUAAGACAUUGUGUUGCUUCAAAUACAAUUUAUUUUACUUCUUCAAAUUUUUGUUUAGAUUCACCAGAAAUUAUGCUAUGUGCACAAUCAGCAUCAGAUAAGUUGUACUUUUCAAGGGAUGGCUUACUGAAAAUAAGGUUUACAACAGACAGCUUAAUAACAUGGACAGG